RNAcentral lists this long non-coding RNA (146551 nucleotides) under Coffea arabica (coffee). RNAcentral describes it as "long non-coding RNA (CARA_LNC003015)". The record is from RNAcentral. Lineage: Eukaryota; Viridiplantae; Streptophyta; Magnoliopsida; Gentianales; Rubiaceae.
GUCCUUCUGGUUCCUCAAGGUAAUCCCCGUUUCAUUACUAACAACCACGGUACCUUCUGAGAUCUCUUCAUGACAUGGGACUACACGAGAAGCAGACUUAUUAAAAAGGGUUCUCUUCACAUCCGGCUUUGCCAAUCUAUUUCUCUCCCCAACUUUUUCCCCAGAGCUCUCAUCUCUGUUCGUUGGGUCAUCGUCAGACAUUGCCUUCCCUGGAGCAUUGUGAGCGGCACCACAUUCAACUAUCAAUUCAUAAGGCUUCUUACGAUCCAGUUUCCGGAACAUUGCUGGACCAGUUUUCUUUUCGUUCUCAUUUACCGGAAUUCUUUUCCUGGCUGUGGUGAAAGAAGAGCCAUUGCAUAAAAGGAGAUUUUUCCUCACUUGAGGUGCACCGGAGGUGACAGUGCAGGGCGUCUUGGAAGCAGGCGUGUAUUGCCCGUGGCUCGCAUUCUGGCAUUCUGUAGGUACAAAAUCACAUUCCGACGUUGAGCAUCAGUAAAUCCAAUACAAAGAUUUGUUAUAUAUACAUCACCAAUACAAGGCAUCCAUUAAGAAUGAAGAAAUGAAGAUGAUCGGAUACCCAUUGUUGAAGAAUGGUAUUCAAGAUCUGCGGACGCCUCAUCAGGAACCUCCUUCCACGCCUCCACCAACUGAUUCAUGGUCUCCCGGACUACCUUUACCUAGAGGGUCCAAUUAAUUCACAUCAACCACCACGAAAUCCUUUUAUUUAUCAGUAGUAAUUUUAGCCGGAAAAAUUCUUUUAAUUUAAGAUAUAUGCACACGGAAGAAAUCAACUAAUACCAGUACUAGUACUAUUUGCUAGCUAGCAGUCAAAUUAGAAAGUAAUAGUAAUUUGAGACCUUGUCGAAUCUUUUGGCCUCGAAGGUCUUCAAAGACGCAGCUUUAAACUCGGGCAAGGCCUCUCUUUCCGCCAGAGCAAGCUUGAGCAGCGUCUCUGCGACGGCCUUCCUCGCUGCCCAAUCCUCACUACUCAAAAACUGCACCAGACAUGCCAGCAAGUUACUCAGCAUCAUCCCGGCAUGGGCCCCACCUGACUCGAUCACGGAUCCCAUGAACCCCAGAACGGCUGCCUUGGCCCUAAACCCCUCGCGCUUGACUAACUUCUGCAGCCUGACCAGGAGCUUCCUCAAGAGCACGGCAUCCGGCGGCUGGGGAAUGGACUCGAGGACGGCUGACAAGCACAUGGCGGCGCCGAUCUGAGCAUUGAGGUCCUGUUCGGUGAAGAGAGCUUCGAGGAAGGGCUUGGAGAGGGAGGAGAAGGAGGGCCUGGUGAGGUGAGAAGCAAGGGAGGUGGCAGCGGAGACGCAUGCGGGGCGGAUAGAAGAGUCGGAGUCGCGGAGGCGGCGGAUGAUGGAGGAGAGGAGCUUAGAGAGGUGGGGGGAGAGAGCGUCGGAGUGGUGGAGAGCGAGUAGAGAGAUCAAAUGCAGGCAUUGCUUGCGGACGGUGGAUUUGUCGGUGGAGUCGGUGGCGGUGAUGGAGGAGAUAAAAGGAGGAAGAUUGUCAGGGGAGAGGGUCUUGGCGAUGUUUUCGAGCUCGGAAGUGGCGGAGGCGUAGGUGUCUCUGUCGGAGAGCUUGUGGAGGUACGUCAGUACUCUGUGCUUCAAGUCACGUUUCGCAGCGGCGGCCGCUUGAUUCUGCUUGACUGCCGCCAUUGACUGUGACAUUGCGUUCGCGUAUAAAAAUUAAAAGAGAACGGCGGUUGAUACGUGGAGUAGAACUGUCUGAGUUUACGGCUGAGAAAUUGGUGAUGGCGGUUGCGCCGCUGGGACUUCCGGAAGCAUGGCAGCGAAAGAUGGUAGUUAUGGCGCCGCUGGGAUUCAUCUCAACUGCUUUAGAUAUCUAUACAUACAUAUAUGCUGUAUGUUCUUUUACCUUUUUCUUACAUUUUGUGAUAGUAGCAGUACCCAUUUCUCUACGCCUGCCUCUCUCUCUCUCUCUCCUGGUCCUGUCUUCUUUAAAGAAGAGGGGUGGAAGAGAACAUGGAACAUGCAACUGUCAUCCGCAAGUUACCAAAAGGCCGUUAAUUUGAUCGCAACGGAUCUUCUGUCCCACACCCUAUGCCACUCUCUCUCCCAUUUUUUAUUACCAUGUGUGUCAUGUUCUGUUUCGCAGAAUGCAAAUUUUAGUGGUGGUAGUAGCAGACUAUUAUAAGACUGGUGACAGUGGAGUGUGUGGAUAAGGGAUUAUUUGAAAUAAUUAUUAUAAUAUUUUUAUAAUGUGAUAUAUAUAAAAUAAAAAAAUAUGUUAAAAAUUAUAUUCGUGACGUAAGUAAAUAAUUUUAACUAUUCAAAUGAAUUAUACUCGGGAAAAAUAUUAAUAAUAAUAGGGAUUAUUAAGUAAGGAAAUUUUUUUUACUCCCUCUUUGUUUUUUAAGUUUCAUCCCUCCUCUUCUGCCGAAAAAAAAAAACAAAUCUUCAACACAUAGGGUCCAAGGUCAAGAAUGGAGUGGGAGGCAGUGAAUGCAGUAAAUUUGUCAACUUUUUUUGGGGUUUCUUUUCCGGCUAAAAUUGGGCUAGAAUAAUCAUGUAAGCAUGGCACAAGAGCAUCAUUCAAGUCACAAAUGCUUGUCAUCAUUUCAUUUCUUUCUCAAAUUUCCUUCUUACGUUAUUAAAGAUUCUGCGUUACGAUCUUGUUAUCUGUUUCCACGACAAACUUCUCCUUUUAAUUUGGCGAGGUUGAAACCAUAUAGAAUUUUUACUCCAAAGACUUUGCAUGAUCGGUUGCGUAGUAUUGUAAUUAUAGAAUUCUAACUCAACAAAUUAAUGGACCUGGGCUUAGGAUUUACAUAAAGGUGGGGGAAAAAAAAAGAAGUUACAUAUUUGGAUCAAACUCCAACUCCUACCCUAGAAUUUGGAUUUGCAAUUUUGCAUGAAGGGGAAAAAAAAAAAAAAAAACAUACAAUAGGAUAAAGAAAAUUAUAUACCAGUAUUUGGAUCAACUCUCCAACUUGUAAUCAAACCAAUAUUUUUCCUUUGGUCGGAGAUAUGUCAAGUUGAUGAUCUAAGGAUUAAGAGAGGGUUUAGUGAAAUUGCUGAUGACCUGAAAAGGACCACGGAGGGAGCGAGCUUGUUGUUGGUAUUGUUCGGUAGAACAAUGCGCACUUUUCUUGACUUGUAUAUUUUGCUUGAAGUGCACACAAAGUUCUAACAAGACUGCUGCUGCGACUCUGAAUUCUUAUCAAGUUCUAAUAAGUUGGUCAAUGUAUGUCAUACAAUUCGUAUACGCAUCACUCUCAAAAUUCUCGAAGAUUGGAAUACUUGUUGCCGGCGCUUUUUUGAGGAGAGAUUUUGCUAGAAAAAGAAAAGAAAAGAAAAUUACACAGGAAAUCAAUUUUUCAUCGUUCUGGGAGUUUAUUGAAAUCAGAAAAGAAGGAAAAUGGGCUGAUGCUACAGAGGAGUGGAGAAAAUUUGUCUGCCCAUUUUUGGGCUGAUUUCUCUCCUUUUCUUUUCUAUCCUAGACUCCUAAACUUGCCAGGCGUUAGAAAUUUUGAAGGUGACAUAUUAUUAUUGCAUCUUAUCGUUGAUAUGGGCUACGCCUCCAUCUUAUCAUAUUUGAUAGACGGCCUUUUCAUACCACAAAGAACAAAGAGACAGAGAAAAAUAGAGUGGAGAUUAAAGAUUUGAGAUUUGAAAGAAGAUAUAGUGAAAUGAGGAUGAGAGUUAUAUUAGAGAAUCAAUCUAUUAGCCAUGAAAAUUAUGAUCCGAUGAAGAGAACACAGAGUGAGAACUGAGAUUGGAGAGAAAGUGGGAAAAGAUUGAAGUGGCAGCUGAUGUAUCGGGGUUAAUGGAGUUUUGUUUUUUCUUGUUUUAGUAAACUAUUUAAAAGUAAUUAAUUGUUUUGGCAAAUUAAUCAAUAAGCAAAGCAUUAGUGGAAUGGUUAGUGUGUUAGACUUGCUAGCAAAAGGGGUUCUGUUUUUGCUAAACAAAAAAGAAACUAAAAACAUGAAAACUGAGAACCACCGGUUCAACGGGUUUUAUUAAUUUUUAUGAAUUUGACUGAUCUUGAUCGAUUUUUUGUUACUUGGAACUGGACCGAUACCACUUAUAAGCGACCAAACAUUGAAACAGGUGGGCGUAAUACUUGACAUCUCCAUACUUUUUUUUUUUUUUUUUUUGUCAAACUUCAACUGCAUUAUAUAAUUUGACAUCUCCAUACUUGGCAUGUGCAACUUCCUUUGGUAGUUGCUACUAGACAAAUACCAUGGAAGAAGAAUGAAGAGGUAAAUUCUGACCGGAUGAAGUGAAUUUCCCGGACUGAGAAUACCUCCUCCUUGAGACUGGUCACUGUGACGAGGUCACCUGUGAUGAGUCAAUUGAAGAGGUGAUUUCUGACCGGCUGAGGUGAGUCCUCCGGAUUGAGGGAAGUUCCUAUCUCGGAUGAGUCACUGCGGCGAAGUCACCUGCUAAGGUUACAAGAGGCGCUGAAUCCCCCGGUGUAACUCCGAAACUUAAGUUAGUUUGGUAUUUUAAAGAGCAAUAUGCUGGAGAGCAAUAUGGCUAAUGUUACCAGAAAAUGGUCCUCCCCCUUUUGAUCGAUACUCUGGGUAUUUAUAGGGGAUUGGUUGGAGAGAGGGACUGACAUCGCGAGUCCCUAAGGAUCUGGGCUGACCGGCGUAUUAGACGGAUUUGACUGGUCUCUGUGAAAAGGCCUGAGGCGACAGGUGCCAGGUUCAGAUGGCGCGUGUCAGAGCGGCUGUCCAUCAGAUGCCAAGCGUGUCAGAUGUGUCAGGUGUCAUUUCCUACCUUUCGCAGUUGUGUCAGUCAGGCGUCACCUCGGCUAACGACCUGAGGACAAUAGCCGAGGUGGUAAAACGGACAGAUACCACCUUGAUUUAUAAUGGGCCGAGGUGGCCCUUCGGGAGGUGCCACUGAGGAAGGCCUGCCACUGAGUAAGGCCGCCUGCAGGAGGCGCCACUGAGUAAGGCCGAGGUGGCCCUGCAGGAGGUGCCCUUCGGGAGGUACCGCUGAGUAAGGCCUAAGUGGCCCUGCGGGAGGUGCCACUGAGUAAGGCCGAGGUGGCCCUUCGGGAGGUGUCACUGAGGAAAGCCUGCCACUGAGUAAGGCCGAGGUGGCCCUGCAGGAGGCGCCACUGAGUAAGGCCGAGGUGGCCCUUCGGGAGAUGUCACUGAGGAAGGCCUGCCACUGAGUAAGGCCGAGGUGGCCCUGCAGGAGGCGCCACUGAGUAAAGCCGAGGUGACCCUUCGGGAGGUACCGCUGAGUAAGGCCUAAGUGGCCCUGCGGGAGGUGCCACUGAUUAAGGCCUGCCACUGAGUAAGGCCGAGGUGGCCCUGCAGGAGGCGCCACUGAGUAAGGCCUAAGUGGCCCUGCGGGAGGUACCACUGAGUAAGGCCUAGGACUGUCCGGGCCGAAAUGACCAUUCUCACUAAGCCCCCCAAGCUUCGAGAAGGACGAGAUCGGUAUUUGCCGAGGUCGCUACUUCCCGAGGCUUAGAAGUUGGGGACCCCUGCCCUUCUGCAAUAUCUUCUGCAAUAAUUCAUAGUGAGAGCUUUCCUGCUCUUAGAACGCGUAGGUUUCAUAUCCUAAUGUCUUCGCAUUCCCACAGACGGCGCCAAUUGGUCAUUUCGGCCCGGGCAGUCCUAGGCCUUACUCAAAGAACAUUUUCUUCACCGCUUUAUCAAUAGAAAACAAAAAAAAAAAAACCCAUCAUGGGGUUUUUGGAUUUUGGAUCCAGGACAGAACAUUUACACCAAGACGAAGACAUUCUUUGAGUCGAGACGUCCAGAUCUUGCCAUCUGCUUCCCCUAACAAAAGCCUAUUUUGUAACGUCUGCUUCCCCAUCAUUUGUUUGGAUUGGCCUUUAUUUCCCCAAAUAUAUUUGCUUACAUCAUCAUUACAAUUUCCAACACACCUUUUUACCUUUCCAAUUAUCUUUUUAUCUCACAUACAUCACAUCACAAAAAGUGUUACAGUAAAAAUAUCUCAAAUAACUUACAAUCCAAACAAAUCCAUGGUCAGACAUGUCAUGACUCGUGAAGUAAAUUACUGGGUUGCAAAGCAAAUGUUUUAAUCAUCUAUUGGUCAAUCGAACUUCAUUUCAGCCAAAUGGAUAAACAAUUUACAGUAUGGAACUUAGAGAGAUGAUUCCCUGAAUUAAAAAAAAAAGGCUUAAUUUCAUUUAAGUCCUCUAAAACAGUUCAAAAUCUAAGAGUGUGUUUGGAUUGCAUUUUUCAUGGAUUUUUCAAUUGGAAAAUUACUGUAGCGAUUUAAUGUAUGUGAGGUAAAAAAGAUAAUAGGAAAAUGUGUUCACGAAAAACAAGACCAUUUUUUAGUGGAAAAUGACUAUCCAAACAAGUCCUAAUUUUACUACGUCAAUCCAAGCCUCCCACAGUAGCACUAAAAGCAGCAAUCUAGUCAUUUUCACCUUAAAAGAAAUUGUUGUUUUUUUUUUUAAGGAAGAAACUUGUUUCAACUUGGAAAAUCAAACACUCUUUCGUUGUAAUCAAUAAAUUUUUAGUUGCCAAAUAUGAAAGAAGGGAUAUAACCGAAAAAGCAGAAUAUCAAGAAAAGUCAUUUAUACGUUACUAAAUAUGAAUGGAUUUGACAGAAAAAAGGAGAAAAUUAAGCAUAGCGUAUAGGUCCUUCCAAUUGUAACUUGUGUAAGUGCUUUUUCUAGUUUUCUGUGACUUGAAACCAGACCAACUUAAGUAGUUUCAUCAAUUAGAAAAGCGUGCAUUUAGGUGAAAUCAUUAAAAUUGUGCACCUUUAUCAUUAUAUCACUAAGGCAGGGAAACUUAUAUCCCUGUUGAUUUUCCUCAUUUUAUGGUUACGUCAUUCUAUAGUUACUUGACAAUUAUUGACUUAUAUUAAAAAAAUUAUUUAAGACCAAUUUGGAAAAGCUUUCCCAAUUCAAAGGACGAAAUUAUUUAAGACCAUCUGAUGCUCUUAUGAAAGCAUGCAAAAGCUUUUGGAUCGAUGAAUUAUUUCAUCUAAAUAUAUUUUCUAAUUCAUUUUUUUUUAUCUCAUAUACAUCGCAACACAAAAAGUGUUACAGUAAUUAUUCCAAAUAAUAUUUCAAAUAAUACUCUAUCCAAACACAAUAAAUAUUUUUAGAACUACGUAAAUAAUUUUAUUGAACAAAUUAUACUACAAAUUUGAGAGAUUAUAAUUUGUUUACAAGAUUCAUUUGUAGAGGUUAUGAUCUUAUAUUUAAAAAAAAAAGAUUUUGUUUUGAUAUGAAAUAUGUAUUUAAAAAAAGGCACUACUUAUUUCAAAUUUCCAUUGAUUUUGAAUUCUUUUGACUUUUUCCUUUUUUUUGUAUUAUCUUUGCAUGUUUAUUUCUUGGCUAGAGACUUUAUUUGGGAAAUUUUUUUUUUUGAGUUUUAGACAAAUACGUAAAAUACAAAAUUAAAUUAAUAUAAAUCAUUUUAAAUAAUAAAUGAUGAGCGAGACGAAACGAAUAACCGGUGAUCCAACCCUCUAUUAGUAGGUAUCUAAUCUAAUAACCGAAUACCUGCUAAUAUAUAAGGAUCCAAGGAUAGAAAAUGACUAAUGCGCGAAGUAUAAGACGAAUCAACCAAAUGAUGCACAAUGCGAGUAUCCAAUUCGUGCCCACCCCUAAAUUUACCGAUACAAUAACAAUGAAAAACCAGACACGUCUUCGGCUGUUACUUUGAUUUAAGCUUAAACAAGUGCACAAUCACAAAAGACACAUUAAUCUUCCGAAAACAAAAGAAAAGGUGGUGAAGUUGGGGCAAGUUCCUCCAUCACGCCGUGGCGGAGCCAAUAAUGGGACCAGGGGCAAUCAACCCCAAAUUCCAAAAUCUUUCUUUUAGCCCUGAAAAAAUUUUGAAAAUUUUAAGCAAAAGUCCUUUGGCCAGAUCAAGAUUUUACCAAAAUUUUAUUGCCCCCGCCCCUACCUAGCUUCUCCUUUUAGACAAAAUUGAGCUCUUACUCAUCUUUCAAUAUUUUUGACCUAGCUUCAUAUAUAUGUAUGACAUGUACUACCUAAUUCUGAAUGGUGUACAUAACUACAGAGAGAGCCAUUUCAUGACAAGAAUCAAAUAUCUUCUCCACUAAUCCAAGGGUGAAAAUGUAUCUUUGUAGCAUUUGAGGAAUCAAAAUAUGCCGCAUACACACUUUGCUUCACAAAAUUAUGCACCCCUAACAUCAAAGAUACACAGAACUGUGUUGGCACUGCUCACACUUUUCCUCAUGAAUGAGCUCAUGCCAAUCAUUACAUCCAACCUAUAUAACAGGUUAACCCCUAAGCCAUAUACAUUAGAUGACCAAAAUAAAGGGCAAAAUUAUCUGAAUUUUCCUAUCAAUGUAUAAUACCUUAAGAGAGCUUUCCCAAUUCCCAUGUACUGUCACACGCACGCUUGUCCCAUACCAACUCGCCAAUUAUGAAACUUUCUAUUUGUCAGCAAUCACUUGAACAAGUGUUUUGCCAUGACCGUUAUUGCAAUCUCUUUGCAUGUCAUUACCAUCUUCAUUCUGCAAAAGAAAGCAAAAGAAAACUAAAUGCGGUAGCCAAACUAACAAUCAUAUAGGGUAUUCGAAGUUUAUCAACAACAAUUAAGCGAUAAAUGGGGUUUAAUGAAUAAAAGUUACCAAACAAACUUAAUCAAUUCAUAUCUUAUGUUAACAAACCUUUUCCUUCCAAUCAAGUUGCGUACUUUAUUCUGUACACAAACUACAACAGUUUAACAUUUUAAGUAAGACGUGCACUUGCAUGAGUCCAUCAUCUUUGUUUUUAUUAGUUAAGGGGGGAGGAUCGAUCUCUUAUCAAAUGCAAAAUGACUAACUAUGAUUGUGCAUGUCACCAUGUUCUCGCAUUUGUUACUGCCCUACUUGAAUGAAUUGCAUCAUUCACUGUUUGCAUGCUUGGCCAUAAGAAAGUCAAGGAGCCAACUCAAAUGUGAAGGUGUAGGAACAUAUUAUUCCCAAAUACGAGAACAUUUUUCUGUAUAAUUGAUUGGCAUUAAAAAAAUGAGAGAGAUUGAAAAUGUAAAGCCAGGGGGACAAAAUUGCAUAAAUUUUCUCCAGCGAGAAGCACAAAGUGCAUAAAUUCCAAGACUAAAAUAGUUGGAAGAUAUAUAUAGCAUUUAAGCUUCGUGCAUCAACUAUAGAUUAACAACAGUAAAAGAUCCUCCACUUGAAGCCUCACCAAAAAUAGGUGUAUAAAUGCUUUUUUCCCAGGGGCAAUCCCUAUAUUUUGAUAAUGACUAUUUUAAAAAAACUUUUAAUCGUAAUAUGUUUCACACACUCAGACAUCCCUACAUAGAGAAGACCCAUCAGAUCACAAAAACAGGUAGGUAGCAAGCAAAUUCACCUUGAGUGUCUCUCCUAUGGAGAAGCAGAGUCCAUAUAUUACAGGCUUUAUUUGUCCCAUCACAACAAUCUUUGUUUGGGUGACACUUCAUUUAGCACUAAUAAUGGGAGGAAAACAAACACUAGUUCUAAUCCUUCCAAGAUUACUAAAUAAGAAGCAAAUUUGGAUCAUCCACCCGGUAAAGGCAUAUUUGUUACCUACUAGCUUGAUUCAGAUAUGCCAACAUUUCAUUUAAGGGUAUGAGGGUUAAGACCAAGAAAAUGCAAAAAAUCAACAUAAAAUUUUUGCUUCUUUAACGAGAAAUCUAAGCACUGUGACUACGUAUGCAAUUCAAAAAAUCACUAAACACUUGAAUCAGACGACGACGACAAAAACCAUUCAAAUAGGCUAACAAAAUACAACUGUAUAAAAAGUGCAGAACUACAGUAUUGAGAUGCAAAGGCAAGAUAAUGAAUAUACCCUUCUAGUGAGGCCUUGAGCUGACAUGAACUCAUAGAACUUGCGCAUCAGCAUUUCUUCCUCUACCUACAAUGAACAUCAUCAUUUAGCAUCUCAAAUUAUUUUCAAACCAGGGAGCUAAAUCAGCAUUCCACUAGCAAAUUAAAAUUUUAGUGAAAUAACAUAAGUAGAAAUAAUUUUGAAGAUGAUAGAUCCAAUUCAUGUUUGAGCUGUAAUGGUCCAUACAUUUCGGAGGAAGCGUGUAUGAGAUCUUUCAUGGACCAAUUUAACUAUGGUCCAUGGUCACAAUCGUUCUUUGCUCUUUUCCUUCCUCCCCCGCCCCCACCCCGGCCCAUGCUCAUCCAAGCCAAGGGGGCAUGGCUGAGGUAAUAGCAAUCCAAAUAUUAUACUAAAAGGCAUAAAAAUCCACAUAUACAACAUAGAUAUCCUUCAUUUUAGAAGCCUUCCCUUCUUUAUUUGAUAAAUACAGCUAUUGCGCUAACCCUUCUUAAUUUAAUUAAUUCAGACCCUGUCUAAGAAGGAAAAAGGACAUAGAAAAGAUUCCUACAGUAGUCAUCAAAAAGUUUGAAAACUCUCGUGCAUUAACAUAAGAAACCACAAAACGGAGAUCAAGAUGAAAAAGGUAGACCUGGAGUUUAUGCAGUUCAUGCAGCAUUGACCUGUGGGCAUCAGCAAGGAGCUCAUUCUGCUUAUCCAAAUGCCUACAGAAAAAUUGAAUUAGACAGUAUAUCAUUGAGCCAAUAAACCUGUGCAACACAAACUCUAAUAACAAGGAGAGACAACUUUUUAUUAGUUUGUGAGUGAUUUAGUAUGCUUUGUGAUAAAAAACCAUCAAGCUUUUAGCAGGAAUUACCUUAGCAUUUCUCCAGCAUAUCUAGAGUCCAUUCCCUUAAAAUAUUCAAUUGAGAGGUGUAUGGAUUUGCACAAACCUCACUAGCUCCAAGGAGAAACCUGAAUGUUCAAAAGAGAAUCUUAGUUUAAAAGAUUUAACAAGCUUUCAAUAGAGAAAUGAAAUGCAAAACCAAAUGUACGAAAAGUUGUCAAGUAUUCCAGUGACAGAAAAGUUCUAUAGCCUCUAUUGACAGCGGGGAAUGAGAAGCAACUUCAAGCUUCCAUCAUCCACAAAUGACCAUAUCAAGACAGGGAAAUCUUUGUAAAAAUCAAUAGGACUAAGACUAAACCCUAAUUGCUUAUCCAGCCCCACAGAUAGAUUCAAGAUACAUCAUUCAAAUUUGAAUCAUAUGUGUAAUGCUUGAGCCUAAAGACUGACCUUUGCAAUGAUCAUUACUGUGUCAGAAUCAGCAGAUGGUUGUCCCGGACAUAAGCCCAAAACAAAGUUUUGACCACAAAAGGACAUUAGUGGACUAGUAGAGGGGAGACCAUCCAACCACUAAAAUUGUAGGUUCAAGGCAGCCUACACAAAACAUAAGUCUAAUGAUAUUCUGUCACAACUUAAUAAAAUACUGGAAGGAAGCUUUACCCCUACACAUUCACCAUGAGCAAAGUUCAUUCUACUUAGUUCUUUUCCCACAUUUGAUUGCCAAGGACGAACACUCAAUUAUCUGGACAAACGAUUUAUCCACCUUUUAAACAUUAAAGCAUCCGAUUCUCUUUCUGGUAAACUUUUUUCUUUCUUUUCUAUUUUCCUUACAGAUGUAAGUGCCACAAGGCUCAAUAUUGACUCGAACCUUAUCCUAACUGCAAGGUUCCAUAUUGUCCUACAAGAAUAGCUAGCACCAAAUGAAUUAGUAGAUGUAGUAAAGGAAAACACUUAACUUAGGUGGGGCAGAAAUUGGUUUAAGAGGAAGACUUGGCAACUGCCCUCUCAGAAAGGCUUGCUAACAUGUCUUUGAAGAUUUUUCCAAACAAUUGCUUGAGAAAAGGAGAGAUCACAUCAGAACAAGUCAAAGCAUCAAGAGAUCGAACCACACCUUUUCGAACAAGAAAAGUGAAAGCUGAAGAUAUCCCUUUGACAAUUACAUCUUUUCUUUCAAUGUCAUAGUUUUCCACCAGCAUCAAGAGAAAUUCUAGAAGAGUAUGAGUUAUGUCAACAUAACUAGGAAUGGAAUGUAUCAUUAGCAAUAUCCCAGGCUCAAUGUUCAUUAUAUUAUCUACCUUCUCAUCAAAGAAAAGCCAAUCAUAGAAUAAGGCAAGCUUAACAUUUGCUUCGACAUAAUUCCUCUGGGAAGAUUUUAGCAACCAGCCUAUGACAGCCCACCUCGGGAUGAUGUCUGACUGGAUAAUCUCAUUAGGUGGAUGAUGUCCGCAGCAAAUAAACCUAACAAUGUCAGUUAGAAGAGUCUCCCUCUCAGGGACACCAAGAAACUUCUUUGCAAACCAAACUUGGUACCUCUUUUGAUUUCCCAAUUUAACAUGCGUUAGCAAGAACCUCAACUGGUUCUCCAUCUCAGGAGUUAUCCGCAGCAGAAAAUACCUACUGGAAGUCCUUGAAAGGUAGAGCUGUGAGAUAUCUAAAAAUGCAGCAUUCUGAAACACACUAGGGUUCAAUAACAAGUCUUUCCAAAUUGAGCGAAACUCAGGUACAUGAACCAAGUCCUGUAAAAUCCGAACAAGAUCUCUUCCAAUCUUCAAACACAAACCAAAUUUCUCCCUUAACAUCCUAAUGCAAAAAUCAAUUUCAAACCUCUUCAAGGUUUCAACUUUUGAGUCAUUUGGCAACCUACAAUGAUCAGCCAAUAAACGAAGAAACACAUAUAAAGCACUGGUCAAAACUAGAGGUUCAUCCUCCAACAAACAAUCCCAUUUGUCCCUAAAGAGACUAAUCAUCUCAAAACACAACCACAAAUUUCCUUCGCUAAAGUCACCACCAACAAUUUGCCUCAAAAGGGCCACCAAUAAACCAUCAAAUCCUACUCCCAACACAUUCACCAUUUCACGCGUCACCCAAAUCAACUGAGUUUUCACCGAAUCAACGAGUUUGGCAUACAACUCAUUAACAAUCUUGAUAAGCAUGGAUAUAAAAUAAGUGUAGCCAUCAGUGACAAUAGCAUGUAAGUGCUUAAUGUGGACUCUGGCCAUUUGGGGUUCACAUAAAAUUCCACAAAGAAUUGCUUUGUUCAGGUUGAAGUACUCUUCUUGAGUUUGAAGUUUUAAAGGAAAAGGGGGUCUGAGUUGGGGCUCCAGAAGCUUUUCAGCUUCUCUAAGAGAGACUUCAAGUGAGUUGUCAGCUUCAAAGAUUGCAUUUUUAGUCAGUUUGGAAUGCAUAUUUCGAUCAAUCAAUGAAACUAACAGUCCUAAUUAAGGACCAGAAUACUGGAAAUUGUUGACCUGAUCAGAAGGACCGUCGCAUCAGCAGCAGCAGAACCCUAGCAGUGGAAUGUUCGGAUGGUGGCAAUUUGGCGGGUCUCCUGCUCUGCCAAAACUUCGCGAUGGGUUAAUUACACUGAACCCCUUUAAAAUAUGACGGUCUCAGAAGUGCUUCCCUGUAGUUUUGAAAAUUAGAGUUAGCUCCCCCAUCAUCAGAAUGGGCAUUUCUCGUAUCCCAAAAUCAUGAGCCACCUUCCGCGUUUGGAUUGGUCAUUUUUUAAAAAACUAGAAAUUUUCUGGCUGUGCAAUGCCCAAUUUGUUGUGUAAAAAAUAUUGAAAAAUUCCCCAUAACUCCCAUUUUUAAAAUUAAUAGAACAUGGAAUAUUUAAUUGUCGUCAUGUUGAGAAACCAUGUCCAUGUGCAAACUAUUAUAGCAGUAGGGUAAUUAAAGCAAUGUCCAUGUCCAUGUGCAAAACCAGAGAAACUAAUAUAACAAGGAAGCUGCAAAAUAAUUGAAGACUCAGGUAUGUUAAAAGUCUUUGUCCCCCCAAGUUAGGAUCCGUCCAUGAACAAUCCCCUUUCAAUGAACCAAGGUAUGGAACUCAGAAGAGCUUAUCUGUGCCAGGAAUUAAUCAGUGUAUGACCAGUUCCUAAAACCAAAAUUUAAGCAGAAACCAAAUUAUAUCAAACAAAUCAUGAUUUGUGUGCAGAUUCUACUCGUUGAGCCCCAAAACAUGUGGAAAAUUAGAACCAAGACAGUAGAAGCUGGGGAAAUACUCUAUAACUGGUCUUUGGUCCUAACUAUGAUAGUCACUAACAUGACAAUGCAGUAAAAGUCAAAAACAAUCGAUGAAAUUAAUGUUUCUAGGUCUAUCAAAGUAUUGUUUCCAAUGGAAUUUAAAGAUAGUUCGAGCCAUUGCAAGACAUUAAAGGAUCAUUCAGCAUACAAACACAAAGGCAAAAGUAAAAUCAUUUUUUAUUAGGACCAAACAGUAAGCUAAAGAACAUCUCUCAAAUCAUUUAAUACUCCAUAACAAUGGGACACGUAAAUUUUCAGAAAACUUAACCAGUAUAGUGGUAAAGCUACCUUUAGAAGCAAAUCAUCAAACACAAAGCAUGCUACUAUUGUAAAAGAUGAUCACACACCUUAAACACUGGAUGUUUACUUUGCUGUGCUUCUUCUUGAUUCUUUCAAACUUACAAAACAAUCAAUAAUAAAAAAAGCAAACAUUUCUGCUAGGAGGUCAAUUUGGGAAAAAAAAAGGCUAGAAAAACUCAACAAUAAAUUCAUCAAAUGGCUGAAAAUUGAUGCGAAAGUGUGAGUUUUUCUUCGUGUUUUUGGCUAGGAAGGCAAAUAGGGGUGGGGAGGGGAGAUGUAUAGUGCUUUCCCCUCUUUGAUUCUCUCCUUUUUCUGGGCAAAAAAAGAAUUGCAUGGUUGGGAGAUGAGAUAGUGUACAUAGAAGGUAAAUUUUAAGGCCAAGCAUAAAUUGGGGUGGAAAAUCACUAAUUUUUUGGCCAAUAAGAAUGUUUUUUAAAAUAUACUUUAUUAAUAUUUCGAUGCCUUAAAAUACCACAUAAAACCAGUAAAGCGCAGCUAUAUCUUCUUAAGAAGCAUAAGCAAAAACUUAUCAUAAGAGUAAAUAGCCAAACAUAUAGGCACAUAACACUAAUAUUAAAAUAUUUAAAAUAUCAGCCCAUAUAAUAUUAACAAAAAUUUCAGCAAAUUAAUGAUACAAAUCAGAGGUAAACUAACCUGGUAUGAACAGAAAUUUUACUGCAGAACCUUUUCUAUUUUCGGACCAAAACUGAAAAUUACAAAAAAAAAAAAUUACUGAUCAGUAUAUAUGUCCGUGGUGCAAAAAAAUAAAGAAAAAAAGAAUGGCAAGAAAUGUAUUUACCAGGAUGCAAAGGAACAAAAGGCACCAAACCACUUGCGAGGACUUUCCACUUUCCAAAAAAAGCUGAAAAUACCAAAAAAAAAAAAAGACUAAUUGUGUAGCAUUCGUGUGUCUGCUAUGCGAAGAGGAAAAAGGCAAACAAGUUUUAAAUUUUUCUUUACCAUAGAGGAAUACACCAAAAGGCAAGAAACCUCUCUAUUUUUCUUUUCACCUAUGAGAAAAUGAAAUAAGAUGUAUAUCCUAUAAAGCCUCUAACCUCAAGUGCCCUUUUCUGUUCCUCCGGUUUUUAAUACUGAUUCUACUUCCCUCUUACUAAGCAGCCAUCAAAUACAAGCCGAGAGAGUAAAAUUUAGAGUCAGAAAUUGUUGACAAAGAUCAGAAGGUUGAGAAAUAAGGGUUCAUACGGGCUUAGUGAAUCAGACGAGGGACCAUUUUUUGAACAAAAAAAUCCCUGAAUUUUAGGGUAAAAGUGUACACCUAAUCUAUGGAAAAAUUUGUGGGUUUCAUGUCUGCAAGUACAAAUACCUGAUAAAAGGAAAAAAUCUACAGUGAAAAUAAGAAAGAAAUUGCAGUGAUUGUCAAGCAUAAAAAAGGAAGAGAAAGGAAAGAAGAAACAAAGAAGCCAGAGAAAGAAGAGACGGGAGACUUACCCAAAAAAGAGGAGAGACGGGAGAAGGAAGAUAACAAUCAUCAGUUCGUGCAAACUCUCCAGGUAAGGAAAACAAUCAAUCCUUUAAUCAUCAUUAGGAAUGAUCGAACGGUUCUCAGGUAUCAAUCUUAGAUUAAGACACGAUCCAACGGCAAAAAGUUGCCAGAAAAAUCUUUAUUACCCUAACAAAUGCAACUAAGGGGGAGAUAUGGUUCGAAAUUACAAUAGUACCCCCCAGCAGUUAGAAACUAUUAUGACCUCCUUUUAUCCUUGAAGGGCUUAGUGGACAUUUAACACUUGGGCAGACAAAAAUGCCCAUGAAUAGUAGAGCACUAUUUGCCAAAGUAAUCAAAACUCAAGGGCUUAGUUGACAUUCGCCACAAUUUCAACACAAAUUUUUUAAAAUCCCCCAGUCUCCUUCGAACAUGUGGCACAAUGUGGUGCAAAGUCUUGUGUUUUUAUAUAUAUGUAAGAUAUUUAUUCAAGAGAGACGUGAAUUUUCAUUAAAUCAUCAAAUCGGUUUGUCUAUGUCUCGUUGGGUCUCUCUUUCGAACAUGUGGCACAAUGUGGUGCAAAGUCUUGUGUUUUUAUAUAUAUGUAAGAUAUUUAUUCAAGAGAGACGUGAAUUUUCAUUAAAUCAUCAAAUCGGUUUGUCUAUGUCUCGUUGGGUCUCUCUUUCCACAGUGUAGGCUAGAGUAGGAAUAUAAGUAGGAAUAGGAAUACGAGUAGGUUAGGCUAACUAUUACCGUCUAACAAAAAAAUCAAGGAACUUACCUACUGAACCUAUUUCAUUUUUCUCUUUUAAAAAUUUUACAACAUUUCAUUUUUAAAAAAUUUUACAACUACUCAUCAAUAGCUGAGUAUUACUCCCAAGCAUUAUAGUUGUUAAAAUAACGAUUCAAAUAGUAAGAUUGUACAACCUUACAAUCUAGACCAUGGCUAUCAAUUCGAGUCAUUACUAGUAUUGAAAUUUUACCUUAAACAAGUAAAAUUGGUAAAAUCUUGAUUUCGAUCGUAUGAUUGUAAGCUCCUAUGAUCCUGAUAUGCUCAUAUUAUUUAAAAAUAUUGCGAUAAAAGUUUUAGUAUUUUGACCAUAAAUUUGUGUAAAAAAAAUUGGAAUUGAAUGCCAUUUAUCGUGUUGGAAACAAUAUUUGAAGGGUUUUAAGUUCAUGUAAAUCUUUCAUACUAAUUCCUUACCCACAAAAAUUGGCAAACCUUUAAAAUUGACCCAUGUAUUUCAUUAGAUUAAGAAGAUAACAUUUCAUAGAUUAUCAUUUAGGGCUAUUGUCUGGGGCUUUUAUUGUGGUAAAUUAGCAUGAUGAAGAGUCUUUGGAACUGAAUUGAUUAUUUUUGUUACAACUAGGUAAGUAAAUUUUGAACCCAAAAUACAUGUUGUGUCAUAAAUUUCUAUUCUCAUAAUUUUCUUCAAUUAUUUGUUUAUUUCUAAUUUUUAAGUCAAAGACAUACUUGAAAUAUUUUAUUAUAUAUACAAUAUUUAGAUAUCCUAUUAUAUACAAUAAAUGAUGUUGUCAUCGAUAAAUAUUAUCUUAUUAAUAAAAUACUUAAAUGAUGUUUAAUUAUCUUAUUAAUAAAAUACUUAAAUGAUUUAUAUACAUAUAAAGUCAAAUUUUCCAACUGCCUUGUCCAUCAAUUAUGUUUGGGUUUAAAAAUUAGAAAAACAAGAUUUUUAGUUUGAUCACGGGCAAUACAAUACGUUACAUAUAUUCCCAAAAUUUUUGUUUUGAUUUUAGACUACCCCAAAUGUUUUAGAUAGCACAAUUUUAACUUUAAUUGAUAUUAUUAUAUUGAUUGCACAUGAGUUACAUUAUUUAUUGCUCUAUAUGCGAAUUGCAAACCUUAGAUUAUUAUUAUGAGUACUCUUAUGUUUUGUGUAGGAUCUAUUAUUGAUUUUAUGAUCGAUUCUGCAAACACAGAAACAAUUUUAGAUAGGAUUCCAAUUUUGAAAACCUUGCUCCCAAGUAUCGCAAUAGAAGUCGACGGAAUAUCAGUGCUUUCCACAGAAAUGCUCUUCUAACUUGCUACUAGACCAGAAACUCAGUUCAUUUGCGAUACCCAACCCCUCCCCUCCAACCCACACAAUCAUGCGCAAGCUGCUGCAACUAUUACGAUCAGUAAGCAAGAAAUAUUAGCAUUACAAACAAAAGACCUACAUCUCCUAGUCGUCACAGCAGCUAGCCACAGGCAAAUGAAAUGCGAUAACCCCAAUAAUUCUUUGAUUUAUUGGCCAGCCCAAAAGCUUUGAUUUAACGAAUAUUGAUUCGAAACUCAAAAGCCUAGAACCAGAAACAGAGACAGACCCGUUCCCUCCUAAUUAUCAAACAAUUUAAGCGCACAAGGAAAACAAAGACGAAGAUAUUAGCAAGAAAAAGAUGAAGAUUUACCUCCGAUCACUUGCCGACGAAGAUAUCAGCUCGAUCUGGGAUUCUGGGUUGGGUAAAAUUUUAGGAGGAUUUAGACAGAGAGGAUGGGUUUAGUUGAGUAGUGAUUAGAACUGAAGGGAAUGGGAGGCGACGGCGGUGCCUGCGAAGGAGGAACUGAGGGGGAUAAUAAGGGGUUUUGUUAUGAGGAACUGAGGCCGGGUGCCGCUACAUCCACGCUCCUGAAUAUAGAAAAUAACGGCAAAAAUGAAGGGCAAAAUUGUCACUGGAAUUUUAUAUAUAUUGGCGACCCGUUGGGCAAAUCACACGUUGGAAUUAAAGGGCACAAAAAAAUAAAAAGGAAAAAGAGUAAAGAUAAAAGAGGCUGUAUAGAAGUUGAGAGAGCUGUUUCCGUUAUCCGAUUGUCUUUCCUCCUGCUCUCUCUCUCUCUCCGUCGAUAUUUUUUCAUUGCGGAUCAAAUUAGGGUUUUUGUUAGCUAUUGAAUAACCGAGUCGACUCAGCCAUGCAUUCCGAUUCAAUUGCUGCCAACGCUUCCAACAUCCCUGCGGCUUCCUCCAACGCCAAAGAUUUCGUCAAGAAAAAGAGGGUAAUUAUUAUUAUUAUAUAUAUAUACACACACACACACAUAUGCCUAUGUACAUGUAUUAUGUGUGAUUAUGAAUGUGCAUGCAUUCAAUCAUUUAAACAAUUCAGCUGAAUUUUUUAUUUUCCUGUAUUGAUUAUUGACUGGAUUCGAGCAAAUUUUGUUAUCGGUUUCCCCUUUUUUUUUUUCGUUAAUUUUGAAGAUUGCAUUUAUAUUGAUUUUGGAUGCGAUUCUGCCAAAUUUGUCCACAGUGGUGAAUUCCGAUUCAAUUAAGGAGUAUCUAUCUUUUGAUCAUUUAUAUUGUUUCAAGAUUUUUUUUUUUGGAGAAAAUUGGAUGCUUUUAAUGGGGUUUUUUGUUGCUUCCUGUGAACGUUUUUUUUUUCAAGAUUAUAUCUGUAUGACGGAAUUGAAUAAUCAUUUUAGCUCAAUGAAUCUUAUUCUUAAACCAAAAAAAAAAAAUUUUGUGGGGAUUUGUAGGUUAACCGGUCUGCCAAGUUGAAGCAGUGCAAGCUUGAUGCUCGUCGUGAGCAGUGGCUCUCUCAAGGUUUGUAAAUAUAUGUCUUUUGCAUGUAGCUUUCACACCCUGAAGGCUCUUAUCUUUUGUACUAAAACCCUAUAGCGUGCCUGCUAUUAGGUCUGAAUUCAAAUAAAUUGAUCUUUUGUUCCUUUUUUUUCGUUUAAUUUUACAUCUUUCUGUUGGUAAUUGGGAUUUAUAUAGUCAAGAACAAGAGUGGGAAGGAGGAAUCAAAUGGUGGAACUAUUGGUCAGCCAAUGGCCACUGCAGGCAAUAGGAUGGGCAGAGCCAUAGAGAAGCUGGAAAUAAGGCCGAGGGUGGAGGAAGAGAAUGAUGGUGGAUCUGUACAUCAUUACAGUGAUUCUGAGUCACCCUCAAAUAGCCCAAUGAGCCACACUGGAAGCGUCCUGGGAGGCAAUGACUCCGGUACGAAUUUCACUGGGAGCAGCAGCAGCAGCAGUAGCAGCAGCAGUGGUGGAUGUUGUUCAGGAAGCAUGAGUGAAGAGGAUGAAGGUGGAGAGGGUGGAUGCUUGGAUGAUUGGGAGGCUGUGGCUGAUGCAUUGGCUGCUACAGAUGAGAAGCAGCAAUUGCAUAUUGGUUCAGCUCCUGUGGAUAAGAAUAUUGCCCAUUUUGACUCUCAGUCAGAUGUUGAUAUUUUGAAAGAAAAGCCAGAGAAUGGGGUAUCAGUGCAGAGAGCUCCAGUGAAUUGCCGUGCAUGGAGGCCUGAUGAUGCUUUUAGACCUCAGAGUUUGCCCAACUUGUCCAAGCAGUACAGUUUCCCAAUGAAUUCAGAUAGGCAUUAUGGCUGUGGUGGAUCUGUCUGGGGUUGCAAGAAUGCUGCAUCCAUACCAAAAUCUUGCCCUAUCUGCUAUGAGGAUCUGGACUUCACUGAUUCAAGUUUUCUUCCUUGUUCUUGUGGGUUCAGGCUUUGUCUUUUCUGCCACAAGAGGAUUCUUGAGGAGGAUGGGCGCUGUCCUGGCUGUCGUAAGCAGUAUAACUAUGAUCCUGUUGAGGGGGAGGCAACUCUGGAUGGAGGCAGCCUUACAUACCGAUUGGGUCGUUCUUGUAGCAUGAUAACAAGGUCUUAGGAAAAAGUGUCUACUUCCCUUUAAUGUAUGCUGCGUCCCCUUCCCUCAUGCAGUAUCGCUCGGCUUUAUAAUUUUGGACUCUGAUUUUAGUAGCAUUAGAUGUUGGUAUAGGAGUGAUUUUCAAGCACAGGAGUAUUAAUAUGGUUUAAUGAUUUUGAUCCAUAUUUCUAUGAUGCUUGUGCUAAUGUAGAAGGCUCAUUAUGUGAAUAGAUAAUGUGGUAUAGAAACUGAACAUAUAAUAUUGGAUUGAAAACAGCUUAUGGUGUGAAUUUUCGUGUACUGGGUUAAUUUACUGUUACCAAUGAAAUAAAUUCAAAAGAUAUCCAUGUAAGCUACUAGCUGUAUCCACCUGUUCAGUUAUAUAUAUGUUUGUGUCCUGUAUUUAUGUCCUGUUAGCGACCCAAAGCAAAUAUUUGGACUUCAAGAGUUUAUCCUUGGAUUUGGUGCAUGAGAUAUUUGCUUUUAGUGAGGAAUACUUUAGGCACAAUUAGUGAAAUGCUUGGAGGCAGCUGUACCUUCAGAGUAUUACUACUGUAUAUUAAUCUAUUACAGGUUUUAGCUUUUUGGUUGUUUGGUAGGAGAGAGUGGGGAAAACAAAGGCUUGAUCUUGAUCCAUCCUUCUGCCCAACUCCCCCCCCCCCAACACCCAAAAACAAAGAAAAAAAAAAGAAAAAAGGGAAAAGAUAUCCAUGUAACCUUCAGAGUAUUGCAAGAUUUUAGUGGUUCAGAGGGCUUCAAUAUUCUCAGAUUGUGCUGCAUAUCAUCAUUUUUCCAAUCAAUGUGUCUAUGGCAGGAGUGAUAUGGAAAAGAUUUGGUCUCCUACUUCCCAAUGGUGUGUUAUGGACCACAUUGUGUAACUUAUGGUUGAUCGGGGAUUCCCUAGCUCCAUAACCUGGUAUUACCAGGUAUGUGAAAUUGGUACAUCAGCAUCAACACACAGGCUGAUGUGAUUAGCCUUUCAGGGAAGAGUUGCUUACGUUGCAGGGCAAUGGUAUUUCAAACAGAAUCUGCUUUUGGCUGUUGCUGCUGAAAUGCUAUUCCUGGACAGUUUAGUUGACAUUUUGUGGAUAUCACACUGUUCAAUAUUGCAAGUAAGGUGAUGUUCCAGUUUGAAUGUAUGUAUUUUGCUGGUUGUUAGUGGUGGUGUAAUUAUUUGAUGUUGACUUCCCCUAAUUUAGCAAGGCUUGUGGGAAGUGGGGGGAGGAAGGAAAAUUAGUGGUAGAGAAAUUUUCUUAUCUUUCAUUUUCUUGCACCUCUCUGUUGAUAACGUUACUCUCUUUGUCACUAUUUCUGCCUUUACUGUAUGUUGAUUGUUGUAUAAACUUUGUUCAUUCACUUAUGUUAGCAAAGUAUUGGAAUAUGAAAUGGCAAUUUUCUUGGUUACUUUCUGGUUACAUCUGCUUCGCCUCUUUUUAGAGGCUCGUCAUUUUAGCACAUAUUGUUGCUAUAUCAGUUACUGUUUUUCAUGGGUAAGUGGGUGGGAGCAUGACAUUAGUAGUUGCCUCCCAUUCUUUCUCUGUCUCUGGCUAUGUCCUUGAGCAGAUUGUCAAGUUUUGUGUGUGCAUUUUGAUUCAUGUGUCUGUAGACGUACUUAGAAGCUGUGGUAUCAGUUUGAUGGACCAGCAUAUACUUGGAUUUUUAUUUUCUGCGUUUCAAAACCAAGAAAAUAGCCAUCUACCCUUCUUAUUCUCUGUCAUUCAAGUUUUAGUUUACGCUCUAUGAUGAACUCGGGUGUCCAAAGCUGCAGGUUAUAGCCUACAUUGUUGAUCUCUCAGGGAAAAUGUUGAACAUUUUCAAAUAUGUGGGAGAUGAGGAGAUAUAAGCAUCUCUUUCUAUAAUGGAAGCAGGACAGGAAUUUGGUCCAGUGGAAUUGUACUUGCAUUAUAUUAUAUACAUGAAUGUUUGCAUUAUAUUAUAUACAUUUUAUUAUAUAGAUAAAUUUGCUGACUGUGGUGCCCUCCAUUGGCAUUCGUCGUCGUAGAUUUUGUUAAUGGAAUGAGUCUUGCGAAAACACGAUGCAAAGAGUUUGACCAUUUGUUUGAAGAGCUUCGUACGUUAUCCCCCUUCGUGCAUCUAGUUUUCUGGGUUUGCUUAUUGACAAAUCAUUUUGUGAAAAUUUUGCAUUUUUCUGUCUGCUGUUCCCUUGACGGCGACACUUGGCCAAGAAACGGGUACAUGUAAUGAUGUAAAUGCUUCGUGAUUAGAUGCUAUCCCAGAAUGAAAAUAGAAAUUUGUGAAGGUUGUAUAUAUCAUUUGUUAAGGAGUUGCUGUGUGCGGAAGGAGCAGGGGAUGUGAAGAACAACACUAGAUUCCAUUAGCAAUAGGCUGCAGUCUAGAGCGCAAUCCAGCUGAGGGAGGGAGCAAGAUCCCGCAGCGGUUCAUGAGACCGGUUGAUAUUUUCCUAAGCCAAUUUGAUCAUUAUGCUUAUGGUAUUUUAUAUUUUUCAUUAAGAUUUUUACAAUUUUGGGGAUUCAUUGUAGAACAAUUGCGUCCCUGACAGCGAUGCCGAGCCAUGAUUACACAAUUCAUCCCAAAAUUCCCUCCAUGGCUGCUACAUCUGCAAAUCCAACUCAGUUACUCAGUUUUUUUUUUUUUUUUUGGCUAAUUCAAACAAUGCAUAUCUAAAUUCUGACUGGUAAAUGAUUUUAUUAGAAUUUCCUCCAUUGAUGUUAAUUUAAACAAGGCAUAUCUAAACUUUGACUGGUAAAUAAUUUUGUAGGGGAUUGAAGUUAAGAGAUGAUCCUACGACAUAAAACGUUUCCCAAAAUAAUAGAAAUAAGAUGAGCUAAUUUAUUUACAUUUAAUGUUUUUUUUUUUUUGGCUGAAGUCGGAGCUUUAUGUUAAAUCUUUCUGGUGUUUAUAAGCUUUAUUGGCUGCUCUAGCUCUUAAUGUCUAGAGAAAUUGUUCUUGCUUAACAAUAUUUAUUGUUUUGUUUUUAAAAACUUAGGGAUAAUUUCAGAAACCUCCCCUGAGGUUUCUGACAGUCUCACUCACCUCCCCUGAACUUUGCAAAAUAUCAGAUACCUCCCUUGAACUUAUAGUUGGAGUAACAAGAUCAGCCCAUGUCAGAAAAAUGAGCAUUAAAAGAAUAUUUUGAGGAGUGAGAUGAUAUUUGUGUUUCACAUAUGCCUUUUUUGCUUAUCCACAACUUGAGCUAAAGCAAAAGCCAAAAAAAGAAGUAAUAAGUUGAACUAGAUAGAGACAAAUGCAGGUGGCUUCUUCAAGCAAUGUUACAAUGCUAUUUAUAUUUUUUUUGUUUUAGCUAUUAGACAUUUAUUUAGCUAAUAUGAUCAUUCAAUGAAUUGAAACAUACUUCUGGUGAUAUAAAAAAAUGUAUAGUUUUAUAAUUUGAGUGAUUAAAAGUAUAAAUUUUAUUAGUUAAGUCAUAAAAAAAUAAUAUUUGAGUGAUUAAAAGUAUAAAUUUUUACUAGUUAAGUCACAAAAAAAAUUUCACUAUUUGGUUAAUUGAGUGAAUGGCAAUUGCAGUUAAAUAAAUAGUAUAACGAUCAAAUAACCAAAUUCUCAAUAGUUUAAUAACUCUUUUUGCAAAUUUCUCUGUGGAAAAUGAAAUGAAGUAGCAAGAUACUUCAUUUCAUUUAGUGCUAGAUACUUUAGUUGAGAUUUAAAAAAAAAAAAAAUUAGUUCACAUUGUAGUCAGUCGAAUUUAUUCAACAAGCUUCGUUUGAAUACCAGAACUUAAGUAGAUCCAAUUUUCAAAUAAUUCAAUAAUCCAAAUUGUGUCGCAACACUUUAUGAGAUGAUGUAAUAUACAAUUUACGUCAUUGAAUUUUUGAAAACCAAAUUUACCCAAAUAUAAGUAAUGAGUUACACUAGAUAAUUGUCUUACAAAAAAAAAACAUGAAAUACAUGACUUUAGAGAAAGGUAACACUAGUGCUAAACUAUUCAUUGGUGAUUGUACUACGAAUAAAAAGUGUAAAGUGGAAUAGAAAGUAUAUCAUAAGUUAUAUCAAAAAGUUAUAUAUCUAUUAUUCAUUUAACUAAUUCUGUCAAAAUAGCUUCAAAAUAUAUCAUAAGUUAUAAGGGUAUAUCUGUCAAUUCAUCAUCAAUGAUAUCACAAAUAAGGCCCAAUAAUCUGACAAGAGAGGUAUCUGAUAUUUUGCAAAGUUCAGGGGAGGUGAGUGAGACUGUCAAAAACCUCAGGGGAGGUUUCUGAAAUUAUCCCAAAAACUUAUAAUAUUGUGAUUUUUAGUGUACUUUUUUUUUUUUUUACCAAAGCCUAAGGACUUUUACGAUAAUUUACUAACCUCCAUCCACAGCAAAACCACAAAAGCCAUAGUGUACUUACAUUAUGGGUAUCAAUAUAGAAUCUAAAAAGCUCAAAAAGCUUUCUGACAAAUAUUAGAUCCAUGGUUUCAAAAAAUAUUAAAAGUUAACAUUUGUCAAAAUAUUGAAGUACCAAGACAUGUCACUUUUUUGGGAUAAUGUACUUCUGGAUGCCACGCGGAACAAGAAGAAAAACUUCUGAACUGCUUCUUAACUUGUUACAAUGCAGAAGAUGAAAGCCAAAGCAGGAACAAGGCUUCUCUAAAACUUGUUCAUCAACCUUGCAAUGCAAGAUUCAGAUUGAUGUUUGGGAGGAAGAUAUCUCCACCAUUUGCAAAAGGUUGAUUCAUCAAAGAGAACAUCUGAACUUAGAUGCCCGUCGUGUAUCCACUUCAAUGUUCGUCUCUCCAAGCUGACAACCUUCUCCUUCAUUUCUUCAAAUGGCUUUGCUCUGAGUUCCUCCACUUCAGCCCAGAAACAUGACUCUGAGCUCGAUCCUGCUUGCAUUUUCUCAGCAUGUUCAAGCCAUCUUUGUGUAAAUCUAUAACGUUUUGGCCUAGCCCUUAUCAUGUAAGGUCCUGUGUCUUCAUUCUUUAAGUGUCUAUAGUAGUUGGCAAUGUCCAGAGGUUCAACCAACCGCCUAAACAUGGUUCCAAGUUCUAUCCACUCUUUCCUAGCCUCAAAUCCAUCCGGAAGUUCAUAUCUUUUUAACAUUUCAAUGAUUUCAUCCCAUAUUCCCGCUAACUCCAGUCUCUUGACAUUUGCAUUGAAGUCGUUUAUGUCUUUCUGAAGCUUAAAGGCAUCAUAAUAACCUACCUUGCGCACUUCACAUUUGGUCUGGUACGCUUGUAUCUCGUUUAGUCCUUUUCGUAUGCUAUCCCUGUUGGAAUCAAUAUUGACUUGGUUUUGUAUUUUCUGCCUCUCCAACUCCCCAGCAGCACGAAGACACAACCUUGCUCUUGAACUCUAGAAUUUGAAGAAGCACGUGAAAUUUAGCUCAAAAUAAGUAAUCCAGGUUACACGAAAUUGUAAGAUGAGCUGAAUGCUGAAGAAAGUAUUCCUUACCAGGCCGAGAUCGUUCAAAACAGUGUUCAAUUUUGCUGCUUCAUUAUUUGUGUUGGCAUGUGAAGACAAAGGAAGUUCCACAAGAUUGUUCAAAUGAGCAACAUUUUGCAUUUCUAAGCAAUCCUGUAAAUGAUUUUCGUAGCUCAAAUUGUCGUUUAAGCUUCUAUAAACAACGUGCGCAAUUUCCGUUUCAGAGCUUAGCUGAGCCGAAUAAAACAGCAGCUGCAGGAUUGCAUCUGGAUUCUGAAGGAUAACUGAUUUUCCAUUUGCAGUGCAGAAGAUAUAGGUGCCAAAAGGUCUAUAUGGACUGAGUUCAAUAAAGCUGGACACAGUUUCCAACAACAAAUUUGUGCAUCCCAUGAGGUGACAAGCAGCAUGGCUAGCUACAGCCGAUGCAUUUCUCAUGACAACCAUAAAACAGGAUGUUGCAGCACUGGAAUUUCCAAUGGAUUCAUUCUGAAAAUAUGGGGAUUUUGAACUUGUGUAGAGGAGGAUUUGCUGCAUCCCUGCUUCAAUGGAUGAAAGAGGAGAAAACAUGACGCGAGGCACAAUGUCAUGCCUCGUGACAAAAUGUAUAAAAUAGCGAGCCCAAUUUUCUCGUCUGAGAGCAUGCGAAAAAAUUCCGUCUCCAGCAAGGGGGGAUCCAAAAGUCACGCAGUAAGGCGGUUUCUGGUAAUUGUUAGUCCUUACGUAUUUCUCCAAAAACCAGAUGGUCGCUAGUGAGGCAAUUGGACCACCUGAGGAGUGUCCGGCGAACACUAUCUGCUUUCUGUCCGACAAUGCUUUUUCCACCUGAACAGUUUUUUUUUUUUUUUUUUUUUACUGGUCAACAAAGGAAAUCGAGUCUACUGAUAUAUCCGUGCUAAAAGCAAAGACAGUUAACGGUAGUGAAAGCUAAUUGAUCUGCCAAAAAGACAGCAGUAGCAAAAAAAAAAAAAAAAGCAAACAUAAUCUGAUGAAUUACCUCCCUCUCCAGCUGCGAAUUGCAUAAAAGUUGUUCAAAUCUGGAAGAGAAAGCUUCAUUUACUAGAGCUAGCUCAUCCAUGCCAAUACUCUUGAGAGACGGAAAUAAGGCAAUAUUGAUCUUGGUUGCCCCAAAAGGCGUUCUACUGUACCAAUCAGUCACGGCCCACGUUCCAGGAAAGGCGCAGACUGCUUCUGUUGAGCUGCGCGUCGUCUUUUCCCAGAUAUACGCCUUCUCAGGCGACUUGAGAUGAGCCUUCAUGGCUAAAUUACAAGCUUUUUUGAUCAGCUCUUCCUUAAGUCCGAUAGUAUCACCCAGCGCCAUCUUCUGCUUCUGCUUCUGCUGUGUCUCCUAACUAACUACCAGCGCCACCGCCAAAUAUAUGCCUCUUUAUUAGAGUUCACCUUCUUGCUUGACUUGGCAUAGAAACUGCCAAGGCUAAUUAGAAUAGAGAGCAAUAGGAAGUUUCGAAGAAGUUGUUCUAAUUUGACUAAUUAUUUUCCGCGAACCAAUCGAUCUGCCAAGGCUGCUUUUCCUAAUUUCCAAUACCACUUGAAACGGGACAACAACAACAGCUAACAAGGAAAUAGUGGAGAAUUGAAUUUGCAGCAAGAGGGGCGAAUUAUUGUUGGCUGUUGUGAAAAGACGAAGAUGCCCUUGAGUUGUGGGCGGGCCUCACAUUUUGUGGACGAGGGUUUUCAUUGUCUUUUUAACCCUGGGAAAAAAUGACGGCACUAUUUUGGUGAGAAUUUUUUGUUUCGAUUGAUGAGGUGACAGUUUUUCCCCCUUCUUCAUGUUGAGAAUAAUAAACAUGUGAUGGAAAAAAUUAAAAUUUUCUUGUUGGUGUCUCGAGUUUCAAUUUUAAUCCCCGUUGGUUUCUCUGCAGAUCCACAAACGAUCGACUGUUACCGGUUCUCCAUUCUCUUCUUUUCCUUCUUCGUUGGUUUUCUGCUCCUCCAUUCUCUCCAAAUUUUUGAUCAGUUAUCUCAAGCUCUGUUGCCGGCAAUUUUUUUUUAUUUUUUUACGGAAAUCAAGUUGUUAGGGCGUGGAUGGCUUCUCCAACUUCUAGAAGCUUCCAGAAAGAGCUUAUGAAGUUACUUCUAUGUAUGCUUAGAUCUGUUGAAAGAUCAUGAUAUUAGAAUUUCGUAGGUUGCUCUGCCUCGGUGGCUGUACCUUCUUGUGAGCAAUUGAAGCUUCAUUUCAAUGCCUUUGUUCAGAGACGUGGAGAUGCUAAAUAGCCGGUUCAGGAUGCUGCCCGCAGCCUUUCCUCACUUUAAUGGAGGUAUUGGAGAUGCUAACUGAAUGUUGUUGAAUUCAUUUCUUGUUUUAUAAAUUUAGUGAUUUCUGUUGCAAUUUGCUUGCCACUUUUGUUCACUUGUCAAUCUUGAGUUUUUGCUUGGGGUAGAGGUUCUAUGUGACUGGAGCUCCUUUAGUUUUCUGUGCUUGGUUUAGAAAUUUAGGUACAAAGGAUCCAUCGUGUUCUUGUUUGAUUUAAUCAAGUAGAAUGUUCAGGAUGAAUGCUGGUGCAAUGAAUUGAAACAAUUAGCUUAACACGAUUCUUUGAAUUACUUGGGUAGCAUAUUCAGGAGGGUUUUGAAUUUCUAAUUUUGGAAAUCAAGUCAAUUAAUUUUGUGGUCUGUAGUUUCUUCAUGGUCAUUUAUCAUUGUUCAUGUUAUUGUUGAUUGUUUUCUUAAUAUGACUAUCAGAACUUUCUGUGGAUCUUCUUUGUGCUAAUUUAGGAAGUUUUGGCUGUAUGUAAAGUACUUGAAAUUGAAUAGUCAAUUGUAUUUGCUUGAUUAUGGUUGAAUCAUUGCUGGAAAGUUGGGUGGAAUGUCUCUGAGAGUUAAAAGAGAAAGCAUGUUGAAGGAUUAGUUGUUCCUUUUGUAGUUUGAACAGUUGGUGUUCUGUUCACUUUUUGGAUAUUGUUUUCCUUUUGUUUUUCUUUUAAUUACAAAUUACAGUCUUAUGGAAAGAUAGUGUAUGUGAAUGUCAUGCGGUUUGUGCUUGCCACUUGCGUGCAAUGUGGCCUGGCUGGAUGCAUUCCAGUGGUUGGUUGAGAAUGGCGAAAAGCAACUUCAAAGGAAGAUCUUUUGUUUGGCUUUAGUCAUGGCAGAAGUACAAUAAUUAUCAAGUGGGUAACUGGAUUAGCGUGUAUCAUCUUGCUGUAGUGCAAUCUAUUAUCUGUGAAGUGCAGAAAUACAAUAAUCUGGGCUGUCUCAUACUCGUUCACCAAUACUCCCCUUGUAUAUACACGUAUAAAUAUACAGCAGUAUAUAAAUAAAUAAAAAAAAAUGCUUCUAUUGUAUGCAAUCUACAGCGAAUUUUUGUGUUAUUAAUUGAUUCAUCUUGAAGAGAAACACAAGCUAAAAUUUGUUGUAUCCAAUCUGCAGCAAUGUUUUAUCUAAAAAAAAAAAAAAUCUGCAGCAAUGUUUUAUGUUAUUAAUUGAUUCACCCUAAAGACAAACUAAUGCAAACAGCUGAUUAACACCAGUCAUAACGAGCCAAAAGAUAGCCUGGGCAACCUGACACACAAGUGUCAGGCCCCAGUUCAACUAGUCUAUUAAGAAAAGAAUAAUAGGUCUACCCACUAAGUUAUGGAUAAGGGAAUAUUGAAUAGGUAUGUUAAUCCUGAAAAGAUGUGAAUUAUCACUCAUGCGAGUUGUGCAAGGAUUUCUUUUUUCUCUUUAUCCUCGUGUUAUUCUUGUCCUUCUAUAAAGAGAAAUAUGUGAAACAUGAGUGCUUUUAUGAUGGAUUGAUUUCUUAUUCUUAUGUGUUAAAUUGUCCUUUGCCAUCCCUCUUGUGUGGUAUCUAGAUUUUGCAGUACUACGGGACAUUUAUUGUAACGUUAUUUGGAGAAUCAAGUUUAACCGGAGAAGGGGUCAUAGGCUUUUUAAGGGGUCAUAUGCUUUUUAUUAAGGGAAAAUUUAAGGAACCUCCCUUGAGAUUUCUACAAUUUCACUCAGCUCCCUUCAAAUUUGAAUAAUUAUACUAAUUUCUCUUCAUGCAAUAAAAUGACUGUAAUAUCCUUCAUUUAUGUAUAAUUUCUACAAACCAAAAAGACCUUACAACUUCAACCAAUCUUUCAUAACAGACUCUUCUCCUCUCUUUCCGACUCUUUUUCCUACCAUCUCUCUCCAACUCUCUCUCCUACCUUCUCUUUCCAACCAAAGAUAUGGAUGUGGUCUCUAAUAUUGCUUUUGGUUGCUCCGUGUUGGUAUUCUUGAUAGGUUAGAUUAUGUUAGCAUUAGGAAGGUUGCAGCCAUUUGGAUUGGAGUUUGGAUGGUGACAUUGGUCAAUUGAAAUGCUAAAUUUGGGCCAAACAAAAUUGUGAGAAAAUGGGAAUUAAGUUGAACUGGUUUGUUGAAUUCGUUAGGAUGAUAGUUACACUGUUUGCAAUAGUUACAGCAUGAAAGAAAUUCAUGAGUGAGUUCCCUCCCCCUUCCACCCCUAACAAAGGGGUAUUUUAGGAAUUUUGAGGACAAAUUUAGCAUAUUGGGUAUAUGUUAUUACUGAAAUGCUAAUAAUAGAGGUGAUAGGUGUGAUUUUUUAAACUAAAGGGGAGCUACUUGCAAUAGUUAGAAAUCUCAAAGGAGGUUUCUAAAAUUAUGCCUUUUAUUAAACAUGUCCUGCAAUUUUUUUGUCGUAACUCCUAAGGCUAUCCUUGUGAAUUAUCUGGAGAAAGAAGAUAGUCAUUUAAUUGAAUUUUCUCCAAAAUCAAAAUGCUCCAUCUUAAUGAUCCUUGAACGGGCUACCCUGAAAAAACUCCUCAAUUUUCAGUAUGUCUACUUUGAUUUCUCCUAUUCCACAUUCUGUGCACUAUCAAAUUUUGUACAUAAACGUCAUUAGUCAUUACUGAAGAUUGUCAGAAAUCAUCUUCUGAUUCACUCGAUAACGUCCCAGUCUCCUGUGACACAAAAUGUGACUGCAAGUUUUGGAGCUUGACUGGAGUCUUUGGGGAUAGUGCUAAUGGUGAUAAAGGCAGGGAUCCUGCACUUGUAAUCGCAGUAGGCCAUGGUUUCUUCUGAAGUUUCUUCGAAAUGUCGAUACAAACUCGAUCAACCAUGGCCAAGAAGUCCUUCACAAUGCCAAACAAUUGAAAUGGAUCUGUCCCUUUGUCUAUUGAAGCUCCAGCUUGGUAAUAUUCUGUGGUUCUUUUAACAAGCUGCAUCACCCUUGCUUGUUCCUCUCUUACCACCUUAAGCUCCUCCUCGCAUUCCUCUAGGAACCCUUUCAUUUCCCUCACAAAUCCACUUCUUUCGUUACUGCUUCCACAGCGUGAAACUAGCUGCCGGAUGUCAUGGAUCCUCAUCGUGAGAGCAGGACACAUACCCAUGAAAUUCUCAUAUUCUGUGGUGGCUGCUUUCUUUACAUUUGAGAGCUCCAUACUUAAGCCUUCAACUAUUGGUAAUCCAAGCAUUAGGUACUCUUUAUCUACGUCUUCUUUGGUAGUCUUGCUAUCCCAACAUUCAUCACCUUUGCCGCUGAUUUCAUGAUUUCGGGUAUUAUUGGCACAGCGUUUGCCCUCGGAACGAAUCACCUGUUCGACCACAAAAUGAAGCAGAGUAGUCUUUCCAUCAGUACUCUUCACGUAGGAAAGUUUUUGGAGGGCGCUGAGCUUGAAACCCUGAGCGUUUCCCCUGGCAGUUCCAGCGUUCAUUCGGUUGCCAGCCUUUAGAAUGGCUUCCAGAAGUUUGAGGAAAAUUCCUCGAGUUCUUAACUCUUUACAGCUCAAUUCAAGUGUUUGCAGAGACUCCUUGAGAUGAAGGAUAUCAGGAUCGUAACUUGACCUGAAAAGCAUCGCAUUGAGACGGAUAAAAGCCGAGGGAAUAGAUUUGAGGAUGUGGUAGAGAAAAGACUCGGCAUCUGCAAGCUUUGUGGGGUUCCCGUCGAAUUGAAGGAUUUUGGCUGCUUCUUCAGGAGUUGGCGAAAUCUUGCUUAGCUUUUCAAGAUCGUCAGCACUCAGUCCAUGACCCUCCUGGAGAGCAUCCAGGAUUUCUUUCCUAGAGAUGGCUAAAGAUUUAAGUACAAUCGCUGUGUUCUGCGACUUCCUAGGAUCAAGGAUGAAAACUUGAGCAGGUGGAGCUGGACUAGAAGCCGUGGAUGAAUUUGAAGAGGAAAUACUCCUUUCCUCUGUGGGUUUCUGGUUUUGGGCGGCAUAUCCAAAGAGAGCUUCCAUAAGGUCAAACCUUUGAAAUGCAAAAGAGUUAGCAAAGGUGACUCGACAUAUAUCCAUCGAGAGCCAAAGAGGAGAUCUAUGAUGGAAAUACCGAAAUUUUCGACUUGAUGAUACUAGUAGUUAAAUCUCACUGUAUAUAUUUAGUAGUACAUGAAUGAACUUACCGGAAAGAUCCAUCGGUGAUCUCAUGCCAAACCAUGGAGUGAUCAGUAUUUGUAGGCACUUUAUCCCAGUACAGUGGCUUCAGUUUGGUCUGACGAUAAGAAGCAUCACCUUUACCGUGCUUGGGUGGAAGAGGCAGUGAUCCAGCUGGUUUCAUUUUGGAUGGAACUGCUGGUGGUUUUGAAAAUCUGUUUGGUGGUUUCGGAACUCCUUUUGCCGGAAGUGGCGGAGGAGGGGGAGGUUGAGGCGUGGACGGGUUCAAGGACGCGGUCUUUCUGACGAGCAGAGGUGGUGGUGGAGGGCUUUGCUUCGGGGGAAUGACUAGUGGUGGAGGUGGUGGUGUAAAAUGUAACAGGCCUGAAGUUUGCUUUGGUGGAUGAUCCAUCAGCGUAACUGCCUGAUGAUCACCGGGGAUGUCAAAUGCAUCAUGAUGAUAAUUGUGAUGGUGUGAUGAUGCCCGUGGGAGCAAGGGAAUUUCCGGGACAGGACUACCAAUACUAUUGCUGCUGGGCUUGAGUUCCCUGCCAUCCAUUUCCUUUUCCUCUUCUUCAUUUAUGGGAUUGAACCAAACCUUGGAAAAACAACUUGUAAACCUUCCGCCUUGAGCUUUUCUCAAAUAAAGAACAUCCCUUCCAUUCUCAUCAACUAUUAGUCCUCUAAGAAUUCCACCAUUUUGCAUAAACUCUUCAUGUGUCACCGCCACCGACGGCGUCAUCUCUCUGCGGAAACUCGAAUUGUGCUGCUUGUCCCUCUCACGCUGCCGAGCCACGGUGAAUCUGUAGACGAAGUAGAAUAAAAUUCCUGCAACGAGUAAGGUGCUCGCAGCCGUGGCUGCAACAGCAGUAGCAACUACUCGAUUUUGUGACAUGGCUGAUCAAGUUUUAAAAAAAAAAAAAAAAGUCACUCUAGCCAAGGAGGAGGACAUGGGAAGACGCAUAUCAUCUUGAGAAUUGGAAAGGGAUCGUAACAAAAACUCGUGUCUUUCCUGCCGAUGAAUGUUUAUCCUCAAGUGCAUAUACCUAUUUCGUGUUGACAGUUUCAAAGAGGGUAGUUGAUUUUUUUAAAUUGGCUAGUGUAAGGUCUUCAAUGUCUUUGUCCAGUGAAUUAACAAAAUACUAAUUCCUUCUUGUGCCGGGAAAGUGUCAGACGGUUGGUGUGAGUUUUUAAUCUGGCUUUGUCAACUUAACUUAUUCACUUGCCUUUUUCCCUAUAUAUUUUGGUAGGAUGACAUCUUCAAUUUGGUCGCACUUAAGAGCAGAGAACUGCUAUCUUGUUCAAUUUGCACCUUCUUUGUUUUCGCCGGUGUCGGAACCCACUACUCCCACAGUUGGGCAAAUGACAGAGUUUGUCCCUAAUCUUUUUAAUUUAGACUUUGAGGUCCUCGAAGUGUUUUCUGUGGACUCAAAGUUUUUUAAAUAUAAAGUUACAGUAAUACAUAAUAAUUAAAAAAAUAUCUCGUUCGUAUAUUAUAACAAAUAUAUAAAAAAAAAUUUAUAGUAAAUUUUUUUUUUAUAUACACUGUUACAAUAAAAUUUUUUAAAAAACACUCUCAAAGCACAGCUAAUCCAUCCUUUUUUAAUCCUUUGGUAGGAUUUUCUAAUCUUAACCUCAUCGAAAUAGGCCUAUGUGAUGAUUGUGUAUUUUUUUCAAGUGUAUUUUCAAGUCUUACACCUUUUUUAUAAACCCAUGUGACAGACUCUUCCUUUUUUAUGUCUCAGUCAUUGCACAACGUUAUCCGGCGACUGAUCCAGUUUUUUUUUUCAAUCCAUUUUUAUGUCUUAUCCUCGCAAUUCUCUCUCACUUUCCGUUGUUUCCGAUGAGAUAAUUGAAUUAUUAAAAUAUCAUUACUUUCAUUAUCUAAUAAAAUUAAUUAUAAUAAUAUUAUUAUGUAUUUUGCAGCCAGUGUCGGCACCAAACUCUGCUGAGUAGAUUUCAAAGGAUUUUGCUGGCUUAGUGGUAGCAUCUUUAGAGGCAAGUAAUUAACUCACUUACACUAAUAAAUAUCGUUGCAUAUUAAAGUAAUAGAUAAUUUUUAGUUUUGUGUAAUUAUGUUACUUACUUGAAUUUUUAAAUAUGAUUAUUAUGUUAGCUUUGUGGACAAAUAAAUUUUAAACAUGAUUAUUGUAUUAGUUUUGUGGAUAAAUGAUUGUGUUACUUAAUUAAACUUUUAGUUUUGUGGAUAAAUUAAUAAAUAAUUUCUGUUUUGUGAAUAACCAUGAUUAUGUUAUUGUAAGAGUAAUAACAUCCUGUAGUGUAGUAUGAUUAUUUAUAAAUUGUGAUUUGGUGACAGUGAUCCAAUUAAAUUAGUUGUAUAACGGCAAUUUUGUACAUUGCUAUAGAGGAAACGCAAUAGUUUUAGGAGUGAAGUAUUAAUAUAUUUAAAUUAAAUGUAUUAACAAAUUGUUGAAGAAUGAAAAUAAUUUAACAUUAUCCUGUGCACAAUUAGUUAUUUCGUGCAAUUACAAAUGCUAAAAGAUGUACCGAAAAAUAUUUGCUAGGUUAGAAGGAAAAUGUCAGCAGACAUUAUAUUGGUGGCUCAAUUUUAUUGGAAAGGUAAAAAUGGACAAUUGCUAUCUAGUUUAUUACUCCGUCCGUCCCACUUUAAUAGUCCUGUAUUCCUUUUUCAUUUGUCCCAAAUUGUAGUCCACUUUCUAAUUGAAGAAUGUAGUUGUAUUUUAAUUUUUCUAAAAUACCCUUAUUCAAUGUAAGUAGUUGUUACUAUAAACCUACUCCAUUUAAUGAGAGUUGAUUCUUUUUUUCAUAAAAUUGUACCAUAUUUAAUGUGAGGGUAUUUUAGAAAAAUAGCAAUCUAAAUUUAUUUUUCUAAUAAAGUUAAUUACUUUUUUUUAAACUGUAUGAAAAAAGAAACAGAACUAUCAAAGUGGGACGGAGGGAAUAAUAAUAUUGGUUUCUGUUUUAUUUUUUUAAAAAAUAACUUUACAGGCCAAUGACCCCUUCAGUUGGAGCCCAAAAUGGGGAGCUUUGGGCUCCAAUUCAGGAUGUCAGCCCAAUCUUCCCUGAAUCAGCUUUGAGCACCCGGUAAGUCCGCACGAGUACAAAGCUAUUUGAAUCCGUCUAGGGACACAACACCGCCGCGGAGCAUUGCCGGAAAAUGGAGGAAGAAAAAGCUGCAGCUUUAUAUGAUGAGUUGACCCGUAAGGGAGAAGGAGCCGCUAGGUUCAAACAAGGCCUUGGUUUCUCUCCCACAUCACACAGGGAGGCCGUUCCUUCCCGAGGCUCAGGUCUUCCCUCCUUUUCAUCAUCAUCAUCAUCUUUUCUUAGCACAUUCGUUAAAGCCUCGAGCCCUUCGAAAACCGGUGAGCUCGAUAAGCAGGCUCAACUUGAAUCCAUCCAGAACAAGCUCAAAAAAACGCCCCACCAACCCCAAAACCUAAUAGCUUCGACCAGGGAGGUUUCAAGAGACAGAGAUAGAGACAGUAGCCACUCAAGUUGUCGCAGCUGGAGUGGGGAAAGGGAAAGGCACUCAAGGCGCCGGAGCCGAAGCCCGAGCAGAAAUCGCGAAAGGCAUUCGAAGCGCCGGAGCAGGAGUGGCAGCCGAGAUGAUUAUCGAAUGCGAAGGCGUGGGUAUAGAAGUAGAAGUAGGGAGAGGGAGAGGGGGCGUGGGAGGAGUUCAAGGAGUGAGUCGCCGACGCAGAGAAAAUCUUCGCAGAAUAGUACUACUAGAAAGGUGGAGAAAGAGAGAAACAAUGAUGGCAGGGUUGAUUAUGCGGAAACCAUUGAAGGUUAUGACAAAAUGGUAUGUAUUUGUUAGGAUUUCGAAAGAUUACUUUCCCAAACUUGUCUGCAAGUGUCUACUCUUCGUACCUGUUUUAAUUUCGUUGAAAAUUCAUCAGUGUUAUAGAAUGCAGAAACUAAGCAUGUCCUAAAGCUUGGUUUGUUAAUCUGUUUCGUGAUUUUCUUGUUCUUUGGGCUGAAAUUUUGCUGCUUUACCUCAAGAUAUGCCAUUCUGUUUUUCUCCUUGGGAGAUGGGGUGGGGGAAGGAAGAUCGUUUUGGUGCCUAUUGCUUGAGGAAUUCCCAGUGAAUAUAAAAUGAGUUGUGUUAAUGGUCCCUGAUAGAGGUUGAAGUAACCAUUUAGAUGGCGUGUGUAUGUGAUUUGCCCAUUGAAUUUGGGGCUUUGCCAAUGUACAUAGUAUAGUGCAUCUGCAAUUCACCAGGAACUUGUUUGGGAUAUCUACAUGUCUUUCAGUUGAUUCCUGAGGUUGUAGCUACGGUCGAUUAUUCAACUUUAAACAUCGAAGAGCUUAAAUCUUCUCCCUGAAAAUCAACUAAAAAGAGCCAUCUUUUCAGUUGCUGCUGGAGAAAAGUAGAUGCUGUCUAAAGUGAAGAUACUAUCUAUCCCAUAAGAAUAUAUUUUACACAGUAUUUUAGUGUCUAUAUUUUGUUUUCUUUGUUGUAAUAAACGAUAGCUUUGCUUCAAAAGAGUCUUUGUUGUAAUAAAUGAUAGUUUGAUCCAUUCUUUGAUAAUUACCAGCCAUAAGCACUAAACAAGCACUUCCUUAACUUUGUUGUAUUGGCCAUUGUGAUGUUGCCUUUUCAUGUUAAUCUGAUUAAUGUUACCCUAGUUUGAUGAGAGUUUUUUUAUUUACUUUAACAGACACCAGCAGAAAAAAUCAAAGCCAGGCUGAAAUUUCAACUUUCUGAAGCAGGUAAAGGCAGCACACGCUGUAAAAUGAUGUGACUUUACUUUUUACAAAAUUAUGGUAUAUAUGUUGUAUGUUUCUGCCAAAAGAGGCUUUUGUUCUGGCUUGGGCAAGUUUUCCUUAUACGUCUGAUGGGUAAUAUAUGUUUUUCAUGUAGAUGGUUGUUGAAAAAUAGUCUGAUAUGAUUUAUUUUUUUGACAAAGUCAUGUGCAUUAAGGCUUGUGAUGUUACAAUUGCCAGAGAUACUUUGAUUAAGUGAGAGGAAACGUUGAAACUUCUUGCACUGCAAAAAUAAUGAAGGUAAUGGACAUAUAAAAUUGUGUCGCAGGAUAUUUGAACGGUAGAAAAUAGACUGUAUGUUUUGGGCAUAAAAAGUCAAUUAAUGAGUUAUUUGGAUUGCGAAUGCUAUUUUAUGGCUUCUUUGUUCUUGGCGAUCUUAUGAUUGUCCAGGUGCAGAGGUAAACAAAUUUCUUCCUGCGUUUGCAAGAAGAUUUUUGCCAGAUCAUAGUUGGGUAAUGGGUAUAAUUGGGUCAACCCCUUUAUACCUAUUUAAUAAAUGGGUAUGGGUAUACCCAAUUACUCAUUUAUAAGUCACUUAAAUUCUGCUUUUUUUUUUCUAAUUUUUUUGCAUGUUAUUGGACAAGAAAUAAUGAUAUUUUAUUGUUAUUAAAUUGGUAAGCAAUUCAAAUUUGUUUGCUGAACACUCGCUACAAUUUGAGUUUAAAUGUAUAAUUAUUUUUAAAUGGGUGAGUUGAAUCAACUUACUACCCACCAAUUAAAUGGGUUUAAUUGGGUACCCAUUUAGACCCAUCAAAAAUUAAUGGACAGGUUUGGGUGGGUUAUUGGCGGGCGGGUUUGGGCGAGUCAAUAUAAUUGGGUUGUGAUUGACACCACUACUUUAUAGGGUUUUUGAAUUAAUAAUUUUCCACCUCUUUCCUUUGUUUUUGCUCAAGCUUUUCCUUCAGUUCUUUGGUGAGACUAUGCAUGAGUCCGUUGCCCAGUCGGUACCACAAUUUUAAGUGGAUUGGCGGCUGCUGGAACAUUGACUGACCCUAUGGCCAGAAGUGGCUCAUUUCUCUCUCUUUGGAGAUGUUUUCUCACUAUUUCUCUCAAAUUUCUUUCUUCCCAUGGAUAAUGUAGUAAAGAGUCUUGUAUAAAGCAAAUCAUGUUUCAUAGUUAAGGAGGACGCCAAUUGAUGACAGUGAACCUUCCACUUUGCAUAAGCUUGGUGUCAAAGCCUCUAAAAGGGAGACCAGAAAUUGAGAUGCCCAUCUUGAGGUGCGUUCAUGUGUACAAUUACUAUAUGAGGCCGAUGGCAUAUGAGAUGAUGUUAAGUUCUUGGCAUUGACUCUUCUUCACCAAGUGAUAAUGGUGGAUUGCAGGUGGCAUAGACCUGGCUGUUAGAGUAAAAAUUGUUUGGUUAUUGAUUGACAUUUCAUCUUGAUGGUGCAUACUAUUCAAAGUUAUAUAUUUAUGAACUGGAAAGCUAGUUUUUAUGAACAUUCCUGCACUUAUGUCCCUUCCAAUCAAGAUGUUAAUGUGGUAUUCUUCUUGCAGCUGAAAAGGAUGAAGUAAAGGGUACUGGCUCAGGAUGGGAGCGGUUUGACUUUGACAGAGAUGCUCCUUUGGAUGAUGAGGAGAUUGAAGGUUAAACUUCUUGCGGCAUUGUUUUAAAGUGAUUGUGCUUUGUCAAACUUACUACGAUAUGAAAAUUGAUGAAUUUUGAGAUUCAAGUUGUGCAUUGUUUCUUUUUAUGUUCUAUUUUGUGAAGGGAAACAGCAUCUAUAUUAAGGCCUCUUCUAAAACAUUGUUGACUUGAGAGUGGCCCUUGUGAGAUUGCAUAUGGUUCCCUGUCUUUUAUUUUCCUCUCAUUUUUGAUUGCCUUAUAAUCAUAUUUUCAACCAUCAUUCAUUCUAUAGUGGUCACCCUUUGCUUUGCUUGUCCUAGCUAUAAUCCCCAAGUAGUGUAGCCUAGUGGCUGGAAUAGAGGACUGCAAUGGCACAGCAAAAGCAGAGUUGCAAAACCUUGAAAAGUUGAUGGUUAUAGAAAAGGCUAAAUCUUAAAUGAGUGAAAGGUCAAAUCAGAUUUUGCUACAACUUAUUUAGUGACUCGAACAACAAUUUAGAGUAUAUGAUGCGAUUCUCUUGAUCUUUCCUACCUAGUUAAUUUAGUUUUCUUUUGUGUGGCAAUGGGAAUGAGGAUUGCUGGUUUUCUUUAGUUCCUAAAGUUAAGAUUAUGGACACGUGAAAAUUUUCAUGGCAUUCAUAUAGCUUUUCUUUAAGAUAAAUCAACGAUAUGUUAAAGAACCUUAAUUAUUAUAUUUUGCACCUGGAAGCUCACUCUGCAUUAAUUUUUGGCUUAUAGCUGUACAGUAUACCUGAAUGAUGCUCAUCUGUACAAUAUGUAUUUUGGCUUAUAGCUGUACAAUAGUUUGUGUGUUAUUCCAACUGUUGUGGUACAUGAUCUACAUUCUGCUCAUCUAAUUAGUUCUAGCUUGUAUUUGAUCUAUGCAGUGAGGUGGUUUAUCUCUAUGUAUGUGAAUCAUACACAGAUCGGUUUUAUGUACAUAUUUUACUCAAAGUUUUCUCCAUGCAGCUGUGGAGGAUGAUGCAGCCCUAGUGAAGCACAUUGGUCAAAGCUUUCGGUUUGCAACAGUAGAGGUAUGUUCACCUUGCUUUAUUUGCAUGUUUUGCGCCCAUAAAAUGGUUCUGUUAGGUCAAUAGGGUUUAUUGUAUUAAUGAAACCUCAGCCCCUUUAUUUAAAAUUGGAAGUAUUACUGAUGGUGAAUAUCUUGAAGGCAAGGAGGGACAAAGAAACAAGAGCUGCUCAUGAUGAGGCCAUAUUUGGAGUUUCUUCGCGUCCAGCUGAUCCUGAAACAGCUGAACAAGAAGAAGCUGGGAUUGUCAAGAAAGUGACACAUGAAAGUACCCAAAUUACUAACCUCUUAAGUGACCAGGUGAGAGACAUUUAAAUGUAAAUCUUAUUGCAUUGCACGUAUGACUUUCAUAUGUUUGUGCAAAAUAUGUUUUCUUAGGUACUUGCAAUGCAGCAAGGUUCUUGGCGUCAUUGUGUACGUAAAAAAUAAUCUGGAUAAGAAGAUGAUGACAUCUCCAUCCGGCAAAGAGAAGUAAAUUGGUUGCCCACAGAUAGUUUAUUGACCAUAUCUGGGUGUAAUUUGCUCAUUCUGUAGUAAUUUGUUUUCUGGAUGGUGUCGUGUAUCUUGAGAAGGAGAAGUACUUGUUUCCAACCACGUUUGCCAAAGCCAAGGAUCCCUUGUUGUUUCAGCUGAAUUGCAGGGAUUAUAUUUCCGAAAUUGGUCGGAGUGUAGAUUAAGCCUAAAAGGGAUUUAUUUGUAGUUUGAAAGACAGAAAAAAAGAUUACUUUCAAAAGUUUCACAAGUGGCAUAUUUGUUCCUUUAAUUUUUUUUCCCAGAUUUGUGAUUGCAUGUUGUUGGAUUGUUCAAAUCUGGAGAAGAAAAUACAAAAGAAAGGUGAGGUCAACGAAAAGGAGAAAGAAAGAAAAGAAAAAUAAAAAGAAGGUAAUUUAAAGAAAGAAUAAAAUAUAAAAAGAGAGAGAGAGAGAUAGAGAAAAUAUAAGGAAGAAGAAGAAAAUAAAAUAAGUUAAAAAAGGAAAAGGAAAAAAAUAGCUCAUCAUGGAUAAUAUUUGAUAAGUCUUUAAGUUAACCAUUGAAAUUAGUCUAGUGGCAAGAAAUAGGCUUUUGUGCAUAUCAUCACACAAUUAAUCUCUCAAAUCCCUCUAACAAAAUUCAAUUUUGUGCUUAAACUAUGCACAAGUUUGACUUCUUUAUCUAUGAUUUUUUAUUUACUUUGCAAUUUAUUAAUUUUCUAAAGUAAGAUUCUUGUUUUCUUAGUGUUAAUCUUGUCAUAUUGAUAUAAUUAUGGCUUUUUUUUGUCUUUGCUUUUAUUUUAGUUUGCUGUAUUAUGACCUUAUUAGCAAAAUGACUAUAAGUAUGAUCAUAAUAUAUAAUUUACUUAUUUAUUUAUUUAUGGCAUCAUGUGUUGAUAACGGUAGUUCAAUGAUUGAAUUAGUGACCCAUGACUCAGUAACUAUUUUGAUUAUAUCUAGGUUUUAAAACCUUAAUAUCCAAUCAACUUUUCAUCUUCCCUGACCUAAGAAUAAUCUAUUAGGGCUAUCAACGAGUUGGAAUUGAAAAUUUCGAAUCUAAACCCGUUUUAAUGUACUAGACCCGGACCCGAUCCAUAUACCUGAUGGAUCUUGUGUUUAAGAUUCUGGAACCGAGUCCGCCAGGUCCUGGGUCGAGUUUGGGUCUAUUUGAAAAGAAAAAACCCAACAUAUAUCAUUCAUUUUCUUUUAUCCAUGUUAACAAAAAAAAGGUCCAACAUGAUCCUAGGAUAUUUAACAAAAAGUACUUAUAUGCAACUUGUAAUGAAUACAUUUUUGGUCAAACAAGUUUGCCUCUUCCAAAACCUAAUUUCUUAGAUGCUUUAUCUGAAAUACGAAUAAUUUGGUAAAAGAAUACUUUUGUUAAUAUAGUAAAAGAAUAUAUUUAGAAAUAUUUAUAUUUUAUAAUUAUUAAUGUAUUAUUCGGGUCCGAGUCGGAAUCCUAUAUUCUGUAUCCGACUUGUUUUUUUAUUAGAGUAGAUACGUAUGGGUCCAUAUUUGGAUACCAUAAUUAUUUCUCAAUCCAUAGCAGGAAAAAAUUAACGGAUUCGGCCCGAUUUGGAUUCAAAUUUGACCUCUUGACAUCCCUAUUAUCUAUACAUAAAUAACACUAAACACGAAUCAAUUUCAAGAAGAUAGGAUAAAGGGAUAAUUUCGAAAAGCUUCUUUGAGGUUUUGAUAAUUUUACUAAACUCUCUUGAGAUUUUAAAAAUUACACUUACUUCUUUUGUUCAUUUUAAAUGACAAUAUUAGUCUUAGCAUUUUUAAUAAAACUUUGUUGUUGAAUGUGCAUAUAUGAAAUUUAUAAUUUUUCUUUUUCUUUUUAUUCCUAUUUUUUUAUAUUUUUUGUCAGUAAAAUUAUGGAACUAUAAACGCUGACCCUAAAUGUUAAACUAAUGGCUUUUUUUUUUUAGAACUUUUAAUGUAAUUCAAUUUUUAUUUGUCAAUCCUUUUUUUUUUUGUUUCAAAAGAAACACUAACUCAAAAAAAAAAAAAAAAGCCUAAAACUACUAUCAAACUAUGAUAAUUUCAUUAAUCCAAAAAUCCACAGAGCUUCUUCUCUAAUUUAGAAAAGACAUGUAUCCGUGAUAAAGCACCAUUAGACAAUUGCUUAUCAAACAAUAAAUUUGAUAUUGAAAACGCGACAAUAUUUUUUUAUAUUUGUGCUAAGUAUGUUAUUAUUGCUAUAGAAGGUAAAUGAACUUUAUAAGGUGAGGCUAAUUUCGGGAUAUUGGAUUAAAUUUUUGACCUACUCUAAGGUUUGGUAAUCAAAAGUCUCAAAUUAGGGGAGGUAAAUAUAAUUUUUGAAACCUCAAAAGAGCUCAGUGAAAUUGUUAGAUAUCUUAGGGGAGGUUUAUGAAAUUAUCCCUGGGAUAAAAGCAGAGCACUUGGGGAAAAGGCAGGUCAAACCUCAGCUUCAUCUCUCUCCUCUUGUUCCUAGAUUGGUUGAAAUCUUUAUCGUGGUCUUCAGCUCAAUAAUGGCUUCUUCCUCCGUGAAUCGCUGGCUAAGGCCUGAGGUCUCUCGCACUUAUUAUUAUUAUUUUUUUGUUGCUCAGCUCCACUAUGUUUCCAAAGUAGUCGAGGAAUAACCAUGUCUAUUAUUAUGUUGAUCUCUGGAUUAUUCUCCUAUUUAUGGACUGUAGUUUGAUUUUUGGUGUGCUCAUAUAACAUAGGUAUAUCCAUUAUUUGCGGCAGUUGGGGUUGCCAUAGGGAUCUGCGGGUUUUCGUUGGUCCGGAAUAUUUGCAUCAACCCUGAAGUGAGGUACUGUACAUAUAGUUCUACGGUCUUUUUUCUUUUUUUUUUUUUUAAAUUUUUUUAAAAAAUAAUUUAUCUUUAGUUUUUCGUUUGUCUAAGCAUAACAGUGUUGAUGUCUAAAGCAGGUGCAUGACUGAGCUCACACACACACACACAGACACAGAGAGAGAGAGAUAUGUUUUGUAAAAUUGAGGGUGUAAAUUAGAAAUUUUCAUUUCAACAAGGGGUAAAUGCUCUCCUUGCAGAGAAUACAGACUGUGUUGAUGUCUAAAGCAGGUUCAUGACUUAGCUUCUGAUGAACAAAACGUAAAGUGGUGUCUUGUUUACCAUUUUUUUUUUUGACACUAUUUAGAGCUAAAUCCAUUCUGUUUCUCUCUGGUUCAGUGUAUCUCUCUACAUUUUAAGUUGCUUUGCUUAAAUGGCCUAAAUAAACUUAAAACUAUGAUGAACGAGGUCAAUAGUGAUAGACAACUCCAAACCACAAAGCAGGUUAGUUCUCUACUCAAGUCUACUAGACAAUUCAUAGUUAACAACAUUCAUAAAAUCAUCGAUAGUUAUUAGGAAUUUACCUUAUCGUUAUUAGUACAGAAAUUUGAGACUAUAUGAUAUAAGAGUGGAAGAACGUAGCGAAUCGAAUAAACAAAGUAGAGAAAUUUUUCAGGCAGAUACGGUUAUGCUAGACAAGGAAUGGGAAAACAAGCUGAUACACGUUUAGGGAAUGCAUUAAGAUGAUAGGCCGGGGUUAACUAGUCUCAGGGCACCUCCAAAUACUCUUAGGAACCUUUUAGGCCAAGAUGUACAAGGAGUCUCACUCAGUCCCCAGAUUAGUCUUGAUUUAUGUAACGGGGCUUUGGCCCUCCAAUGUACUGGGAAAAAAAAAAGAGAGAAAGUAGAGAAAGUUUCAAGUGAAUGCAUAGACGGGUAAUUUUGUCUAUUAAAAUAUCUUAUAGGUUUUUUGUGUCAAUUUAGCAAAAAGGAAUGAUGGAGUGCCUGAAACUCAUUCUGGAGUACCACUCUCGUUUGUGUGUCAAAAAAAGAGAGGGAAGAUAUGGGAAUCUAAUGUUGUUACUCUUUACCUAUUUAUCAUCUCUCGAGCUCCCUUGAUAUCACGAAAUCACCACUGCACUAUAGGAAGAGACUUUUCUUCGUCGAAUGAAUGAUCGCAAGAUAUGUCAACCCAACACAUUAUAUUCCAAUAUCUAAUUUGUACAUUAAAAUUAAGCGUACAAAUUUAGCCUGCUAGGAUUUCGGCUCCGUUCGGAAUAACUGUUUUGGGGGUGUUUUUGAAAUAUUUUACUGUAUUGGUAUAUAUGAAAAUUUUUUACUGUAGAUGUUUUUUGUGAUGUUUUUGGAGGGAUUUUUGAAUUAUAUUUUGGGAUACCUUUGAAGAUUAAAAUAUUUCUAGAAUACUUUUUACAAUUAAUACUACCACCCACAAUCGUCACCGUCACCACCCCCACUUACCGCCGCUUCCACCCUCUCUCUUCUCUUUUCUCCUUUUCCUCACUCUUCCUCCACCUUCUCCUCCCUUGUCCCCAUCCCUUUUCCUCCUCCCCUCCCCUUCCCACCCCAUCCCCUGACUCUCCCCUCCCCCUCUCGAUCUAGUCGCGACCAGAUUGCGGGAGGAAAGGGAAGGGAGGGUUGGGAGGUGGGAAGGAAGAGGAAGGGAGGAGACAGGGGGAAGGGGAGGAGGAAGACGGAGGAUAGUAAAAUAUGAGCGCUUACUUGAUGGGCGUUUGCAUGUGAUAGUAAAAUAUGUCUCGUCUAGACUACGAGCGUGAAGACAAAAAAAGAAAAAAGAAAAAGAGAGACUACAUCGUACUUGUAUAUGAAUAUGACAUCGGUAAAGAAAAAUAUUCUUGUUCAGGGUAGCCAAGCAAGAUAGGGCAGCUGGAGUGCUGGAGAACUUCGCCGAGGGAGAAAAAUAUGCCGAGCACGCUCUGAGAAAAUACGUCCGCAAUAGGAAACCAGAAAUCAUGCCAUCCAUCAACAGCUUUUUCACCGAACCUGAAAAGAACUAGUUGCCUCUAGUAUGAAACUUAAAAACAGUUAUGGGAUGUAACAAUUAUUUUCAUCUAACGUGUUGUUAUUGCCUCCGACAUGAGACUUGAAACAGCUGUGGAAAGCAAUCUGUUUGAGAGUGUAUUAAUAGCAUACUGCUUUGUGUAUGGUGGAGUAUUUUGUAACGACGUAACCACUGUUUGGAUUUGCCUUUUUAUUCAAAAGUAGGAGGAGAUCACCGCGUGUAAUUAUGCCCGAAUUUGUGUUGGUUAUUGGGAAUUAGUUUGAUGUUAAGAGUAAGAAGAAGCACGUAAUUAGCAAGCAAGGGAUUCAGUGAAUUAUGUCUUGAAUUAUAACGAUAGAUCAAGUUAAAUUCAAAAUGAUCGGGUCCAAAAUUGCUUAUGAAUGUUAAAUAGUCUUGAAUCAUGUAAUGAAAGUAAAAAUGAUAAAAGAGAAAAAUAUAGCAGUGCAUAUGCUUUAGAUAAUGGGGUAAAAUAUUACAAUGAUCCUCCAAGGAUUAAAAGCUACAAAUGGAAAGGCAGCAGAAAGGGUCUGUCAAUUGUUGAUAUUCAGUUCGUUUAUGUCUCAGUUGGGAUAUUUUAUGACACUAUUCGGUGCCAAAUCUAGUGCCAAUCCCACUUAUCACUUGAUGGUAGAAGAAAUUUAAAUAAACAGUACAUGACAAAUUAAAUAAAUAGGACACAUAAAUAUAGAAGUGGCACUGAAUUAUCACUGGAAAAGUGGCACUGAAGAUCCCGUGUGGUUUAUGUCCAGAGCCUGAUCCAUGACAUAGAAAUGACAAUGUGAUAGUUUGCAUAUCUAACAAGCUUGAAUGUAGGCAAUGAAGGUCUAAUGUAACACAUGAGCAUUUUUCCAUAGAGUGCAAGCAUGAUAAGGCUUUUGAGAUCAAGGCCCUGUUGGAAAUUUGCAAAGAGAAUGGGAUGGUUGUCUUAUUGGACACAAUGAUACAAACUAAAUUCCCUGUCUAUUAUCCCGACACUCUCAGUAAAAAUAUACCUAAUAAACAAAGAACCUUUCACCCAAUCUAAACUCAUACAAGUAGACCUGCUAAGACACUAGAAACUAAUUAACAAAUAAAACUAAAAAUUUACUCUACCUAGAAUAAGAAUUUGACUCUGGCGUACAACUAUUUAGAAAAUUCAACUUAAGUAGCUUUACCUGUCUGCAUUGAAUAGCCAGUCGAAAACAAAAAUUUUCAAGUCCAAUCCAGAGCUUAUCUGCAGCAAGAUAAGUUAGACAGCACAGAAGAAAAGAACAGUUCUUCUUCCCCCCAAAAAACAUCACCACCAAAAAAAGACAAAAACACGGGAAAGCCUGUAAGUCCCUCUUGUGGGCAAAGCAGAUACAUGCUAAGCAAAAGAUGCACUCCACAGCUAGUUGAAAGUUGAAACACGAGUUACACUGUCAAGCAAGGCAUCUGUACUAUAAAAAUAACCAUCUCUUUACUUUUGGGCUUGAAAAUAAAUAUCGCUUUACAAAGUCAUCAUUUAAAUAUACCCUGCGGAUUGGUAUUGAAAUUCAAGACGCAAAAGUAGUAAAAAAACAAUAUUCAAGGUACUAUACUUUUAUUAUUAUCCAAAACUGGUAGUCGUAAAUUGUCCAGCAAAUCCGGAAGUCAUUCUUAAAAUCAAUCAGUAGUUGAAAGACAACCAAAUAAACUUCAUUUAGCAUACAAUUCCAUUUUCCAAAAGGAAUAGUCUUUGUUUUUUAUUUCCACCAAAUUUUAGAAGCAAAAAAGAAUGUGAGAAAUAGUCCACUAUUUUUGAACACACAUAAUACAACUAAAAAUUUGAUAAAUGGAGUAGCACAAUAGCUAUUGCAAUAUUUAGCAGGCCAAGUAACUCAAGUAGAGUUUAUUAGAAGUUGACCAAAAAGAAGUACAAAAGAUAGAGAAUCAAGACCAAUGACAAUAUAAAUGAUGGAAAAAGAGCUUGAAAAUAUGCAUUGUCAUUAUCCUUGAAUCAUGUGUUGAUAAAUUUCAAGUAGAUUCACAGCUUUUGACAUCACACCUAAUGCCUUCUAGAGAUAACUUAUACAUAUUCACUAUCUCCUUUAACAAUAGAUUGUCAAUAGAUGGAGGACAAGUAUAGUAAUACUGAGAUUGUAAGCCAAACAUAACUCAAAGCUUGCAUUAUACAAUUAUUGAUCUCUAAUAUAGAGUAACAAUAUCCAAAUGUAGAUAAUUAGGAAAUGACAGGCCAGCAUGGAGAGAGGCCUCAAUUAAAGACAUAGCAUAAAAUAAUGUCUCAAUUAACUCGACUCCCAAUUCAAUGCUGGCUACCUCUGUUAUAAAGACAUAGCAUAAAAUAAUGUCAGAGAACCCUGGGCUCCUCUCACAUUGGUCAGGCUUGUAACAUCAUUCAGACUUGGUUUUAAAUUUAUUGGAAAGAACAUUCCUGUUAUUGGGAAGAUUUACACAAAAAACACAAUAAGCAUGAUAUACAUUAUUUUUCUCUAAACAAUCCAAAAAAAAAGAUUUUCUUCUAGAAGUCCCAGAUUUUUCCCCAAAUUGCCAAACCAAAGCUAUAGCAAUGAUCCUUCAACACAAAAAAUAUGCAUAAAACUCAUCAGAAUUGCCACACACAAGCAUGAACACUCCUCAAAUGAGAGAUAAAUUGUAAAUGACUGUACCAUUCAACCACACUGGAGACAUGAACAACCGAGGCAAUUAAGGAGUGAGCAUUUGAAAGUUCAGUGAACUACAAAGAAUAACCCACUAAAGAUGGAACCUUAGUUGCAAUUGAUGAUCCCACUUCUACUUCCACAAGGGUGGUUAAACUUAGAGCCCAUCCAGCCUUCUCACAAGAGUGGCUGCACAUUUCUGGCUCUGAGUGAUGUUCUCAUUGAAGGGUCUUGAGAUUUUGGUAGUUUUUCUGGCAAAAAGGUGGAAUUUUGCAUACGAGUUUCAGUAAACAGAUUUGAAUAAACCAGUAUGUGGCAUAUUUUUCUCUUUCUAUUUUGGAUAAAUCAUGAGUGUCCGAGGUAGUUGCAUUACAUUAAGUUUAAAUGUACACCAUAAGUGCUAACUUUAGCAAAUCCAAUGAUAAUUAACAUUGAUAUCCUAAAAUGUAGCUCCUCUAGUACCAAAUUCACAAAGAUUGAAAUGAAACCUCAAACCAAAAGAUAUAAAUGAUUCUACUGUCUACCUUAUCAUUUACUUGUAAGUUAUUAGAAUCCUCAGAUAAUAUUAUCAAAAUCAAAUCUUAGUGUUGGUAUAAUAAAUAAUUGCACAGUGAAUAAACCCAACAAAAAAUAAAAAUUCAAAGCAAAAACAAUCUGAUGUGAUCUUAAGCAUUAUCUGAUCAGUUACUUUCAAUCUCUUACCACCUACAAUGAGUUGAUCAAAAUCUAAUUUUCAAUCAUUCUAAUAACCAAUUCUACAAACAAAGAUGCAACUUACACAAAUUUUAAAAAAACGCUUAGGACUAUGAACUUUUAUUAUUUCUUCUUUCUUUUUUGUUUAGAUUCAAGGGAUGUUAUUCUUGGUUUUGAUGAUCACAAAAGUUCGUUUAUACAGACCAAGAAAGUGAACUCUUUGAUCAGGCCUGAUGGAACAAAGAAAGCAUAUGUUCACUUAAGUGCUUUGGAUGUGGCAAACAAGAUUGGAAUAAUAUAAAUGAAUUUAGUCAUUGUUUUGUUCCGAUCAAAGAUACUAUCUUUUAAGUAUGUCGAGUUUGUCAUUCUUGGUACUUUGAAAUGUUUACCUAACCUUUUUCAAAUACAAGUGUUUUUGUCUAUCCAAGAAUCAGGUUCAAAUAGGUCAUGAAAUGCAAAACAACCAAAAUGAGAAGCAAAAACAGAACAAUCAGGUCGGACGGCCGAAAGGAAACUGUCGGACGUCCGAAAGGAUAUAGAACAACAGGAAGGAAGCACUGUCGGACGCUCAUAUGGGGGCAUCGGACGUCCGGAAGGAUCGGACGCACACCUCGGACGCAUAUCAACCAGAUCGGACGUCCGAAAAAUUCCAAGAUAACUUGCCAACUCUCUGCCUACGAUCGGACGCUGUACUGUCGGACGAUCAAGACGCAUCGGACGUCCGAACGUCAACUUGGCUGUUCUCGGACGAUUGGAUCGGACGAUAAUUUGAUCGUCGGACGUCCGACAGCCCCAACGGCUAGUUGACUCUUCAGCUGCCUUCUAUCCGUUGGAAGCAUUGAUGAAGCCCAUUUCUGGUUCCCUUUAAAAUCAAACUGGUCUGAACGUAGUAGGGACUUUUGCACACUUUGUUUACAAGAUCUCAAGAGAUAUUUUAGCUAGAAAAUAGUCUCCAAAGCUAGAUUUGUUUUAAAGUGGUGUGAAUUUCUUGUGAACAUUUCUUUUGUGGUUGAAAGGAUCUUUAGUGUAGCUCUGUUGAGGGUUUUCUGAGUGAUUGUAAAACUUUUUAGCUUGACUAAGUGAGGCUUAGGGCAAUGAAGAAGUGCUCCCUCCAUUGUACAUCUAAUUGAUUGUCUUUCAUCAAAGAGAAGUUGCUCCUCCUAGUGGUUGGUCUUCAAGUUUGAGGAAAGCUUGGUAGACACUUGGUUUGAUUCCCUAUCUUACUUUUCUGUUUAAUAAAAUCUUCAUUGCUUAUCUAUACUUGCUUCUCUGAUCAAUAUUGCUAUUGUCUUCUAAUCUACUUGGUUGAUUAUUUCUGAGAAGGAAGGUAAAUUUUUAUUAAAGAAAAAGUGCAUAAAUUUGGUUAAGAUUUUAAUUAACCCAAUUCACCCCCCUCUUGGUUGUCUGUGGGACUUACAAUUGGUAUCAGAGCUUGGUCUCCUUGAGAUUAAGCUCUAACGGCUUGGAGUAAAGAUGACAACCAGUCAUGCUAUGUUUGUUGAGGGGCAAUCUGUUACUAGGCCUCCCAUGUUCAGUGGUUCCAACUAUGUUAGCUGGAAAGAACGGAUGAUUAUCUUUUUGCAAUCUAUUGAUAUUGAACUAUGGUUUAUUGUGAGUGAAGGACCGCAUGAAGCUAACUUUCUUGAUGCAGAUACAGGGUUGUUUCGGUCAAAAACGAGAGCUGAAAUGAAUGCUCAAGACAGAACUAACCUCACAUUGAAUGCCAAGGCCAUGAAUGUUCUUUAUAGUGCCCUAGAUUCAAAUGAAUCAAUUAGAGUAAAAGGCUGCAAAUCGGCCAAAGAAAUGUGGGAUAAACUAAGAGAAAUCCAUGAUGGUGGUGACAACGUGAAGGAACAGAAAAAGGCUAUCUUGGUCACAAAAUAUGAAUCAUUUAAAAUUGAACCUCUUGAGGAUAUUGACAAAAUGUAUUGCAGGUUUACUGACUUGAUCAAAGAUCUCGAAGCGUUGGGGAAAGAGUACACCUUGGGAGAGAAGAACAGAAAAAUUCUCAAUGCUUUGGGGAAAGAAUGGAAAAAUAAAGUGACUGCAAUAGAGGAGGCUAAGGAUUUAAGUUCUGUGCCUAUGGAAUCUAUCAUUAACUCACUAACCUCUUAUGAGUUGAAACUGAAAUCUAAAGUGUAGGAGGAAGAGGAUGCUAGAGCAAAGAGAAACAUUGCUCUAAAGACUACUCAAGGUGAAGAUGAUCCAGCUCACCAGGAUGAUGAAGACUCGGAUGGUGAUGAUAAUGAUCUUGCUCUCAUCACCAGAGGCUUCAAAAGAAUCUUGAAUAAAAGAAAGUUUAGAAGGGGAGGACCUAGCAAUCAAUUCCAGAAUCAGCCAUCUAUCGCAAAGUACAAAGGAAAACAAAAUUUCAACAAGAAACAGUUGGACAAAUGCUUCGAAUGUGGACAGAUUGGACACUAUGCAAACGAAUGCCCCAUGAAGAAGAUGAAAGAUGGAAAAGCUGAUCGAAAGCCAAGAUUCAACAACUUUCAGAUUACUUGGAAUGAAUGCAACUCCGAAGGGGAAGUUGAAGAAGAAGAAGAAUCAGCUCAAAUGGCCUUCAUGGCUAUUGGAAAUAAUGAGGUAACUUCCACACACUCUCAAUCUGAAAGUGAUGAUGAUGAAGAUGAUGAUCUUGAAUCCUUUGUUGAAAAACUGCAUAAUGCCUUGAAGGAAUCUUAUGAUAAAAACAAGCAGUUAAAACAGAAAAUUGCUUUCCUCAUUCAAGAAAAUACAAGUCUUUUUCAACAAAAUAAACAACUAAAGACUGACAAUGAAUGCCUUGUAAGAGCGGGAUGUGAUAUUCAAAAUGAGCUUGUUAGAAAGACAAAUACUUGUGAAAUGCUGAAGGAAAGACAUGGUGAUUUGAAGAAAAGAAUGGAUAACUUGGAUGAAUCCUUGAAAGCUAGAAAGCAGGACUUUUUCAAUAGGAACAUGUCAUCUACCCAUCUUACUGCUUUUCAAAGAACAUUUGCACACAACAAAAUUGCACAUGGAUUCACAACAUAUAGAAGAGGUGGAUUGAGAUAUGUCAAACCAGUACAUGUUAAGGACUCUUCCAUUAUGUGUAACUUUUGUUGUCAAAAAGGGCAUUUGAAUGGAGAUUGCUAUGUGAAAAGAAAUCUGAACAAAGGGAUGAAAUGCAUGUGGUUAGUUAGAUACAAUGCUAACUACUAUGGACCCAAAAAUUAAAAAGGGGUACCAAACACUUUAUCUUUUCAGGAAAAAGGAUCAAACAAGUCCAAAUGGUUUAUUGAUAGCGGCUGCUCAAGGCACAUGACCGGUGAUCCCUCUUUGUUCAUAAAGCUGAAAUCAAAAUCAAGUGGAAAGGUGACGUUUGGUGAUGAUGUGAAAGCUAAGACAAUUGGAAUAGGUGAUGUUGGUAAGAAUGGUGAAACAUUUGUUCAAAAUGUGCUCUUAGUUGAUAACUUAGGUUAUAACUUACUUAGUGUUAGUCAAUUGUGUGAUAAAGACUUGUAUGUGUUAUUUAAAAAGCAUGAAUGCAUUGUACUUGAUUCCAAAUAUAAUGUUGUGUUCAAAGGUAAGAGGUUUAAUGACAUAUAUAUUGUGAUUCUUGAUAAAGUUGAUUCUUCUAGCUUAAAAUGUCUUAAAGCUUCAAAUGAAGAUCCUGGUUGUGGCAUAGAAGACUUUGUCAUUUUAACAUGGACUUACUAAAGGAAAUUUCGAAAAAGGAACUAGUUAGAGGCUUGCCAAAAAUCAGUUUUGAAAAGGAUAAAAUAUGUGAUGCAUGUCAAUUUGGAAAGCAAACAAAAGUUUCUUUUAAAACAAAGAAGUGUGUAUCUACUUCAAAACCCUUAGAACUCUUGCAUCUUGACUUAUUUGGCCCUACUCAAAUCUCUAGCUUGGGUGGUAAGAAAUACUGUUUUGUGAUUGUGGAUGAUUAUUCUAGAUACACAUGGGUGAUAUUUCUUGCUCAUAAAGAUGAUGCCUUCAAGAAUUUUACUUCAUUGUUUGCUAAAGUACAAAAUCUGUUUGGGUUAAAAGUUGUUAGGAUUAGAAGUGAUAAUGGGACUGAAUUCAAGUAUUGUGGUUUUCCAGAAUUUUGUGAUCAUAAUGGUAUAACACAUGAGUUCUCUAUUGCAAGGACUCCACAGCAAAAUAGUGUUGUAGAAAGGAAAAAUAGGACUCUCCAAGAGGCUGCUAGAACUAUGUUGAAUGAAUGUAGGUUGCCUAAAUAUCUUUGGGCUGAAGCAGUAAACACUGCAUGUUAUGUGAUGAAUAGAAUUCUCUUGAGGCCUAUCUUAAAGAAAACCCCUUAUGAGCUGUUUUUUGAUAAGAAACCUACGGUUGGUUAUUUCAAAGUAUUUGGUUGUAAAUGCUUUAUUUUGAAUCUAAAGGAACAUCUUGGUAAGUUUGAUAAAAAAUCUGAUGAAGGAAUAUUUUUGGGGUAUUGUGAGAAUAAAAGAGGAUAUAGAGUUUUUAAUAGAAGGACUCUUGUGAUUGAAGAAGCUAUACAUAUAACUUUUGAUGAAACCAAUGAUGAUAAUUCCAAAAGUUCGUGUGAGGAUGAUGAUGUAGGUGUUCGAGAAGGAAUGGAAAAGCUAUCAAUUGGAAAUGAAGGAAGUUCUAAACCAGCAGCAACUGAAAUGGAAAAUGAAGUUCAUAAUGAUCAAGAUGAGGAAGAUGAACACAAAAAUGAUGAUCCACUCAAAGAUCUUCCCAAGGCUUGGAAAUUCAGCCAAAAUCAUCCAAAAGAGCUUAUAAUUGGUGAUCCAUCCGAGAAGGUAAACACUCGUUCCUCAUCUAGAAAACUGAUUGACAAUUUUGCUUUAGUUUCUCUUUUUGAACCCAAAAAUAUCAAUGAUGCCUUAAAGGAUGAAAACUGGAUUUUGGCUAUGCAAGACGAACUUAAUCAAUUUGAGAGAAAUGAAGUUUGGACACUUGUUGAUAGACCUCAAAAUCAACCUAUCAUUGGCACAAAGUGGAUAUUUAGAAAUAAGUUCGAUGAUAAAGGUGUUGUUGUAAGAAAUAAAGCCAGAUUUGUUGCUAAAGGAUAUGCACAAGAAGAAGGAAUCGAUUUUGAUGAAACAUUUGCUCCCGUAGCUAGAUUAGAAUCUAUUAGAAUGCUACUUGCUUUUGCUUGCUUCAAAGGCUUCAAAUUGUUUCAAAUGGAUGUUAAAAGUGCCUUUUUAAAUGAUUUUAUUGAUCAAGAAGUAUAUGUGGAUCAACCCCCCGGUUUUGAAAAUACAAAAUUUCCAAGUCAUGUGUUUAAACUAUCUAAAGCUUUAUAUGGCUUAAAACAGGCUCCAAGAGCUUGGUAUGAAAGAUUAAGUGGUUUCUUGAUUGAAAAUGGUUUCAAAAGAGGUGUUGUGGACACCACACUUUUUACUAAGCAUGUGUUGAAUGACCUUCUUAUUGUGCAAAUAUAUGUUGAUGAUAUUAUUUUUGGUACUAUUAAUGAGUAUCUAUGCAAGGAGUUUUCCACCACUAUGCAAAGUGAAUUUGAAAUGAGUAUGAUGGAAGAAUUAAAUUUCUUCCUUGGACUUCAAAUACAUCAAGCUCUUGAGGGAAUUUUUAUAAAUCAAGCAAAAUAUACCAAGGAAUUGCUGAAAAGGUUUGGCAUGGAGGACUCAAAACAAGUUGGAACUCCAAUGUGCACUUCUACAAAGCUUGACAAAGAUGAAGAAGGUAAUCAUGUGGAUGAAAAGCAUUAUAGAGGUAUGAUCGGAAGCCUACUCUAUUUAACCGCAAGUAGACCUGAUAUUAUGUUUGCUGUUUGCUUGUGUGCUAGAUUUCAAUCUUGUCCAAAAGAAUCACAUUUGAAUGCUGUAAAAAGAAUUUUUAGGUAUUUGAAAGGUACAUUAGACUAUGGUCUUUGGUAUGCUAGAUCUAAUGAGUUUGCUCUAUAUGGUUAUUCGGAUGCUGAUUUUGGAGGUUGUCAUGUGGAUAGAAAGAGUACGAGUGGAACUUGUCAUUUUCUUGGAAAUUGUUUAGUCUCUUGGUUUAGCAAGAAACAAUGUGCAAUCUCUUUGUCUACCACCGAAGCGGAAUAUAUUGCCGCUAGUGCAUGUUGUGCUCAACUUUUAUGGAUGAAGCACAUUUUGAAUGAUUUUGGAUUGUUGUAUGACUGCAUGCCUGUAUUCUGUGAUAAUACUAGUGCCAUCAAUUUGACCAAAAAUCCUAUUCAUCAUUCUAGGACAAAGCACAUAGAUAUAAAGCAUCAUUUUAUUCGUGAUCUUGUUCAAAAAGGUGAAAUAUGUGUAAAUUAUGUUUGUUCUAAAGAUCAAUUUGCUGAUAUUUUUACAAAAGCUUUGCCAUUAGAUUAGUUCAUUCAUCUAAGAUCAAAAUUAGGAAUAAUCGAAAAAUCAUCUUAAUUUUCUUUGGUUCUUCGGACGUCCGAAAGAAGAUGAACGGACGUCCGAUGAUGUUCCUCAGCCAUUUUCCAGAUUGCGCCUGUUCGGACGCAACUGUCGGACGCACAACUUCGUUCGGCCGUCCGACAGUGCAACAGCUCAUUUUUUAAAACAACUUUCUUCCUCAAUUGCCUCAGACUCUUCUUAUUCUAUUUUCUCUCGGACGAAAACUCUCCCUUCCCUCACUCUCAAAUUCGUGCCAUUUUGAAGCUCCCAUUCACAAAUUGACUCAACCAAAACAGUUCCUGGUCAAUUGCGAGUCAUUUUUCCUGAUCAUUUCACAGAAUCAUCUAUCACUUCGCACAUUCCCAAAUUUUUCUCAAAACCCUACCUUCUCAUAACCGCUCUGUCAAAUCUUGUACAAGGUCUUUUGUUCCAAAAUUUUUGUUCGAUUCACUUCCUUACUGCUGUGUGCAUCAUUUGCAUUCUUCAUUCCACACUUUUCGCGCAAUGGUGAAUCUAAGGGGAGGAAAAGUUACUGCCGGACGCAAGCAUCCACUCAGGGAUGUGGAUGAGGAUCUUCCCACUGUUAAACGGACAUCCAAACGCUUCAAAAGGGGAGCUAUCAAGGGUCAAAUGUCACGGCCUACUCCACAACCCACUUCUCAACCAGAAUCUGGACAGGGGACCUCCUCUCAACCGCCUCCUAAAUCAGUCCCCCUCCCUCCAUUCUUUGAUGAUGCUGCGAAAGACAAAUACGCCUGGAUAUCCCAAAAGGGUGUCAUCCCUCAAAGAACUGUAAACCCCUCUGAAUUUCGCUCCAUAGGGUUAGAGUCCAUUCUGAGUCUAUUUGAUUUCCAGAAAUGGUCACGUUUGAUUUCUUUGCCCAAUGUCUACUAUCCUGAUAUGCUGCAUCAAUUUUUUGCCAAUUUUAGGAAAGGAACUGACCAAACUGAGAUCAUAUCUAGGGUAAAUGGGGUAGAGAUAAUCUUUGAUUCUGAUAUUGUGAAUUCCAUUUUGAAUACUACCAUUGAACGUUUAUGCAAAGAUAACGUUGCUAAUUUCUUUUCCUAUGAAGAGCUUCCUACUGCUGCAAAUCAUUUUGAUGGGAUAAAAAUGUUAACCUAUUUCAAAAGAAGUUUUUCCUCACCUGCUGAUGCUAAAUUGAAUGAUCUGACCCCUGUGAAUUUAAUUGCCUUUUCCAUCAUUUCAAACCUGCUUGUGCCCACUGAUGGGCACAGAACUGAUGCAAACAAAAUGGAGUUGUAUCUCUUUUAUUGUUUUCGAGAAAAAAAUUCGUAUUAAUUUUGGUUUUGUCAUGUGCAAGUUUUUACUUCGCUAUGCUACUGACUCUCGAAGAAAACUAUCCUAUGGAAAGUUUCUUCAAAAGAUUUUUGAGUUUUACAAAGUUCCAAUUCUAGGUGUUUGUCCCGAAGAAACAUCUUCUUAUGCCUUUACCAAAGCAUAUUUUGAAAGAAAAAAUCUUAUUUUUAAAGAUAAUCUGUGGGCAUAUAAGGGGGCAUCAUCCAGUGAACAGAGGUCUAAGACUGUACAUGAUCCUCCACCCAUUUCACUCACUUCCAUUCACCCUAGGAAGUCUGCCACUAAAGCAUCUUCCUCUUCCAGUAAUGAAGUAAUUGAGCUUCUUCAUGAACUCAAACAGCAUGUUCUUCUUCUUGAACAUGGUCUAAUGCUCACUAUGUCCUCUGAGCAACAAACUGCCUUCCUAGACAAAAAGAAUCUUCUGUUUCCCCCUUUUGUUGUUGAGGAAGUUUCCCAUGACAAAGAGUCACACCCCACUGAUCCAAGUUCAUCAAUUCCGGAUCCUGGUUCUUCAACCCCUGUGACUCCUUAUGGCACCUCUACAUCAGAUAAAGGCAAGGCACCAGUUGAAGAGGCUGCUGAAGAUGAUGAAGAAACUGAAGAGGAGGAUCUUGACCAAUAUCAGCUCUCUCGGAGGACACCUGGAUCCACUUAGUUCAUCAUCUAGGACAUUUGCAUGUUGUUUGUCUCGUUUAUGUGUUUGUGGUAUUCAACAAUGAAUAUGUAAUGUAAUGGAUAUUUUAAGUUUCUUGUGGUAUGUUUUGAUGGAUGUUUAAGUAUUUUGAUGGAUGUUUGUCUGUCUUGUAUGUGGUUUGAUGAAUGUGUUUGAUGAAUGUGUUUGUCUAUUCUGAUUGGUUUGAUGAAUGUGACUGAUUACCCUUUUGUGAUGACAAAAAGGGGGAGAGGACUGGAUUGAUUGGUGUUGAUUGAUGAUUGAUGAUUGGUGAUGUUGGUUUGAUUGUUUAAAUGUGGAUUGGCUGAUUUGCUUAAGUGUUUAACUCGGAUGGGCAGUCAAGUGAGGGGGAGCUUUUCAAAAUUUUCAAAUUUUUAUGAUUCACUAAGACAAGGGGAGUUCUUGUCUAUUUUGAAAGGGGAAGUUUUCAUUGCAAUCAUCAAAUUUCAUUUCAAACUUUUGUCAUCAUCAAAAAGGGGGAGAAUGUUAUUCUUGGUUUUGAUGAUCACAAAAGUUCGUUUAUACAGACCAAGAAAGUGAACUCUUUGAUCAGGUCUGAUGGAACAAAGAAAGCAUAUGUUCACUUAAGUGCUUUGGAUGUGGCAAACAAGAUUGGAAUAAUAUAAAUGAAUUUAGUCAUUGUUUUGUUCCGAUCAAAGAUACUAUCUUUUAAGUAUGUCGAGUUUGUCAUUCUUGGUACUUUGAAAUGUUUACCUAACCUUCUUCAAAUACAAGUGUUUUUGUCUAUCCAAGAAUCAGGUUCAAAUAGGUCAUGAAAUGCAAAACAACCAAAAUGAGAAGCAAAAACAGAACAAUCAGGUCGGACGGCCGAAAGGAAACUGUCGGACGUCCGAAAGGAUAUAGAACAACAGGAAGGAAGCACUGUCGGACGCUCAUAUGGGGGCGUCGGACGUCCGGAAGGAUCGGACGCACACCUCGGACGCAUAUCAACCAGAUCGGACGUCCGAAAAAUUCCAAGAUAACUUGCCAACUCUCUGCCUACGAUCGGACGCUGUACUGUCGGACGAUCAAGACGCAUCGGACGUCCGAACGUCAACUUGGCUGCUCUCGGACGAUUGGAUCGGACGAUAAUUUGAUCGUCGGACGUCCGACAGCCCCAACGGCUAGUUGACUCUUCAGCUGCCUUCUAUCCGUUGGAAGCAUUGAUGAAGCCCAUUUUUGGUUCCCUUUAAAAUCAAACUGGUCUGAACGUAGUAGGGACUUUUGCACACUUUGUUUACAAGAUCUCAAGAGAUAUUUUAGUUAGAAAAUAGUCUCCAAAGCUAGAUUUGUUUUAAAGUGGUGUGAAUUUCUUGUGAGCAUUUCUUUUGUGGUUGAAAGGAUCUUUAGUGUAGCUCUGUUGAGGGUUUUCUGAGUGAUUGUAAAACUUCUUAGCUUGACUAAGUGAGGCUUAGGGCAAGGAAGAAGUGCUCCCUCCAUUGUACAUCUAAUUGAUUGUCUUUCAUCAAAGAGAAGUUGCUCCUCCUAGUGGUUGGUCUUCAAGUUUGAGGAAAGCUUGGUAGACACUUGGUUUGAUUCCCUAUCUUACUUUUCUGUUUAAUAAAAUCUUCAUUGCUUAUCUAUACUUGCUUCUCUGAUCAAUAUUGCUAUUGUCUUCUAAUCUAUUUGGUUGAUUAUUUCUGAGAAGGAAGGUAAAUUUUUAUUAAAGAAAAAGUGCAUAAAUUUGGUUAAGAUUUUAAUCAACCCAAUUCACCCCCCUCUUGGUUGUCUGUGGGACUUACAAGGGAAAAUCGUCCAAAACGUCCUUCAUAUUUUGUAAAAUGACUUUUUUCGUCCCUCACUUUUAAAAGUGUAAUUUUAUAUUCCUUACAUAUUCACAUCGGUCAAAUUUAGUCUCUAACUAGGUUUCCGAUCAUUUUUUGGCCGGAAUCCAUCACGUGCAAGGCACGUAAUCAUUUUUGAAGGGUAAAUUUGUUAAAUUAUAUUUUACAUAAUCUGAUCUAUAAUCCUCCACAUUUUAUAAAAUAAAUUUUUUCGUCCCUCACAUUUUAUAAAAUGAUUUUUUCAUCCCUCACAUUUCACAAAAUGAAUUUCUCCGUCCCUUACAUUUCAAAAAAUGAAUAUUUUCAUCCCUCACUAAUUAUGUAUGUGAGGGAAACCCUAAAAAAAAGUGUGUGAAUACAUUUUGUUUAAACACAUGUAUAUGUCUAUUUGAUUUUGCUUAAUAAUAUGAAUAGCAUAAAUAUAUGUAUGUGUCUAUUUGAUUUCAUUUAACAAUACGAAUACCAUAUAUUAUACGUGAUCAUUUGAUUUCAUCUGGUAUUAGCUAGUAAAUAAUCUUGCAUUCAUUGUCAAGUUGGCCAAUAAAGCUAUUUUCGAUCAAAAUACAAUAAGAAUAUGCAAAUUAAGGUUCUAUUGGUAAAUAUUAGUCAUAAUCAUACAAAAAGAGAAGAUAACCCACAAGUUGGGCUCAAUUACAUACAUGUGUUUAUGCUAUUAUUAUUAAACAAAAUCAAAUAGACAUAUACAUGUGUUUAAAAAAAUGUAUUCACAUACAUAAUUAGUGAGAAAUGAAAAAUUCAUUUUUUGAAAUGUGAGGGAUGGAGAAAUUCAUUUUUUGAAGUGUGAGGGAUGAAAAAAAUCAUUUUAUACAAUGUGAAGGAUGAAAAAAUUUAUUUUAUAAAAUAUGAAGGACUAUAGAUCAGAUUAUGUAAAAUAUAAUUUGACAAAUUUACCCUUCAAAAAUGAUCACGUGCCUUGCACGUGAUGGAUUCCGGGCAAAAAAUGAUCGGAAAGCUAGUUAGGGACUAAAUUUGUCCGAUAUGAAUAUGUUAGAGAUAUAAAAUUACACUUUUAAAAGUGAGGGACGAAAAAAGUUAUUUUAUAAAAUGUGAGGAACGUUUUGGACGAUUUUCCCUAGAUUCAAUAAUAGAAAAUUAGAUUUAAAAAAAGGCAAACAAGAAAGAAACUCAGAAAACUGCUCAAUUUAAAAAACUUACAACGUUGAAUCAUGACAAAAACUUGACGAGGGCAGAGUAUACAUAUAACAAUUAGGUCAUUCUCCAGUCAAGUUUUACAUUUAUAAAUUUCGAAAUACCCCACACGUAAUUUUUUUAUAAGUAUACGAGUCAUUUAUUGAGUAUAGGGAUAUUAGGUGUCGAUCCCACAGGAAAAAUUAUCAAUUACCGAUGAUUUUCGAACUCUUUUAUUAUUUAGACUAUUACAAAUGUAAAAGAUUAAAUCUAUGCUACAAACAUAAAAUAAAAGUAAUAAAAAUAAUAAUAUAAAACUCCUAGAAGUAUGAAAUUCUUUACUACUAUUGCAAAUGAAAUUACCGGUUAAAUGAAUACUAUUAUCUUGGCUGGUAAUGACGUAAUUUCCUAAUAUGUGUGAUACCCACUUUCGCUGGUGUAUCAACUAUACUUAUAGUUAAUUUAUAUAUACUUUCGUGGUUACGAAAAUAACUACAAACUCAUUUCUUUUAUGAAAUUAUAUGAAACAAGUUACUAAAAUCACAAAGGCGCACCUCUACUUUUGUGAGUGUACUCCCUAGAUUUAUCAUUCCUUAAACUAGUGCUAAAUUUUAAUUUUCAUUGCAAACUUAACACUUUAAAAUUAUCAUGAUUAAUGGUCGAUUAAUCAUGACUAGAUAAGCAAAAGUGAUAAAUAACUUGUUUAAAAUAAUAUCAUCAAAUAACCAAAUAAACAUCACUAACAAUAUAUAGAAAGUUUAUCCAUAACUCUAGGUAUAAAUUUUAAUUAAACAUAAAGAAUAAGAACCAAACUUGUAUUACAGUUAAAUAUGAACUUAAAUACAAAGAGAAGAUAAUGAGGAUAAACUAUUCUAACUAUACUAUACUACCCUAACUAAUGAACUAAGAAAAUUCUAGUGAAAAUUACAUUUUUGUGGAGUUUUUCUAGCCUUUUAAAAUUUUUGAAAAUGUUCUCCAAGCCUACUAUUUAUAGAGAGAUUCAAGUUCAAGAUGAGUUGUUUUUAGUUGGCAUUUUUGACUCUUGAAACUCUCAAUGGUUUCUUCUCAAAGCUUCCAGACUCAUCUAAUCAUUUCUGGUUGGAAUCUUUGCAAAAAAAGUGGUCAAAAAGAUUGUAUGAAAAGAGCACAAGUUGCAAAGUAAGUUGCAGCCGGAAUCCAUGAAAAUGCUGGCAGAAAACGAGGCCCGUGCGUUCAUUUUGACACCUCAUUUUGCUCUUUUGCAGGUUUGCUCAUUCUGGGUAGAUUUCAUCAUUGUUCUAUUUUUGGUCCAAUUUCAACGGAUAUUUUCUUGAUGAUAGAGGCUGAACUAGUUCUGGUAUAAAAUAUGAAAGUUUAGCUUUCCAAUACAUUAAGAAUCAUCCAAUUUGGAGGUUUGUGGACCUAGAAAUGAUCAAAAUAUUCUCGACUGGUUAGAACUCUAUUUCAGCUUUUGACAAUGAACAUGCACUUCUGUAUUUCGACAUUUUGAUAAGGAAAACGACUAAAUUGGACUUAAAUAUUUUCAUACAAAAUAUAGAUCUAUCUCUUACCUUAAAAUAAUAUAAGAAUUAGCUAAAUCCAAUAUCUAUAGCUCAAGAUAUUGCUAAAAUAUUACAAGGUGUCAAAACUGAAAAACUUGCAUUUCAUCCUUUGAAUCCUUUGAUUAUUUUGCAUUUCAUGUCUUCUUGUUAUCACUUCAAAUCAUCAAUAAUCAUCCAUCUUAUAGAUUCACUCCAAUUGAUGAUUGAAUCAUUAAACCUACAAAAACAUGAAAUUUUUACCACUAAAAUUUAUAGAAAUAUAAUUUUUAUUAUUUAAAUUACAAAAUACAUAUUUUCAGUAGAAACUUAGUUAAUUAGUUAUAAAACUAAAUAAAAUACACCAAAAUUAACAAAUAAAAUACACUUAAAACAUGCAAAAUAUGUACUUAUCAAAUCAAACCAAAAAUCUGUUCUUUUCUUUCAUUUGCUUCAUCUCCUUAUUUUCAUUUCAAAAAAUGAAAUAAAAGGUUUUUUAUCACUUAGAUUUUGCUGGUUUAUUUCGACGGAGAAGAACGGCCGUCGUGCUACCUAAGGCUCACCACCUAGCCAUUAGAAUGACCGUCAUGCAUUUCUUCACGUCAUCGGUGGAGCCUAGGUUCACAGGCGGCUACGACCAACGGGAAGCCGUUGCUAGGCCGUUUCCUAAUCAACACAAUGCAAUAACUGCGUCUUAAGCCAUUAACGAAAGAACGGCCCCCUAUGGGUCACGCGGCCUCAAGCAGUGCCUUUACGAGGAAGAAUGACUGUCGUGUUGCCUAAGGCUCACAGCCUAGCUUUGAGAACGACUGUCGUGCAUUUCUUCACGUCGUCGAUCGAGCGUUGUGCUCAUGUUUCGGCUGUAGCCUAGCCUACGCAAGAGAACGAUGGCGUGCUAGGCCGUGAACAGAAAAGCGGCCUCUUCCGGGCCACGUGGUCUUACACGGAGCCGUCACGGAGAAGAACGGCAGUCGUGUGGCCAAAGUCUCACCGCCUAGCCUUUAGAAUGACCAUCGUGCAUUUCUUUAUGUUGUCGGUGGAGCGUUGUGCUCAUGCUUAGACCUUGGCCUAGUCAACACAAAGUAAUGAUGGCGUGCUAGGUCGUUAAGUGAAGAACGGCCCCUUCCGAACCAUGUGGCCGCACGCUUUGCCGUCACGGGGAAGAAUGACUGUCAUACGGCCUAAGGCUCACCGCCUAGCCUUCAGAACGAUCGCCAUGCAUUUCUUCACGUUGUCGAUGUAGCAUCGUGCCCAUGCCUAGGCCGUUUCGUUGCCAAUGCAAGGCAACGACUGCGUGCUAGGCCGUUGAGGGAAGAACGGCAUCUUCCGGAUCACUUGACUGCACUCGGUGCCGUCUUGGGGAAGAACGACCGUCAUGCGGCUUAAGGCUCACCAAGCAUCCUUGAGAACGACCGUCAUGCAUUUUUUCACAUCUUGGUGUGGCAUCGUGCCCAUGCGUAGGCAGUUAACGGAAGAACGGUAUCUUGCGGGCCACUUGGCCGCACUCAGUGCUAUCUUGGGAAAGAACGACCGUUAUACGGCCUAAUGCUCACCAACUAGCCUUUAGAACGACUAUCAUACGUAUCUUCACGUCGUUGGUGGAACAUCGUGAACAUGCGGCAAGGACCAAUGGGGAGUUAUUUCUAAACCGUUUCCUAGCCAACGCAAUGCAACGACUGCGUGCUAGGUCAUUAACAGAAGAACGGCUCCUUCCAGGACACGUGACCACACGCUUGCCAUCACGGGGAAGAAGGACCGUCAUGCGGUCUAAGGCUCACCGCCUAACCUUAAGAACGAUUGUCGUCCGUUUCUUCAAGUCGUCAAUGUAGCAUCGUGCCCAUACCUAGACCGUUUCCUAACCAACGCAAGGCAAUGAUCGCGUGCUAAGCCGUUAACGGAAGAACUGCAUUUUCCGGCCCACGUGGCCGCACGCAGUACCGUCUCGGGGAGGAAUGGCCGUCGUGCGGCCUAAAUUUCACCGCCUAACCUUGAAAACGACCGUCAUGCAUUUUUCACGUCAUCGGUGUAGCAUCGUGCCCGUGCUUAGGUCAUUUCCCAGACAACACAAGACAACGACCUUGUGUUUGGCUGUUAACGGUGGAAUGUUUCCUUCCGAGAUACUUGGCCGCACUCGAUGCUGUCUUGGCGAAGAACGACCAUCGUAAGUUUCUUCAUGUCGCCGGUGGAGCGUUGUACUUAAGCCUAGGUCAUGUCUUAGCCAACGCAAGGCAAUGAUGGCGUUCCAAGCCGUUAACGGAAGAAUAGUCUCUUUCUGGCCACGUGGCCGCACACGGAGCAGUCACUGAGAAGAACGGCCAUCGUGCGGCCUAAGACUCACCGCCUAUCCAUUAGAACGACCGUCAUGCAUUUCUUCACGUCGUCAGUGGAGUCUGGCUUCACAUGCGGUUACGAUCAAUGGGGAGCCGUUGUUAGGCAGUUUCCUAGCCAACGCAAUGCAACAAUUGUGUCCUAGGCCGUUAAUGGAAGAGCGGCCCCUUUCGACUCACGUGGCUGCACACGGAGUCGCCAUGGGGAAGAACGGCAGUCGUACUGCCAAAGACUCACCGUCUAGUCUUUAGAACGACCGUCGUACAUUUCUUUACGUUGUCGGUAAAGCAUUGUGCUAAUGCUUAGGCCGUGGCCUAGACAACGUAAGGCAACGAUGGCGUGCUAGGUCGUUAAGUAAAGAACGGCCCCUUCCGGACUAUGUGGCCGCACGCUUUGCCGUCACGGGAAAGAAUGACCGUCGUGCGGCUUAAGGCUCACCGCCUAACUUUCAGAACGAUCGCCUUGCAUUUCGUAACGUGUCGGUGUAGCAUCGUGCCCAUGUCUAGGCCGUUUCGUUUCCAACGCAAGACAACGACAGCGUGCUAGGCCGUUAAGGGAAGAACGGCAUCUUCCGGAUCACUUGAUUGCACUCGGUGCCGUCUUGGAGAAGAAUGACCGUCAUGCGGUCUAAGACUCACCAACUAGCCUUUAGAAUGACCGUCAUGCGUUUUUUCACGUUUUCGGUAGAGCAUUGUGCAUAUGCGGCUAACCAAUAGGUAGAGGUGGGGCAAAUUUAUCCGCUAACCCGAAAAUCCGUCAUAUCCGAUCCGAUACGAUCCGAAAAUUAGGAUAUCCGAUUUUUACUAUUUUAUUGGGUCAAAAGAGGGUCGGGUAUCCGCUAUGAUGUGGGGUAGGUUAGGGUCACAUAAUUAAAAACUCGCGGGUACCCAAUCCGCCCCGCAUAUAUAUAUUUUUUAUGUUUAUUUUUAUUUAUAUACACACACUAUAAAAUAAUAAGUUAGAACUAAAUAAGUAAUUUUAUUGAAUAAAUUGCAUUACAAAUAUGAGAGACUAUAGUUUAUUUACAAGAUUCAUUUGUAAAGGCCAUGAUCUUAUAUUUUAUAGAGAAAAGUUUAAUUAAUGUAGAACAUAUAUAUUAAAAAUUGUGUUACUUAUUUCAAACUUUUAUUGAUUUUGAAUUCUUAUCAUUUUUUUUCCUUUAUCUUAUAUUCUUUUCAUAUGCUUAUUUUUUGGUGGGAAACCUUUUUUUAGAAAAAAAUUAUUAAAUCUUAGAUGAAUGUGUAAAAUAUAAAAUUAAAUUGGUAUAAAUUAUUUUUUUAAAAAAAUUAAAUGAUAAACGAAGGUGGGGACGGGUACCCGCUAAUCCGACCCUAUCUCAGCGGGUACCCGUUAUGCGGGGCGGGUAAGGGUCAGAAAAUGGCUGACCCGCAAGGUACGGGUCGGGUCAGCCAAAUGGUGAAUGCCCCGAGUAUCCGACCCGCGUCCACCCUUACCAAUAGGUAGUCAUUUUUAGGUCGUUUUCUAGUCAACGCAAUGUAACGACUGAGUGCUAGGUCAUUAAAGAGAGAAUGGCCCCUACGGGGUCACGUGACCGCAUGCUUUGCCGUCACGGGGAAGAACGACCGUCUUGCGGUCUAAAGCUCACUGCCUAGCCCAGAGAAUGAUUGCCAUACAUUUUUUCAAGUCAUCGGUGUAGCAUUGUGCCUAUGUCUAGCCCGUUUCGUUGUCAAUGCAAGGUAACGACAGCGUGCUUGGCCGUUAACGGAAGAACGACAUCUUCCGAACCAUUUGACCACACACGGUGCAGCCUAGCCUAAAGAACGACGGUCAUGCGUUUUUCUUCACGUUAUUGGUGGAGCAUAGUUUGACAUGCGGCUACGACCAACGGGGAGCCGUUGCUAGGCCAUUUCCUAGCCAAUGCAAUACAACAACUGCGUCCUAGACUGUUAACGGAAGAACAGUCCCUUUCGGGCCACGUGGCUUCACGCGGUGCCUUCACGGGGAAGAACGACCGUCGUGCACCCUAACACUUACAGCCUAACUUUGAAAAUGGCCGACGUGCAUUUCUUCACGUCGUCAGUAGAGCGGUGGGUUCAUGCUUUGACCGUGACCUAGCCAACGCAAGACAACAAUGGCGUGCUAAACCGUUAAGUGAAUAACGGAUCCUUCUGGGCCAUGUGGCCUCACGCUUUGCCAUCACAGGGAAGAACGAUCGUCGUGUUGUCUAAGACACACCGCCUAGCCUUCAGAAUCGUGUGCUAGGCCGUUAAAGGAAAGAACGGCAUUUUACGGGCCACUUGACCGCACUCAGUGCUGUCUUGGGAAUGAACGAUCGUCAUGUGGCCUAAUGCUCACCAAUUAGCCUUUAGAACGACCGUCAUAUGUUUUUUCACGUCGUUAGUGGAGUAUCGUGAACAUGUGGCAAGGACCAAUGGGAAGUCAUUUCUAGACCGUUUCCUAGCCAACGCAAUACAUUGACUGCGUCCUAGGUCAUUAACGGGAGAACGACACCUUCCGGGGCAUGUGGCCGCACGGUUUACCGUCACGGGGAAGAAUGACCGUCUUGCGGUCUAAGGCUCACCACCUAACCUUGAUAACAACCUUCGUACGUUUCUUCACGUCAUCAAUGUAGCAUCGUGCCCAUGUCUAGGUCGUUUCCUAACCAACGAAAGGUAAUGAUCGCGUGCUAGGUUGUUAACGGACGAACGGCCUCUUCCGAGCUACGUGGCUGUACGCCGCGCCGUUUAGGGGAGGAACGGCCGUCGUGCUGCCUUAGAUUCACCAUGUAGCCUUGAGGACAGCCGUCGUGCAUUUUUUCAUGUCAUUGGUGGAACAUUGUGCUCAUGUCUAGGACGUGUCCUAACCAACGUAAGGUAAUGAUGGCGUGCUAGGCCCUUAAAUGAAGAAAGACCCCUUCCGGAUCUUGUCGCCCCACGCUUUGCCGUCUCGGGGAAGAAUAAUCGUCGUGUAGCCUAAGGCUCAUCGGCUAGCCAUGAGAACGACUGUCAUGCAUUUCUUCACGUCGUCGGUGUAGCAUUGUGCCCAUGCAUGAUCAAGAAUUAUGCGUAUGCUUAGACCGUUUCGUUGCCAACGCAAGGCAAUGAUCGGGUCCUAAGCCGUUAACGGAAGAACGGCCUCUUCGGGGCCAUUUGGUGGUGCUCGGUGCCAUUUUGGGGAAGAACUACUGUCGUGCGGUCUAAGACUCAGCAACUAGUCUUGAGAACGACCGUCAUGCAUUUUUUCACGUCGUCUGCAGUGUAUCAUACAUUUGCAGUUAGGAUCAAUGGGGAGCCGUUUCUAAGUCAUUUCCUAUCUAACGCAAUAUAAUGACUGGGUGCUAGGUCAUUAACGGAAGAAUGGCCCCUUCCGGGCCACGUGGCUGUAUGCAUUGCAGCCACGAGGAAGAACGACCGUCGUGCGGUCUAAGGUUCACUGCCUAACCUUAAGAACGACCGUCGUGCAUUUCUUUACGUCAUCAAUGUGGCAUUGUGUCCAUGCCUAGGCCGUUUCCUAACCAACAAUGAUCGCGUACUAGGCCGUUAACAGAAGAACGGCUUCUUCCAGGUCACGUGGCCGCACGCCGUGCCAUUUCGGAGAGGAUCGGCCGUCGUACGGUCUAAAGCUCACUGCCUAGUCUUGAGAACGACCGUCGUACUUUUUUCACGUCGUCGGUGUAACAUCGUGGCCAUGCUUAGGCCUUUUCCUAGCGAACAUAAGACAACGACUGCGUGCUUGCCAUUUACGGAGGAAUGGCUCAUUCCGGGCUACAAGGCCGCACGCGGUGCCAUUACGGGAAAGAAAGACCAUCGUGUGUCCUCAGGCUCACCACUUAGUCUUGAGGGCGAUCGUCAUGCAUUUCUUCACGUCGUGGGUGGAGCAUCGUGCACAUGCAGAUAGGACCAACGGCGAGUUGUUGCUAGGACGUUUUCUAGCCAACGCAACAUAACGACUGCGUGCUAGGUCAUUAACGAAAGAACAGUCCUUUUCGGACCACGUAGACUCACGCGGUGCCGCCACGGGGAGGAACGACCGUCGUGCGGACUAAGGCUCAAUGUCUAGCCUUGAGAAUGGCCGUCAUGCGUUUUCACCUCGUCGAUGUAACACAGCUUCACAUGCGGCUACUACCAACAAGGAGUCAUUUGUCGCACGGUGUGACUUUCAAGAAACUAUCAAUGUGCGUGCAAUUUAAAAGGUUUAUUCAACUCAAUCACAUCUAAUCUCUCAAUUAACUCUUAUUAGUCCACUAUUGACCAUCCUUUAUUCUCCAAGAUAAUUGCACUCCCGGAUCGGAUAUCAUCUCGAAACACGUGUACUCAUUAUUCGUUACUAAACGAACCUUUGAAAAAUUAAAUUUGCCAACAGAACGUUUUAAAAAUAUAAUUGAGACCUUGUUCCAUGUAAAUGGAUUUAAAAUGAUUGGAAAUAAAUUAUUUGGAGAAAAUGGGUAGAUAAAUAUUUAAAUAAAUCAGUAAUAUAAUAUUAAAUAAAAGUAAGAAAAAAUUCGGUCCUCACAACCUUCCCUCCUUAAAAGAAAUUUCGUUUUCGAAAUUCAUACCUAGGAUAAUAUCAUAACUUUCAAUAACUAGGUUUAUUAAAUCGAUCAAUAACUUACUCUCUCUUCAACCCAUAUCUCAUAAUUUCUAUUCACCCAAUUAGCAAUCAAAUCUUAAUCCCCAAUAAAUAUUUUGACUUCCAACUUAUAGGAUAACUUAAUCGGCCUCGCGUCUAUCUUACUCAUGAAUCUAGGAUUUGUAAAAGGGAUGUGUCAUACCAUGGUCACUUAGAACCUUAGCUAAGUAAAUUCUACCAGUGUCAAGUACUUAUUUCAACUUUCUCCAAAAAUCCAAGAUGCAUGUCCUCAAGGGCCUGAAUUGUCCUCUCGGAUUGUCCAUCAAUCUAUAGGUGGUAAUUGAUCGUACAAUCAUAGUUCUCCGACUCUACCUAUCUUCAUUAUCUCAAGUUCAACUCUUUUUGGGAAAAACAAGUAUUUAAAACUCUUGUGAUCCAUGAAAUCCUCAAAAGUCACUCCAUACAAAUAAGACCUUCAUUUUUCAAUCUAAAAUCUUUACCGGUCCCUUAUCAUAGGUCAAAUUCUCCUCAAAUCCUAUUUCUUUCAUUCAAAUUCACACUUAUUGAACUUAACAAAAGUUGGUGCCCCAUCGGGGUUUGUAAAACUAUCAUCAGGUAUCUUUCAUGAUUUUUUCGAACUUUAGGGUAUACUGAUAUAUUAUCAAUGAAUGCCACCACAAAUUGAUCCAAAUACGGUUUAAAAUCUCGAUGCAUUAAGUCCAUAAUUGCUGCCAGUGCAUUAGUCAACCCAAAAGAUGUAACUGAAAAUUCAAGUGCCCCUAUCUUGAAUUGAAAGUAGUCUUAGGUACAUCGGUUUCUAGGAUUUUCAAUUGGUAAUAACUCUACUUUAAGUCCAACUUGGAUGGUACCACGGCUCCUUACAGUUGAUCGAAUUCUUAUCCACGUAAGACAAAGGGUAGUUGUUUUUAAAUGUCAUAUUGUUCAAGUCUCGAUAGUCUAUGUAUAGUCCUUAUUGCCCCUGCAUCUCUGGUUCAUAUCUCCAUUUAUUUGUUCUCCUAGAUAAGCUUAAGUAGUUAAUGAAUUAGUGCUUGAAUUUAAUCUUUACUCUUUGACACAGAUUGCCUAUUUUGAUAAGUUUUCUUGAUGGACUUAUCCAAGUAACAAAUCAUGGUCCAGACUUAGACAUGUACUCUGGCCUUAUAUGUUAUGGAAAUCUUUUGUCCUUAGCUUAGAAAACAUUAAAAACUUGAGUUCUAUGACACGUGCAUACAGAAUUUUGGUUUAGAUGAUUUUUUUUAUGACCUUUAUUGUAUGAAACUAACGACUCAUCAUUAACUCCAACACAAGAUGCAAUUCAAUCCGGCCAUGGAUUGAAUAGGGUCCAUAGUGAAUUUAGCCAUGGAUUGAGUAGCGAAUCCUGCCAUGGAUUCUUGACCCUCAACCCUUGAUUUCUUGACUUUUAACACCACACACCAUUGCUAGAAUUAAUGGCACAAACAACACUAAUAACUUGACUAACAUAAGCAACUAAAACUAAGGAAAACUGAACCAAGGAAGGGCGGAUUUGAUGAACUUCAAUGGAUCCUCCACUUACAUGACUUGAACUUGAAUCCGGAUCCUAUGUGUGCAUCAUCCUCUUAAUGCUCUAAUGCUCAAACCGGAUAUGGACCAAAUUGUCUCACAACGUCCUAAACCAAGCUCACGUAUCGCUUUAAUGGGCAAACAGUCCAACCCUUGGAGCAUACUGCAGCCUCAAGUGGCAAAAAGCCAACAUCAAGAUGCCAAAUAUUCCCAUUGAUGUGAGCUGUUGGGAUGAUUAGCUUGUUAUCACUAGACUAACUUUUAUUCAUCAAGCAAGGGCCCUUCUAUUCAGCACUAUCGAAUCGAGGCUGACUUUAGUCCCUGCACGAUGGGUAGGUCUUGCAGUCAAACUCCCUUCUGCCUUUGCACUCGAGAGCCAAUCUUUGUCUGACUCGAGGAAACAUUUGCACGUCUCCAUUUCCUUUUGGGAGGCCUACAUCCCAUAGAAACUUUCUAUAUGAGACUAUCCCCCAUAGGUCCUAACACAAGACUAGAAUUCUAGCUUUUCUAGAGUGGUAUCUCACUGAUGGCUUGGGCCCCCCGAAAGAAGGCCUUUUUCUCCUUCCACCUAAACUGCACAUGAAAGGCCCAAAGCCAAUCCCAAGAAACAACGAAGCUUCAUAGGGUCUUUCUAUCCAAGUGUAAGUAGUCAGCAUCUUCAUAGACAUGUCUAUUUCACAGAACCUCUUUCCAAAAUAGUGACCAUAUCAUUACGCCUUUCAUACAGGUUGAAACUUACCCGACAACGAAUUUUUCUACCUUGGGGCCAUUAUAGUUAUGUCGCCAUUCACCGGGGUUUCAGUAGCCAGCUCUCUUGUUAUCGAGUCACCAACUUUCUCGACCUACGAGCAAUGGGCAGGAGUUAGCCCCUAUACAUGGUCUUAUGACUUUGCGGAGACGUGUUUUUGGUAAACAGUUGUCCAUACUUGUCACUGUGACCCCCUUUGUGAGAAAGCGUCCCUUCUCCUGAAAUUACGGAGCUAUUUUGUUGAAUUUCUUAAAGAAAGUUGUCUCGCGUCCCUACGUAUUCUUCACCUAUCCACUUGUGUCAAUUUCAGGUACAGGUACCUUUUUGUUUGCAGUCCUUUGAGCUUUUUCUGAGAGUAUGAACAUUGGCUCGAAACAUUUCGCUACCCCUUUUGCCUUGAAAAAGUAUGGGCAUCUUACGUUCUUGAACUGAUAACCAUCUUUCUGGUAACCUAACCUCCUCUGGGGACAGACAAAUAGUAGUACAAGAAUAUUCACCUAUUGUCCAUUGACCACACUUUUUGGCCUGAUCUUAUACCCUGACUCACCCUCCAUGGAUGAACUAUGUGGAGGAACUCUUAAGUUUUUGGGGCAUUAGAUUCUUACCAAUGUUUACGUUACUCAAGCUGACAUUCUCAUUUCUGCUCUGUCCACCACUGCUCAUGCAGAGGCAUCUCUCUAAGAUGGAACACUCCCCUGCUAUGUAUUUUAUAUCCCAUAGCUUCGACAAAUUGCUUAGCUCCUUUCAUUUUCGGUGCAAGAGCGCUUGAUCAGUAAGCGAUUAUGCACUCUUUCUAGGGUGGCUACUUCUAGGCAAAUCUCUGGCUAUCUCUGCAACCCUACCUCUUUUAUCACUGAAUGGCCAUUUAGGGGCCUUAGUUGGUGAUUCGGGUUAUUUCCCUCUCGACGAUGAAACUUAUCCCUCAUUGUCUCACUGGCCGACCUUGACCUCUAUUGGUUUGAGGUCAUAUCUAGUAUUGAGAGUUUGACCGCACCAAAACAGUGCUUUACCCCUAGAUGUCUAGCCACUUAUUGCGUCUUAAUGCAUUUUGGGGUGGCCUAGCUAGCUCUGGGUUUGAGUGGCAUUUCACCCCUAACCAUAACUUAUCCGUUGAUUCUUCAACAUCUGUCAGUUCAGACAUCCACUUUGAUGAGAACAUGAGGAUGAAGAUGCGAGAUUCCCAUUCAACUCUAUGAAGAUUUCAUUUACUUAGUCUCAAGACAGUAAAGUGCAAUUGGGUUGCAUGAAUUAAUGAAGAAUCGAACCAAUUUCAAGUUUCAUUCUUUUGUGUCAUUUGUUUAGAUGUUGCCCAGCAUUGUUAGUUGUUAAAUUAGAGUUAAUUUAAGUGUUACUUUGAGUCAUUAGUUAAGGAAUAAAGGCCAGGUCAUAUGGACCAUUAUUGAGCCAAUUUAAGUUAAUUAGUUUCCUAUUCCAGUGAGUUAUGGUUUUAGGAAAGUCAUAAUUUAUUUUUAAUUUUGAGUAGGUUUCUUGUGUCUUGUAAAAGGCUAUAAAUAUAGCCUUUAGUCAAGUAUUUUUCAAAAUUUUAAGAAUGCAUUUUCCCAGCCAAAACCCUUGUGUUGCUAUUCUCUUGUCCAAGAGAUCUUCACUUGAAUGCUUGAGAAUUGAUCUUGAGCGUUCACGACUUAUAAACCAAUAAAUCACAAUUGGUUGUGAUGUCAUCUACCAACAUUCUUGGUUUGCUAUUCUAUUUAGUUGUGGGUUAAGAUUAAAUUCAAUAUGUUCACAAUUACGCAGGUUAGAAGAGUCAAGAAUUUCCACAACUCCAACUUGAUUUUUUAUCUAAAUCUGGGACAUUGCGGGAUAUGAGUUCAUGCCAUUCGUGAUGGGUUCGUAUCACACAUAGUUUCACCCAAGUUUUAUCCUGAUCAUGGAUAGAUUACCCAGAUACGGGUCCAUAAGUAGUGACAAUUGCCCUAUGAAGACUCACUUUCGCUAUGACUCUGGUGGGUUCCCUUAUCUAAGUCACUGCCUAUGAGUCGCCUACUCAUUCUUCAACACGCACGUGGUCAAAACCCAAGGCUCGUCCUACUACUUGGGAGCUUGCGGUUUCAUGUUCUAUUUCACUCGCCGAUGUGGGUCUUUUCGCCUUUCCCUUAUGGUACUACUUCGCUAUCCAUCACCUAGGAGUAUUUAGCCUUGCAAGGUGGUCCUUACUGAUUCACAGGAGAUUUCAUAUGCCUCAUGCAACUCAGGUUAGAAUGUAAGCUAGUGAUGCUUUUCACUACUCGACUUUUGCCAUCUAGGAUGCAGCAUUCGAGUUAGGGGUGGGCGCGGGUCGGGUACCCGCCCCAUUCACCAUUUGGCUGACUCAACCCGCACCUUGCGGGUCAGCCAUUUUCUGACCCUUACCCGCCCCGCAUAUCAGCGGGUACCCUAUAACGGGUACCCACUGAGAUAGGGUCGGAUCAGCGGGUACCCGCCCUACCCCGUUUAUCAUUUAAUUUUUUAAAAAAAAUGAUUUUUAUACCAAUUUAAUUUUAUAUUUUACACAUUCAUCUAAAAUUUAAUAAUUUUUUUUUAUAAAAAAAGGUUUCCCACCAAGAAACAAGCAUAUGAAGAGAAUAUAAGAUAAAGGAAAAAAAUUAAAAGAAUUCAAAAUUAAUAAAAGUUUGAAAUAAGUAGCACAAUUUUGAUGAUCAAUGAGGGAUGAAAAAAUUCAUUUUGAAAAAUGUGAGGGAUGGAAAAAUUCAUUUUUUGAAAGUGAGAAACGAAACAAUUCAUUUUAUAAAAUGUUAGGAACGAAAAAAUUUAUUUUGUGAAAUGUGAGGAGCUAUAAAUCAGAUAAAAAUUUGAUUUGACAAUUUUGCCCUUAAAAAUGAUUACAUGCAAAUUACGUGGUGAAUUCUGACAAAAACUAGUUGGAAACCUAGGUAGGGACCAAAUUUGGCCAAUGUGAAUUUGUAAGGGAUGUAAAAUUAUACUUUUAAAAGUGAGGGACGAAAAAAGUCAUCUUGUAAAAUGUGAGGGAUGUUUUGAACGAUUUUUUCCAAUUUUUAAUAUAUAUGUUCCACAUUAAUUAAACUUUUUUCUAUAAAAUAUAAGAUCAUGGCCUUUACAAAUGAAUCUUGUAAAUAAACUAUAGUCUCUCAUAUUUGUAAUGCAAUUUGUUCAAUAAAAUUACUUAUUUAGUUCUAACUUGUUAUUUUAUAGUGUGUGUAUAAAAAUAAAAAUAAAAAAUAUAUAUAUACGGGGCGGAUCGGGUACCCGCGGGUUUUUAAUUAUGUAACCCUAACCCGCCCCGCAUCUUAGCGGAUACCCGACCCUAUUUUGACCCGAUCAAAUAAUAAAAAUCGGAUAUCCUAAUUUUCGGAUCGGAUUGGAUCGGAUAUGACGGAUUUUCGGGUUAGCGGAUAAUUUUGCCCACCCCUAAUUCGAGUGCAUCACCUAGUGGCACGGCACUUGUAUUGCUUUCCCACAACCCUAUUUUCACAGUUUAGGCUACUCCCAUUUCACUCGCAGCUACUAUGAGAAUCGCUUUUGCUUUCUUUUCCUCUGACUACUAAGAAGUUUCACGCAUGAAGGUCCAAAGGUAAUAUUCCCCCACCCCAAAUACAAAAGCGCGAUAAUAUAAAUGAAAAUAAACAAUUUAUUCAUCACAUAUGUGGAGAACGGGAGGCAAUCGAGUGUGUGAUAUGCAAAAACCCUAAAAAAGAAAGAAGAGAGAAAGAAAAGAAAACUGCAACCUAAAACAUCUCAAUGUAAUAUGUAAAAGAGGUUAGAAAAAGAAAAUGAUCGACUAAACCAAGGGUUUGGACUAUCUAAAAGUCCCCAAUGGAGUCGUCAAAUCUGUCGUGCCCUAUUUUUUGAAAAUAAUAUAAAUUUGAUUUGAAGUGAGAAAAGUGGUCUUGAAAAAUGUGUUUUUGAAAGGAAAUUUAUUUGUUAAAAAAUUAAUUUUUUAUUUUUAGCAAAAAUAAAGAAAAUGGCCUAAAUGGAAUUUAGAAAAUGCGACUAUUUCAGCCCAAAAUUUAGUCUAAAAGGGUUUUUUAAAAAAAUAGGAGUCGCCACUUGGUAUUGAGUUUAGGUGUUCCAAGUCAUCCAAAAGUAUUUUAAAUGAAAAAAAUAAAUGAAAACCCUUUUAGAGGAUUCCAAGUCUUUGAAACAAGAGAAAACGAGUUCGGGAGUCACAUUUGAAAAAUGGGAAGGCAAAGAUUAAAUCUAAGGCACCCUUUCAAUAUAGUCAAGGCCAGUUGCGAGAUUUAGUCGAAGAUUUUCUAAUCUAACUUAUAAAACUUAUUACAUUUGGAUGUUUCUAUAUGGAUGCAAAUCUAGACGUAGGAGAGAAUUGAGAGGGGCAAGAUAUCUUUUCAAAGUUUAAUUGGUGCAAAUCACAUUAAUUGUGAUAUUUAAAAAUGAUUUUUUGAAGAGGUCAUGAAGAAUACGAAAGAUGAGACUCAAAAAGAAGAAAAAAUCAUGAUAUAUGUAUAAAUAUACAUGUCCUAGAAGGAAUGCAACAUAACGAGUACGGGGGGUUAAAAUUUAUAACUCAAUUUUCCUUUUUAUAGAGGGGAUAAGAGCAUGCUAAGGUUAAAGAGUCAUACUCAUUCAUUUUCCAUAAUUGAAGGGUAAUGUUUCUAAUCUAAUCAAGCAAAUAGACCAACCUACUUCUAAUUUUCUAAAUAAAAUGCAAGUCUAAAUAUCAUGUUUUGUGCACAUAGGGAUAAGGAGGAUAGUAUAAAAGGAAAUAUCAUACAAAAUGAGGAAAAAAGAUCCUAAAAGUGAAAAAUAUGUAUGAAAUGUAAUAAAUGUCACGCAAAAUAUGAUUCUAGCGCGUGAAUGGCCUAAAAGGUCUAGUAUUGGACUAGACAAUCUCUAUAGGUUCUCACUACAAGGCCACAACUAGCAUUGGACUAGUGUGGUGACAUCAUGCAUUUAUUAUAACUAAAUAAAACAUAUAAAACAUAAUUAAAAUAAAUAAACACUUAGAGCACGUAACACAUAAGUAUAAUAUCUAGAUGCAAAAUCGUAGGCAAAGCAGAUAAACACAUAAAGACGUAAGCAUGCAAGCACACAAGCAAAUAAACAUGCAAAAAAACCUAACUAUUACAUUCGGAAUUCUAACUAAAAUCUAAAGGGGGAAUUUGAGAAAAUAAUAACCUAACUAUUACAUUCAUCUAACUCAUUAUACUUUUAGUCAAAAUAAAAUCUAUCUAUUACAAUACCUCCCAAAUAAUCAUUGACAAUUAAAUUAAAGGGAAUAAACAAGAACAUUGAAAUGAAUUAAAUUGGGUAAAAAAUAAAAGAAAAGUCACUCAAGGCAUGCAAUCAUCACAUAAAAACACAUAAGAGCAUAUAAGAGAAUUUAAAAUAAUAAUAGAAGAUACCUCCCUUGAAAUAGUGAUUAAAUGAGGUUGGAUUUGCCCUAUUUAUACUCUAAAAUCCACUAAAUAGUCAAGGCACCAAUUUAAUUAACAAAUAAAGAGAAUAAAAUGUAACAUAUGAAAAAUUCAUUUUAUUAUUAGAAAAAAAUGGAAAUAACCAUGAAAUUUAUCAACUAAAACACUUAAAUGGAGCCUAAUUAACAAUUAAAGAAAAUAAACAUCAAUAAGCAUGAAACUCCUAAUUAAAGAGAACAAAACAUCAAUAGCCAUGAAACUCCUAAAACUUUACUAAUUAAAUGCAUUUAAAUAAGACAUGAUUGAUAAUUAAAGAUGAUAGGCAAAUUAUACUUAGGAAAUCAAAGUUGGUAGGGGCCUAAUUGCAAAGAUUAAGAAAGUUUUUGGUGUCAAUUUAUAAUUUUAGGACAUUUGGGGGUCAAAAUUGAAUAAAAGAUAACAUUUUAGGGGCCAAAUUGUAAUUAUAUUAGGGACCUAAUUGAAAGAAAUCCAAAGUUCCAGGGCCAUAAUCAACAUCCAUUUAUAAAAAAUCCAACAACAAAAACAUUAACCCUACGCCUUAGUUCAUUUUCCAACCCAACAAGGUAAUAAAUCUUCUAAAAAUUAUUAAGGCAUAAGUAUGUCCUAAAACCCAUAAAUAAUUUGCUAAAAACACAUGCUUAAAACAUGCAAAGGGGGAUUAAGGCUUAAAAGGGUGAAAACUGAUUUAUUUUUGUAAGUUUUUGAGCCAUAGUGUAAUUGUUCUAAAGUUAAGGGGUCAAAAUGCAAUUUUUUUGAACUUCAUGCAAGCUUGAGCGUCUGUUUUUGCAGUUUUCUUGCAACUGAUUCAACCGCAGAAAAUCCCACCCAAAACUCAAACUAAACUAGAAAAAAAACACAAAGACCAACCCAUUUCCUUAACAAAUUCCAAUAACAAAACACUCCAUUUGAAAGGUCAAAGCAAAAGAGAAAAAUGCAAGGUAAGCUGCAAAAACGAACAGGUGCAGCAACAAGAUUUCCACAUUUUUUAUCCAAAUCUAAUGAUACUAUUUGUUCACAAGAAGUUCGUAAUAUUCCCUUUCUUUGGUAUACCUAAUCUUGUUGGUGAAUUUUUGAAGUCAAAAUCGUGACACGAGCCGCCCUGUUAAAACCUGUUAAAAACCCCAAUGGAUCUAGGAGUGACCUCCCGUGCUUGUGCACAAAUUAAAGCUUGUUGAAAGAUGAAUACCUUUGGUAAUUUUCAUUAUCAAAUAGGCCUUCGUAUACCUUACCUAGGCCUAGCGAAGCACAGGGGGCAGUCUUUUUUUUCUGUAAAUACAGCUCUUUUGAUCAUUUCUUCGCAUGUACCUGCAGUAGCAUUCAAGUAAUGCCCUUUGAUUUCACCUGUUUCAGCCUGUGCUUUAUAAAGAACUUCAGCACAAAAGUAGAAACGAUCUCUCCAACACAUAAAUGGUUGGGAGUUCACGUUUUCAUCGUCUUUGGUAAAAUCAAGUCCCCCGCGAAGACAUUCAUAAACAGCUCUACCGUAGUUUUUAGCAGAUAAACCUAAUUUAGGUUUAAUAGUACAUCCCAAUAGGGGACGUGUGAGGAUCCGCAAAUUCCCUAUAUUUUUCCUCAAAAAUGCCUUUUAUUUGAAAAUUAUAUUUUAGCAAAGGCCACUACCCCAAUUAUUUCACACUAAGUGUAAAUAAACCUAGAAAAUAGGGUUUUAUGCUUCGGUUUCAAGUUUGGAGUAAAAUUAGGGUUUUCGCGAUUUUCUCGCCGGAUGAAUUUUCGGUACAGAGUAAGGAUUAAAUUUGGGGAUUAAAAGUGAUUUUUAAGUGAGAAAUAAUGUGUGACUAGUAGCAAUGAUAUAAGGAUUGUGAUUGGGAAGUAAAAAUACUAGUACGUGAGUUUUUAAGAAAAACGGCGCGAACCGGCGGGUCCCGCGCGCUACCGAUUGAACGCACCACUUGACCACCAUUUUUCUUACCGAACAAGUUUAUUGACUUUUGCACAAAAUAUCCUCUCUCUUGGCAGCUAGCUUGACCGAAACUUGUGGCUCAAGACAAGAGAAAGAAAGAGAAAAAUUUGUGGACAAGAUUAGUCCAAGUGUUAGCCAAAAUUGUGGUCCUAAUUAACUCUAAUCUUCUUACUUCUAUAUAAGACAAGCUAACCUUCAUCUCUCUUCAUUUUGCUGCUGCUGGCCGAGAGGAAGAACAAGAAAAACACCAAAGGGAAAACAUUUCAUUUCAUCUACAAUCCAACAACUUAGUGAGAAAUCAAACAAAGUAAACCGAUUAAACUUGUUCUUGAGUGACUAGCUAGUGGUUUGUGGUGAGACUUUGGAAGGAGAAGGCUUGGACUACUCUUAGUGACUUCUAUUCAAGGUAAGAGAGCUUAUCUCUCCAAGUUUUGCUUUCAAUUUUGUUAAAUUAAGUUAGUAGUUUGAUUAUAGUGGUGGAAUCAUGGAUGAUUAGCAUGUUGUAGAGGUUUUCCCCAAUUUAUUUGAUGAACUAGGGCUUGUGGAAAUUCUGCCCAAAUUGUUGUAUGAUGCUUAUAUGUUGCAAUUGAGGUUAUAUAAGAUGUUUUGGGAGUGAUUGGACCAAGAAAUUAAGGAAAGUUGCACUAGAAACUCAAAAUUUCAGAAUCUGGAAAUUUUUCCCCAAUUUUCUGUCCGGUUUUGUAGCUGUGUGUUAGAGGCUGAUUUGGCCUUAGGUCAAAGAAUUAAAGUUGUUGAGAAUGGUAUUUUAUAGGUUCCUGUAAAAUUUCAGCUCAAUCGGAGCAUCGUAGCAUGUGAAAAGUCCAAAAUACCCUUACUGUUUUAAGUAUUUCCCAGCAGUCCGUUUCAGCAGUUAAGUCCAGUUUAUCACGUUUUUUGACCAGGAUCCAUUUUGAUUUAGCUCUGAACCAAAACAUGAAAAUUGUAUUGUUCUGUAUUAGCUUUAAAAUGCCUCAAGGAACACCUGAUUCGGACUUGUGUACACUGAGUUAUGUCCACUACAGUGUAAUACGAUUAAACAGCCGACGAAGUGGUUUCUGGUUUAGUAAUUGGAGAAUUUGACCAAGUUACCUUAGGAACUGGACUAAGUGACCUUCAUGAACAUUGUAGCCCUGUGUCUUAGCUUCGAAACGGCAUAAGUUGUGCCUCAAUACGAUAAGCGUAGCCUCGGAUAUGUUAUUUCCACAUUUGUACGUCAAAUCUAUCUUGUGCUAAGUUGAAUUUCUGCACUUGUGAUUGUUGUGAAUCUUGUUUUAUGAUAUUGUGAGCCUAUGGAACGGCUCUUGGUUUGAAUUGUUUUUAUGUGUGAUGUUGGGUUGUGGUUGAAGAAAAAUAAUGAAGCCUAAAUGGCUGGAAAUUAGGUAAACACAAAAGGUAUGCUGCCCGAAUUUUUACUCGAGAACUAGAAAACUAUAUUUGCGACUUGAGUGAAGGUUAAGUACUUAUCACUUGAACUAGCGAUAACCUUUGUUACUAUGGUUGUUGAGGAUUAUACGUUAGGACUUGGUCGAACUUGUACCCUUGAGAAAUGAAAUAAUGAUUGCUCGAAGUACGUUUUCCUUGUACCUUCGACUCGCAUGACAAUUUCAAGUAUAAAUGUUACAAAGUUUUAUCAUUUAAAAAGCGAGCGAGUAUUUCACAAGUAUUCUCCAAGUGAAUUUCCAUUUAUUGAUUCUUAUUGAACGAAACGUAUAAGUUUCGAAUCUUAGUCAUGUUUCAAAGUUCUCAAACUGAGUUUUAUCGCAAAUUUGGACUCCGAACUCGGAGUAUAACCUGAAAGUGACUAGUAAAGGCACUAUAUCUUUUGGUGAGUGCUUUCAAAUACUGAAUUGAACUUGAUACUUGUACUUGAUACGUGACCAAUAUGAUUACAUGCCACAUGCGUGAAUUGUUAGGGCAAGAGUGUACUUUAUCGCACUUGCCCUUACAUGAUAUAUCUUUGUUUAUUGUUGCCAUUGACUUGACAUACUUGUUUAUGAUGCGCGCACUUCCUGGAAUUCCGGAAACCCUGCGGCGAGUUACUUGAGUCGAGUCGGCAAGGGCUUGGUCGAUUGGGUAACGAACCCUGGGUCUCUUGUUUGGUCGAGUGAAGUGAUUUCUCCUCGACUAAUCGGUAUACUCGAGUAUUACCACCCGUGUUCUUGAGGAUUUUGGGCCCAGUAGGGGGUGUGAAUGGUGGACGGAGAGUCGUGUAAGUGGUGCUUUACUGGAUUGGUUCCUUUACUUGAAAGUUGACGGAGUGUCAACUACUACGUGAUCAAGCUCCUGAUGAUGAAUGGAAGUUGGCUCCUGAGGGCCAUCCGUAUCCUUAUGCUUUGGAUUGAUUAUUGCUUAUUGGAUUAUUGUUGUUUUUGAAAAACUUUUACACUCGCUCAUUUUGAGAUUUCUACUUGACGUGUUAUUGCUCACAUUGAUGAACUCUUCAUGCUCGUUACUUUGCUAUAUCGAAAGCUUGUACAUAUAAUUAAUGGUCAAUUUGCUAUUUGGAACCUCACUGGAUUUUUAGCUCAUACCACGUUAUUUGUUUUCCUUACAGGGGGUACGAGCGAGGCGUGAGAUAUGUAAAGACUAGCGUAGUCUAGUUGUUUGACUUUUGACUUUUGACUUGUACUCGCGCUAUUCCUCGAAUGGAACAUUUUGUACUUGGUUUGUAUACGUUUUGAAUUAGUUUGAGUAUAUCGAGACUUUGUACCCUAUUUCCUAUCCGUGUAUAUUAUAAGAUUGAAUCGUGGAUGUUAUUUAUGGUUUAUGAAUGCGUAUGUACGUGAUUCGCGUGAGCUUGUGAGUGAGUCCUGGCGAGAGCUGGGCAGGCGGUCCGCCGAACCCUUUGGUACGCCUUAGGGGGAGGUGGGGUCGUCACAGAUGGUAUCAGAGCUCCUAUUGAGCUCGUGCCGGGAGAAGGUUCUCGGACUGUGGGGAUUGACUUGUUAAGUAUGGAACAAUUGUCUAUUGUUGGGAAUCUUAGAUAUGUAUGUUGGGUAGGAAUCUUUAAUACGAAUGAUUCGCUCUUGAGCCUGGCCAGCUUGAGUGGUGAAUUAUCAUAUUUUUGGAUUCUUGUCCCCGAGUACCAAAGAGUGACACCUUUACGAUAAGUUGAGAUCUCGCGUGAUAUUCAGAUAAGUUUGGAUUGUGAAAGCAAAGGCACAGGGAGCGUGAAUAGUCUGGACUUGAAAAAUAUUGAAGAUAUUGCUGGGAUUUGGGAUCCUUCUUAUUCACGUGUUUCGAGCCUUGAUUAAGUGUAGUGCCUGAGCGAUACCUGGGGUUAAUGCUCUAUAAGUUAUGUGACUUGUUUUAAUUGAAUGUGUGAUAUUGCCUUGCCUUGUUUUAUGAUUUAGAGGGGUUUAUGAAUUGCAAUAUUCCGUUUUAUGCUGUUUAUGUUUAUAUAGUUACUUAGUGGUUAUAUUCUAUCAUUAAUUAGUUGGUUAUAUUGUUAUAGUUGGUUAGCUGUGAAACAUGAAGGAUAAGAGAAGUCGGGCCAAGAAAACUAACCGAGAACGCGGUUCUAGGCGAGGCCGUGAGGGUGAACAUGAGACGGCCCCACUUCCCCCUAGGGCGUACCAAAGGGUUCGGCGGGUCGCCUGCCCAACUCUCGCCAGGACUCACUCGUUCACUUCAAUCCUCAAUUAAAAUCGAAAUAAAUCACGGGAAUAAAUAUAAUGACGAUCCAAAACUUAACGCAAAACUUAUGUACAUUACUAUCUCAAAAGGGAGUACAAACAUCGAAUAUACAAAGGUUCUCGGUUCACCACACAUCCAGCCCGUGCCAAGCACUAGGGCGAGAACCAUUACAAAACCAAAAACUAGUCUAGGCUAGUCUAAACUGAGCUCUCGUCCUUGCUCGCCUUCCCCUGUUAAGGAAAACAAACUAAAGGGGUGAGCUAAAAGCUCAGUGAGAUUCUAUAUACAAAAACAAGUAAUUGAACAAGGACAUUAAUCAUGUAAUAACAAAUAAUCCAGAAAACAUGUCCAAUAUAAAGCAAUGAUAAUGCAUUCAUUAAAAGGAUACGGGCUCACAAGGAGCUAUUUGUUCGUUCGUUCGUUCCCUUGACAUUUCACCUUAUUACUCCAAUUAUUUGAAAAUUUCCUUUUUUGAGAAGUAAAACCCUCGUGCCUGCGUUCGUUCAUUCAUCCCUUUCCGGACGUUGGCCGGACUCCACCCAUCCGGACAUGGCCGGACUAUAAGGUAAUACUCGAGUAUACCAAAUGUUCACCCAGGUCACCAUAUCGCCCGACCGAGUCCGCUUCUGGCUCGAGUCGAUCGGUAACAAGAGCAAGGGCCCAGUUCAGCCAAAAGGCUUACAUUCAUGCGCAACUAGUAUUUCAACAUUUAAUCACCGAAAAUUUCAUAUUUAUUUAGGUCGAGUGCGAUAAAGUACACACUCACCUAGCAAAAGUUCAUUUUAGAAAUCAUAGAAAACAAGUAACAUUUAAUCAAAUAGUCACGAAUAAUCACAUAGACCCAACAAUCCACUUAGUCAUAGAAACAAAACGUAUAUAGAACACUCACCUAUUUAAGCAAAAUAAUGUCCAAAGUAUCCUCCCAGAUAACACUUUCAAUCGCCAAGAAACCCUAAUAAUAGCCAAGAGAAAAUAUUACAGUUAAACCCCUCCAAAGGUUAAGUGGACCAAAGAAAAUUCAAAUAACUACUAAUACCAAGCGUAAGUAUAGUUUUCUAGUCCUCGAGCGUAAAUUUGGGCAGCAUACCCUUUGUGUUUACCAAAUUUUCAGCCAUUUUGGCUUCAUUAUUUUUCUCAAUCCAACCCAAAGUUGUCCAUGACACAAAUUCAGUUCCAUAGCCAUUCCAUAGGCUCAAUACAAUACAAGAACAAAAUUAAGUGAUAACAAGUGCGGAAAUAUAACCUAGCGAAAGAUAGAUUUGACGUGUGGUUGCGGAAAGAAAACAUCCGAGGCUACGCUUAUCGGAUUGGUAUGUAACUUAUACCGUUUCGAAGCUAAGACGAAGUCCUACAACUUCCAUGAAGGUCACAUAGUCAGAUUUCCAGGGUAACCUGGUCAUAUUCCCAAGUUACAGAACCAACUUCCAACUUGACGGCUAAUUAACCGCACUAGACUAGAAUGGUCAUAUCUCAGGCUACCAAGGUCUGUUUAAGGUGUUCUUGGAUGCGUUUAAAAGCUAAGACAGAGUACUAAAACUUUCAUGUUUUGGAAAAAAGCUAACUCAGUACGGAUCCUAGUGAAUAAACAUGAUAAACUGGAUAAACUGACCAAACGGACUACUGGGAAAAACCUUAAAACAUUGAGGGUAUUUUGGUCUUUUCACAGGCUACGUUGCUCCGAUUGAGCUGAAAUUUUGUAGCCACCUAUAAAAUACCAUUCUCUACAACUUUCAUGUUUUAUGACAAGCCCAAUUCGGCCUCUAACAGGGUGUAACAAAAACGGGCGGAAUAGGAUGAAAAUUUCCAGAAAUCCGAAAUCUUUUGGUUUCAAUGAUAGUUUUCUUAAUUUCUUGCUACACUUGCUACCAAAACCCCCUAUAUAACCUUAUAUACAACAUAUACUAACUAUACAAAAAGUUUAGGCAGAAAUUAAUCAAACUCUAAUUUACAUAUUUCAUCCAAAAAUCACCACAACAACUUGCAUCACUUGUAAUCAAACCCAAAACAUGAACUAUUUAACAUCUUAAACAAGAAUAAAAGGAUCAAAGCCAUAUAUCAGAUUUUAUACCUCAAAAAGAAGGCUUGCAAGAGUGAUCCUCCACUAUUUCUUGAAGUUUUUGGUUCCCUUAGCUUCCCAAGCUUCCAAACUUACAAUCAAUCGAUUUAGAAUUCGAUUUUAGCACUUGGUUGGUGUAAAUCAAGAAGGAAUUUGUUUUCUCUUGCUCUCCCUUUCUCUCUCUCUUGCUUGGCCAAGACCAGAAAAAAAUGAAGAAGAAAGAUGGCUGAAGUGAAGGAUAAAAAGGCAAGAAAAAAAAUUAAUUAAGGAGUCAUGAGGUGGUGACACUUGGCGCCACCAAAGCCAUGCAAAUUUUUCUCUCUCCCUUACAUUUUUGGCCACAAAUUUCGGUCAAAGGCAGCUAGAAAUGAAGGGAUAUUUUGCUCAAAUAUCAAUGAGCUCAUGUGGUAAGAAAGUGGUGGUCCAGUGGUGUGUUCAAUCGGUAGUGUGCGGUACACGUCGGUUCACACCGUUUUUCUUUAAAACACCCGUACUAGGGUUUUUACUUCCUAUUCACCAACCUUAUAUCAUUGCUCCUAAUCACAUAUUAUUUCUCACUUAAAAGUCACUUUUAAUCACCAAAUUUGAUCCUUGCUCCGUACCGAAAAAUCAUCCGGCGAAAAUCGCGAAAACCCUAAUUUGCUCCAAUUUUGAAAACGAAGAGUGAAACCCUACUUUCUAGAUUCAUUUGCACUUAUUGGAGAAUGAUUGGGUAGUAGGGCUUUAAUAAUUGAGAAAAAUAUAAGAAAUUUGCGAGUCCUCACACUCUCUCCCCCUUAAAAGAAUUUCGACCUCGAAAUUCAUACCUUCCGUCGCCUCGGAGGACCCCAGAACUUGUUGCUGAUCUACGGCAUAAACUUGUGUCGAUACUUUUGUUUGAUUUCCUCUUUCAUGAGGUUGUUUCGGUUUGGUUCCUUCCACUUGUUGAGUACUACCCUCUCGUGGCUGUUUCUUCGGGCAAUUGUUAAGUUGAUGAUUGCUACUCCCACAAAUCAAACAUUUUCCCCCUUUCCGCCAGCAAUCAUUCUCAGUGUGAUUUGCCUUUCCACAGUAUUCACAGGCCAAUCGAGGAGCUACUGUUGGAUCUUCUCGAGAAAUGUCCUUUGAUCCGAUCUGACUUCCUUUCAUGGACCUUUCACCUAAUGCUCUUAAUGUCCAAGGUGGGCGAGGUGAAUGGUUCACUUUUUGCACUUUGGAGAGCAUUGUCUUUUCUCCGAAUUCCUCAGGUGUGCUGUUGGAUAUAUCUCUCUUCCGCGUUUGAAAGGCUUUUACUUGGGCUUUCACAUCCUCAAUUCUUUGGACCUUCUCAAGAGCCUCUGUAAACGUAUUAACUUGAACUGCCGCUAAUGCCUCCUGGAUUUCCAAAUUUAGUCCUUGUACAAAUCGUCUUAUUCUCCGUCGCUCCGUAACCACCAAUUCGGAAGCGAAUUUAGAUAGUCUAGUAAAUUUGGUCUCAUAUUCGGCCACACUUAGGGUUCCCUGACGCAAGCCAAUGAAUUCGUCCUCUCUCCUUUCUUGGACUAAAGGUGGGAGAUACUUUUCGUUAAAUUCCCUUACAAAGUUCGCCCAUGUCCAUACUGUCUGUUCUCUUUCCCACUUGGCCUUAAUUACAUUCCACCACGCGCGGGCUGGUCCUUCGAAUUGAAAUACAGCAAAAUUUACUUGUCUUUGCUCCAUAUAAUUCAAAGCCGGGAAGAUAUUAAUCAUUGCCUCCAACCACUGCUCAGCUAUAUCCGGAUCAGGCCCUCGUUGAAAUUUCGGAGGUAGAAACUUUUGGAACCUCUCAAGAGCCUUAUCCUCUCCGAUCUCAGGAUUCCGGGGUUGAUUCACUGGCAUUUGGCCUUGUUGAUCUACCAGUCGUGCCAGGAUAUUUGUCAUUUGUUGCAUCGCCGUUGCCAUUUGAUCUCCAGCCUCAACCCUCGGUCCCUGUUCUUGCUCGGCCACUGUUUCUCUUUCUUCCCUCGGUUCUUGAGCUUGCCUAACUCCAUGGCCACGACUAGUUCCACGUCCACGACUACGUCUCCCGUCCAUAUAUAUGUUUUCCCUCUCUCUUUUCUUUUCUUUUCCCCAAAAAGGUAAUUUAGUAAAUAAACACAGUAAAUUGACUACAGUAACAAAUUCUAGCAUUCCAAAUACACCAAUAAACAUAUACGCACAUAACAUGCCAUAUCAAGAAGACGGAUAAGCAAAUACACAAAUACAUAUCAAGUUGGACAGAUAACCAUGUACACACAUGUAUACUAACGUCAUGUAGUAACAAUAUACAGGUAAAUCAAAAGGAAAAGGCAAAGUCGUCCCAGUAUCAGCCCGUCCAGUCCCUCACAUCACUUACUAUCCAAACUAGAUGUCCCUCACGUCACUUACUAACGUCUUGUGCUCAUUCUAGUCAGACAAAGCCUGUUCAUGUUCCCAAAAUGCAAGUCUCAAGUACUUAGCAGCGCCUCAACUCUGGAGUACUCAGGCACAAGAAUCCGAAAUAAGAUAAUCCACAUCUCGAGCUGCAGUCCCAAGAGUAAACUAUCUACAAUCGGAAUUCCUACCUGACAUACCUAUCUAUGAUCCUCAGAUACCAUGAGAAAGAUUUAAGGCCUAUAACAUUCGCAAUUCAUAGCUUCACUUAGUCCCUCAUACUUAUUCACCACUUAGUCCAGGGUCACUCCGCGCCGAGACCACGCGAAGCAGCUAUAGGUUUUAUCCCUCAAUCGCUUAACUCUCAAGUCAAAUCGUCAAAUCGAAUCUUCUUGCAGAAUGAUAUGGCACGUAACCAUCCUGAGACAAGAAGCAAUUCGCCACUGCCAUCAGUAGUUUACAUAACCGAUCACAAAAUUGGAUAGAUGAGCAUCUAGCAAACUGUUUCUCACUUUCCUUAUUGGGUCUAUUAAGGGGAUCAUACACGAAAAUGGAGCUCAAAAACCAUCUAAUUGCAUCAAAAAAUUCAUCCACGACAAACAGUUCUCCACAGAGUAAAUUAAUCUCAACCCCAGCUAUCCCUUAUCAUGCGGUGCUACAGUUAAAGAAUUCGACUUCAGAACUAAAACUUGCUUUUGAUAAAUACAAGUUAAAAUAAUAUAUAAUUUUUACUCCAAUAGUAUCUAAAAUUGGAUAUGGUGUAAACUAGUUUGGUAUCACUGGACCUUUGGUCCAGUGGUCAUCCCAAGCCUUCUUAGGCUUGGUGGUGCGGGAGGUCAAGGGUUCGAACCUUGCCUCCCACAAAAUUUGUCAUAAUAUGUGACGGUCUUCAUUGACCAGUUUCGAUAGAAUUUCUACUCACAUCGAGUCCCCUCCCCUCCCCCUAGAAUAGGUUAGCUUAGGUUAUAGGAAUUCUAUCGUAUCGACAAAAAAAGUAAACUAGUUUGGUAUGAUGGAUGAAUAUGACACAUGGCAAAGGCAAAAGUUGUGGAUAUGAGGGUUAACUGUAAUGCAGAUAAGCAUAACAUGUAAACCUGAAAAGCUAGCGGCAACAUGUUAGUUCUGAAAAGUACAAAAAAAAAAAAAAAAAAACUCAUGAGAUGGAGGAAAGAGAUGGAGAGGUUGAUGGAAGCGAUUGCAGCCAUAAAGUUGGCGAAAAUACAAGAGUUUAACAUCUGCACCUAUGAACACACGUGCAGCUAUCAUUUAUUGGUUCUAACACAUUCAGUGCCAUUCGAAGAGUAAGGGAUAUUUACAUUUGCUUGGUACUCAAUGCUAUUAACUAUGGCACAAGUCAGCAGCUUACAAGAGGAGCAACUCAAAAAAAGAUGCGUGUUGGCAUAUUCUCUAAAGAAUCCAUAAGAGGUUUCAUCCUAACAUAUUAUGGUAUUCUAUAAGUUGGAACUAACCAACAAAAAUAGAUGUUUAACGAUAACCUACAAUGCAACAGUACAGCACCUGAGAAGGCUAAUAAAAGGCAUCCAAAUAUUCUUCACCAUCUCAGUAAACAAAAAACCCUUCCAUCACAACAGUCACUGUUCCCACAAGUGGUGGAAGAACAUUAUAUCACUAGAGAUUUAACUUUCUACACGUCUGAUACACGGUGUCAAACUCAAUAAUUAAAAUCAUAUGGAAGUUUUGCAAAUCUGUCAGUGUUUUGCAGUGUUAUGUCUAUAAAGUUAUAGAAAAAAAAGAAGAUGAAGUUGUUAUAAACAACUAGCAGAAGAAACCAGAACUCACUACACUACACAUGAUAAAUGUUUUGAGGAUUAAAUAAUACCUGCGGUGAAGAUAAGAGAAUAAUGUUCCUGAAGUUCUCCAAGGUCUUUUGCUGAGAGAAGAGAAAUAAACAUAGAAGAUAUAUAUUCAGUGACAACAAACAAAGGUUUUUUUCCAACCCAUCAGAAAAGGAAAAUAUGAUGAAAAUUUUCACUGGAAAAGGCUAAAGGAAAAAAGAGUCCAGAGGCAAAGAAAACUUCAGAGAAUGCUGUCAAUCAAAUCAUUACCUUACAAAGUCUGUACAGAAAAGUAUUUUGGAGAUCUGGAUCAUCCGUGAAAGUAAGCUGAUGAAUGCAUUGUGUGCCCUUGAGCUUCUUCAAGAGCCACAAUCCGGAAUUGAAUAAAGAAUUCGAGCUGUACAAAUAUCCUAGAUGUGGACCAGAAACAGAUACAUAGGUAUAAAGGAAUCUGAGGUAUGGUUCCAUAACACUCUCUGCAAAAAGUAAAGCACAAAAUCAGCAACCUUCCAAGUUGAUCUUAGAAUUGCAUUUUUUGCCACAGCAUUCGAACCUGUUAAUGCAGUUCUCAAAAUGAUGUUCCCAAUUGAAUGUCCAACGAAGCUUAGCUUUAUACUUCGUAAACCUCCAGAUCUAGAGACCUUAUCCAUCUUCUUCUUUAUGAAAGAGACUACUUCUUGAGCUAGUCUCUGUCCCAUUUCUCUAAAAUCUCCAGAUGUUUUCUCUUCAUUAACCUCUGACAUUAAAAAUUCUACCUUAGGAUCAAUCAAAAGCCAUUGAUUACGAACUAGUCGCAAGUCCAGGUGAUGCCCCUGCACAUUUUUUAGCCCACAUGCUAGAAGGUCAGCUCUAAAUUUGGAAGAAAACCUAAUAGAUAACAUUUAUAAGACAGUCCCAUUCCUUUCUUCACGGCAUAUUUUGUUACACAAUUUGGUAGUUGAUUUAGCCGUACAAAAUAAUAUGGAUAUCAUAGUCAUAAUCCAACAGAAAAGGAAUUUAUUCAGGAAGCUAAUAGACCACUAUUUCGUAUUUGCAAUUUAUAAAAUUUCCAGUGAGCACACCAGCCAAGACAUAUGUUUGCGAGCGCAAUGCACAGAAAUAAUGCUCAAGAACUUUGAUGAAAGUCACCAAAUUGGAUCUUUCUGGCUACAACUUUCACUUAAGUUAAAAUGAGAAAGGAUUCAAAAGCAGACUAAUUGCGGGUAACAAGAAUAAAAGAUCAUAUUCUGUUAUUUUAGCCAAAAAAUAAAAAUCAGACAAACGAUUGUUCUCCCUAAUCUAAUGUACUGGAAUAUGCACAAAAGGAGAAAAGAAAUGGCAUAUAUUCAGUAAACCAAUAUUAGGGGUUUGUUAAAAUCUCAUUAAGAUACCCAGAAAAACACACGGAAACCUUUUAACUUUUAGAACAAAAACGUGAUGAAUAUUGUUGUAUAAGAACAUUUGGGCAUUAUUUGAAGAGAUGAUUUUAUUAAGGGAUAAUUUCAGAAAACUCCCUUGAAGUUUUUGACAAUUUCACCUAGUUCCCUUGAGAUUUGAAAAUUACACAUAACUCCUUGAGUUUACCAUUUUGGUAACAAAAACUAGUCAAUGGUCAAAAUUUUGAUGAAUAACCCAAAAUGCCCUCAUGAAAUUGUCAAAUUCAUACCUUCUUAUAAAAUUCUUUAAAAAAUUAUGCAAUAUGCACAAAAUCUCAAACCCACUUUCAACGCUCAUCUAUACAAUUUUAAACCUUUCUUAUUCAUACAUUUCAAAUUCGUACCAUUAUAGCAUGACCACCACUGCCAUUAGCCCCUAAAUUCUAAAACCUCAAUCUCAGUUACAAAUUGAAAAAAAAAAAAAAUCAGCACUGUUAAACUCAAACUUUCGCCAACUGUAUUAAUAUAACAUCCUAUCCCUCAAACGUUGGUGUACCAGCACAUGUUCUGUCCUUUUUAAACCUCCAGCUUACAUCUUCUAUUCAUCUUCAUAUCCUCCAAGCAAAGUUAAAAUUAAUUUGUAAUAUGUUAGAAUUGUGUUUAGGACAUAAUUAGUUAUUCCAUGAGUGACCCCUUUUUCCAUUAAAUGUUUAAUUGUGUGGUGCAUUCCUAUGCACAAGCUUAGGAGUGUAUUGUUUAAUUGCAUGAAAAUAUUAAUAUAUUAAGGUUAUUAUGGUCAUUUUAUAGGGCCAAGGGAGAGGCCAAGGGCAGUAAGUGUAAUAUUGAAAACCUCAAGGGUACUAGGUGAAAUUGUCAGAAACCUCGAGGGAGGUUUCUGAAAUUAACCCUUUUAUUAAUCAGGGUAAACGUUGUAAAUAUGGAUUAACAUGUCCUACACAGUUGGUUUUAAAUGUGGCUUGGAUGCAUGCCAAAUGUGCAAAAGAGAAUUUAAAGUUUGAAUGGAGGUUAUCUGUCAUGUUCCCAGACUGCCAGUGCAAAGAAAUUUUAAAAUGAAGGUGUAGGAAAAAUUAACCCUUUACAAAAUAUGUGCUUAAAAUCUUUCUCAAACUAUUUCUUCCGUGUCCGAACCACUUUAGAUCAGAGCUACCACAGAAGUCAAUAAAAGAUUUGAAAUAACACUGCAGAUCUGUUCUCAUCCAUCAUCAAUCUCCCCAAUAUUAAGGCAAUCUUAUUCAAGGUAUGUUGAUUUUAGUCUCUCUUUUUCUUAAAUCGUGCAACCAUAUAAAGCACACAGGUUCACAGUUUUGUCUUAAUACAAUGUAGUUACACAUAUAUGUAAGACCAUGGAUGCAACAGCUGUGCAUCACAUGGAAAUGAGGUAAAAGCACAUAAAACUAAAAUUAUUCUCAAUUAAGAAAUAGUAGCAAAGCAAGAGAGCUCAAGUAGCUACAAUAGCAUUGUCAUGUAGGAAGAAAAUAUUAAAAAUGUCUGCUGAAACUUUUGAAGGUCUACAGCUCAAAGAGAAGGAUAAUACCUGAAACCCAUGGACAAAGACAACUAUUUUCAAAACACGACCACUUUGCCGGGAGCUCACACCAGAUAAUUUGUCCAUCGCUUUGGAUCCAACUUCUGAAAGUGGGCUUACUUUGUUCUUCUGAUCCGCACGGCUGAAGUAUGAAUUUCCACUGGUUGAACGUAAUGGUGCAUUUACAGUCCGCUCUACAAGCAUGAUUGGAAUCCGUGAUGGAUCUCCAAAUAUAUGCAGGUCUUGAAUGGAUCUACUAUUGAUCUACAAAGAAGCAAUGCAAGUUCAGAUGUCAAUGCAAAUGAAGAUAGACCAGCAAACCAGAAAUAUUAUAGAGUGACCCACUCUCAUUUGGGCAAUACUUCGUCUAUGAAGCUCAGCUCGCAUAGCUGCAGUUUGGGCUGGCUGCAGAAAGCACAAUGAAAAUUUUCACUGGACCCUGCCAAUGCUUUGUCACAAUAAAUGAAGAAAAAAACAACAACAAUAUUAUGUAGAACACUAACUGCAGUCCCCAGCAAAGGAGAACUAUACAAGUACUAGAAUAAAACAGUAGAAGACACAAGUAUUGAGAAAAUUACAUCCUCAGAAAUUUUCCGCAGAACAGGUGCUCUCCCAUGAAAACCAUGGUAGGACGAGUCAUCAACAGCACUACUUAUAUAUUGAUGAGGCAUCUCAACCUUAGAGUGAACCAUCCAUAUUGACCAUUCCGCUCUCCGAUCAAUAGCCCAUUGAUCUUGUAAAUGUUCAAGAAUCUUUAUUUUGUUAGCCCUGGUCAGAAGCAAAAGAAAGUCUUUGAAGUUCAUGUAUGCAGCAGCAAGCACAGAAAAAUAGUCAGUGCAUUUCAUAAAUGUAAAACACAAAAAGCUACUCACAAUGAAAAAGCAAAAGGACACAUAAACUCUCUAGUACAAAUGGUUUGUCGUUCAUUUUUCAUCCAGUUAACGUCAUUCCACCAAUAAAUGCAGAAAUCAACAGAAUACUCAGCUUUGUGUUGAGUUAGGGAUCCCUUUUUCUGUUUUUAGGUCUUGAUUCUGUAUAUUCUAAUAGGACUUGUAUAGCAUACUUGUCUGAUAGGAUGAUGGUUUAACUUCUGAUACAUCAUCAGAGAUCAAAAUAUAUCCGAGUCUCAGAACACAAACUUCAAAAUGGCUGCAUACAGAAAGUGGUCUAACAAAGAUCACACUAAGAUGGCUGAAGGGAAAGGGACUAAAAAACCGGACGUUCUUUCUCUUUUUUUUUUUUUUUGGAGGCGUAUAAUCAAAUUUUAUUAAUUUAAGCAGAAUUUUGGCCAGAUUCUUGAGGAUCCAGUAAUAUAAGAAUUCCUAUCCAUUAACCAGUAUUUAAAAGCAUCAGUAAAUCAACUCAAAGACACUGACUAAAACCCCACUCUACCAGAAGUUCCCAAUUGUUCUAUUCCGUUGAACUCCUCCCAAGAAUUAGCCAUGUUGUGCCUUCCUGUACAAUAGGAUGCACAAUAUCAAGCAUAAACAUUCCUCUUUAGAAACAAGCAUAAUUUUCUGGUAAAUGAUAAUACUUCAGUCUACAGAACUUUGUUGAUACCUCUAUUUUCACUUGGUUAGAUUUCUUACUUAUAUUUUAUUUUAAUUACCUGGGAGCAAGAAUCCUAGUAAUUGUAGAAAACAAUAUUAGGCAUUUAUAAGUAUGGCUGUUCUACUUGUUUAGUGUUUUUAUUUGACUAUUAACUUAGCAAAGACCCCUCAAUAUGUGCUAGAUCCACCCUUCGGCUUGCAUCAAUUGUUAUGCCACAGACAACCAGUAAUAUAGUUGCAUAGGAAGCAGCUUAUGUUGGUGAGCUUGAGUUGAUACACAGACAAAAUUUUGAGUUUUUAAAAACCACGGAAGCUGAGGAUAAAAAGCAUGGCCAUCAAAAAGACUUGGACAUAGUAACAUGUAGUUUUGACUGCAGUACUUAAAGUUCCCCAAUUAGCCAAACUUAAAAACAAGUUAACUGAACCAAGCUCAACAGCUUUCAGCCCCUUGAAAUUCCAUAAACUUUUCAGCCUUGCAACUUUGUGCCACAGCCUAUUUCUGGGCUCAAACUUAAAGAUCCUGCAUCAACAUCCCAAUGCAUUUUCCACUUUCCUUUUUUUCCAAAAAAUGCAUAAUAAACAUGUCUCUGCUCUUACUUGCGCUGAAAAUAUCAUUACCAAACAGGUAGAUAGUCUAUAAGAUUGUCUUUCCCAAAGUUUCAGUAAAAUGAACUUACAUGGUUGUAGAAAAGAAGCUUUAUCUUUACAGCCUAGAGAAUUGCAGAAACAUGUGAUUGAUUUAAGAAUAUAACACAAAUGACAAACCUGUGAAACUUCGAAAACGUACUCCACAAGUGAAAUGUUUGAUUCCCAAGUAAGUGAAAUGAGCGAGUAAUUCAUCAUUAGAUAACGAAUCCAGAGUUCUAAAACUUUGAGUGUCAAUGUUUCCUUUCUGAAAGACACAAGAAAAAAAAAAAGCAUUGAAUCAUCAAAUUAAACUAUCAAAGUGAACAACAAAUCGACGAGUACUUCAAAGGAACAAAUUGAGAAUGGACCUGAAAGCCAUUAUUGUAUUCGCUCGACUCUUUUCCUGAAACAACAAGAUCAGUAUUUUCCUCAUCCCUGCUUGCAAAGCAUCCCAAAAACUCGUUAUCAUCAAGCUUAGAAGUAAAAUCAGGAAUAUCAACUGUUUGAUUAAUAGCCUUGCUGAGAUUUUGUAAUUCUUCAAUGAGCAGAUCACGAGCAGUUACAAAUGCCUUAAUAAGCAAUACCUGUUUCAAGAACAUGGACAGCAAUAGAAAGAUUCUAGGUCAGAACCAGUACAAGCUGAAGGCAAUUUCAAGUAAACUUCAAUUAGGAAAACCACUUGAUCAAAAGAUUUUUUCUAUUAACUACACAUCCAAGGAGAAACAAUCUAUUUCAAAGCACAAUUAAAGAAACGUGUGUUACAGGAAUUUGAAACUCUCAGAAAUUAUCACUAGGAUAUUUCUUAUCCACCUAUCAUGCAGAGCUUGUAGAACGGGAAUUAUUAGCUUUGACAUCUCAAUAUGGUGUUACUGAAACUGAUGAUGCAGAAGCAUUUUGACUUGCUUUUCCAAACAACCAAAACAGCAUUGAGUAUUUCAAUGCUUUUCAGGUGGUAAUUUAUUUAGGUUGGGAUACCUUUUUGAAGCCAGCUUAUUCCACGAAGCAAAGGAACUCCUUAGAAUCAAAAUAUGGCAUGAGGUUGGUAGGUUCUUAAUAUCAAUCUUAUUCAACUUAUUUACUAGAAAUACUUUUCAAGAUAAAUAAAAAACUGAACAAUACCCCUCAACUGGCUUAUUAUAGCUAUUUACCACUAUGAACAAUGCCAACAAUAAGUUUCCUUUCUAUUUGCCUCCCACAAUUUUUUCACAUACUAAGUUACAUUCACAAAGCCUUCUGAACUAUCACCUUAGUUGCAGUUUACCCUCAAAAAGUAGAUAUCCACUUGACCCUGACAGAUGUUUUUAGCAAGUUUUCUAAGCAAAUUAACAGUCAAAUCCAAUUUUUUUAUUUUAUUCGAUUUAAAAUUUCCAAUGAGUCUUCUAUAUUGAGUUCAAAUAUCUUCAGUUCAGUUUUCAUAUCAAUGAAUUUUCCUUUUUAUGAGGUCAUCUUUAAUUCAGUUCUCCACAUAUCACCAAAUUUUCCUUUUUCUGAGUUCUUUCUGUGUAAACAGCCUUUAUUCAAGGUUUUUCACAGUUUUUCCUAAAAACUAUUCUGUGGCCAUAGACCAAAGCUUUAAUUUUUCAUUCCACACCAGCAUGCAUCAUUAAUCAUGUUUUAAAAGUACUUUCUAAGUUAUAAUAUCCCAUUUCUAGUUUCCUUUACAGAUAUACUAGUGACUCAAAGUAUUAUUUUGCCACGUGCAGCAAACUCACGCUAAUUCUUGAUCCAAUCAGGUUUAGUCUCCAUGCUUCAGAAAUCUGUUUUCAUACCAAAUCAGAGUUAAUAACUAGCACCUUGAUAUAACAAGUGCUCAAGCCUUGAGGGUGCUACACCAAUUACUGAAUUCUUCAAUCCCGAAUACACUUCGUUGUUAAACAAACAUUUCCAGAUAAAUGAGAACCUGUACUUAUUCCACUAGUUGCAUACACCUAGGUUGUAGUUUCAAUGCAAACCCCCCAUAAAGAUGAUACUUAAGCAACCAUAGUUUCACAGUGGCCAUUGGUAACUUAAAACCUUAGACCUAGCAGCUAGCAGAGAAACCUAGAUUUUUAAGCCCAUUAAACACAUGUUGCCCAUUGGAUAUGCAACAUAACACUCUGUCUACCAAUCUUCUGUUGCAUGUAUCAUGAAAUUUGCCUUACUGGGUUGGAGGGGCAAUUUUUCCCGAUAUUGACAACUGUAAUAGGUACGAUUCUCACUAUAGGCACAACUCGGAUGUUACUUAUUAGAGGCCUAAUACUAGCGCAAUAGGCUUGUUAAGUAGCUAUAGAAACCAGGUAUAACAUGCAUAACUCCCUUGCCUCAGUGAUCUAACUCAAGUAUCCAUGCAGAAAAAGUUGAACCUUAAGUUUUAAAAGGAAACUUUCAACGUAUGCCAGGUAGUCCUCUUAAAUCGAUGUCUUGAAUGCAAAAGACAGAGCUGGUUGAUAGGAUUAAGACCAGAUACAAAUAUAUGAGUCUAAGCAGUAGCCAAGAACAAUUCAAGCCAAAAGACAGAUGAGAAUAAAAAUCAAAUGAAAUCUGAAGUUCCAGGAACAACACAUACUUGCUUCGAGGUAUCAUUCUUUUCGCCAGCAACUUCGCGACCUAGAGAACCACUGAAAAAGGAAACAAUCAUGUUUACUUAUCUAAAUUAAUCUCUAACAUAUAGCAAUUUGUGGGAAUACAAAGCCAAAUGCACCGAAGUACCUCUAAAAAAAAGUUAAGUUUUGGCUAGAUCGUCAAAAUUGUAGGUUGUCACUACUUAUCAGGUUCAAGAAAAAGGAAUAAGCAACAAACCUGGGUACCUGCAGUGAGGAGGGCAAAAGGCCACCUUUUAGAAGGCUGAUGUGUACGGUGAUAUCAACUAGAACUGAAUGAAAGGCAUCAAAGUGAACAGGGCAAUAUGUGUGUAGCCCCAGAAGAGAUUUGGGAGGAAGACGAAAUUCAUGAACGGCAGCAGGGCAUGCAUCCAAUGAAGCUAGCAAAUUUGAGCUGCAAAUAGUACCUAAGCAUCAGUGGCUUAAAGAGAUGUCUAGUUUUUACUCACAGAAGAAUGCAAAGUAUAAUUACAACUGUCCUUAUGCAAUACAUAACUCAAAGAACAUAUCUUUUAACUAACCUGUCCUCCAACACUGGAGCAUACAUGAGCUCAAACUUCAAUAAAACAGCUGAUGUGGAUAGACCCUAGUAAUGGCAAAGUAACAGUAAGUUGCGAAUGUUUGAGAACAGAUAAAAAUAGGACACUCAAAUUCUCUGCAGGUACUACUUCGAAUCAGAAUGUGCUAAGACUUAUCUUCCUAACCAGGUGGGAGUUCAUCUCUCUUCAAAAAUUCUAAAAGUUGCCUCCUUGGUCUGAUAUGACCCAGCCAUACAUAAUUGAUUAUGUUUGCCGUGAGUCAAGGCAACACCUCAUUGCUCAUUCAUUUGCAUUGAAAGUAGUGAUCACUUCUUUCCAAAAUUUAUAAGCUUUUGUACAGCUACUAGAAAUAGACAUAACAGACAAGACGGCAGCGGACAGAGAGACUUCUACCUCAUGUUUACUGAGAGGUAACGUGAAAGCAACCAUCAUUGACAAAAAAACAUCCUGCCUGGCAUAUCUAAUUCGAAAAGGCUGAGUUGAAAAGCUAUGGUCUGUGUCAUUGAUUCUCCAUAUUCCACAUAUGUCAUCACAACCCAUAUCAGGAGCUGCAUUCAACAAAGAUACAAACUACUAAUACUCCUUUGUUGACAUAUGUUAAACCAAAGUCAUGUGUACAGAACAAGAAGGCCAAUAUCAACUUCUCCAUUUGCACAUAGCUAGGGAUCUUUCAAUUACAUAACUGGACAAUUUCAAGGGUAACUGGUCAUGCAUUGAAUAGUGUGUUGGAGUAUAGAGAGAGAAAGACAAAAACUAUAGCUCAAGACUCUACCCUCUUAUAAUAUACGAGGAUAAAAUUUGGAAAGGAUAAUUUGAGCUUUCAAUGGAACAAAAGUGAACGCAAAUGAGUUUCAUAAAAUUUCUAAACAUAAUGAAAGAAAUUUUAGAUAACAUCUUUCGUGGAAUUCCACAUUACUAACCAAAAUAUCGCUGUGAAGACAAAUUCUACACGGCCUUCAACCAAAUUAGCAAUUUAGAAAUCUUAUUAAAUUAGCAGACUCAACAAGCUAGAUACACUGAUCAUGCAAUACCACAAGUAGCGAUUUAGAAAAUCCUCAUCAUUGACCUAAACACAAAAAUGAAUCAGCUUUAGUCAAUAAAUCUGUUCAUUGGGAAAAAAAAAACCUUCAUAUUGAACAACUCUUGAUGGAGUUCCCAAUGAGCUGUACUCAUCAUCCUCCACCUCAUUGUUAUUUUGAUCUGAUACCACCUAUGUACAGUGCCAGAAAAAGAUGAAUGAGUUAAAAGUUUAAUCGAAUUAUAAAAUUUGGUUCAUACACCGUAGGAAAGAAGUUCCAGUCAAGAUAUUAUAAUACCCUUGCUGGAAUAAAUCAAGGUUGUGAAACCGGUGAAUGUAAAUGGCAAUCUCAUGGACAGCCUCCAGCAUUGGUUGUUCAGAUUCUUUAGCUUUAGGCUCCAGGGAGCUGAGGUCAAGCAAUUGUGUCUGUUUCUGUUGAGACGGGGUUAACAGAGGCAAGGGUCUCACAUCAGUAAUAUGUAGUUUCUUAGGCGCUGAUUUGUUCAGACCAGUUAUGACCCAUCUGAGACGUCGUAAUAUAGCUGACAUUUACAAUAGUUUAUUCCAAUUCCAGAAACUAGCAUCCCGCCAACUCCUCUUUCCCCAAUCAAGAUUGUAUUAUCAUUAGCUGCUGGUAAUGGGUAAAUGAGAUUAACCCUCAGAUUCGUAGUAAAUCUGAUCGAUUUGUAAAAUUCUGGUUUGAAUGAAAUAGCUAUAGCCAAAGAGGAAGAGAGUUUCACCAAGAGAUCUCUGCAUCACCAAAGGUCCACUGGUCAAGCACUUCUAGAAACAAACAAAUUAAGCUCGGAUAGUUGUAUAGAGUAUACAAAUGAAUUAAUUGACUUUACCAGAUAGACUUGCAGUGCAUUUGUUAAUUGGACAUAAGAAAAUGAAGUUCUCGCCCACUCUGUCUCUUUUGUCAAAAUAAAAACUAAAAAAGAACAAUGGUAUCACUGCCCUUUGGAGCAUAUGCCUCCUAUCUUAGACCAUCAACAACAUUCCUUUUCAUCCAAGAAGUGCCAAGAACAUGAAAUCAUAACUAAAAUUAUGUUCCUCGAAGCACAUUCGUAAUGCAGUUAAAGACUUAAAGGCCUACGAAGAAAGAGCAGCUCGUGUGAAUUCCAUCCUUUCCCUGGGAAAGCUUUCCGUAUCAAAACCUGAGAAAAUGAUGAAAAGUCUUUUUUGACUUGCAUGCUAUCAACAAAUGGGACCCCUAAGACAUAGAAAAUGCAUAUCUGUCACAUCCAAGCCACGCCUUUAUAGCACUACUCAUCUAGGUAUCUCCUGAUUGGACCCAACUAAGCUAAGUAAAGCACUAGAUCACAAUUUUUCAACACAUUCUCUACCAACUAAAAGGUGGGUCUUGGGGCACCAUAGUUUCCGCAGACUCUGUACUCCUAAAAUCUACACACAAAGGGUGUAAUGACUGCCCCACUGUCUGAAGGUCGAAGGAAUCUCUCAGGGCAAAAUCUAGUUCUUAUUUCUGCCCUUCUUCCCCAUGAUGACUAGCAACAGGCAAAUCAAAACUUUCACUUUGGAUUUCGGACUCACAGAUGGGAAUGAAUGGACUAACCCAAAAAAAAAAAAACAUAAUACCUCAAAAACCUCUGAACAGAAAAAGGGAUCGGAGAAUCAGGGUGUGGGCAAAAGAAGCUCAGCAACAAGACAGGUAAGACCUGAUUAAGCAACACAACAAAUUCUCACAGUCAAUAUGCACUGAUUUCAAACAAGAAGACCAACAAAACUAAAAUGAAGGUAAUACAGUAUACCAGGCCUUUGAAAAAAAAAAAGAAAUAAAUAAAGUAAUUGCUUAAAGAGGCAGGAAACUAAAAGCUCCAGAAUUUGACAAUUUCUUGCAUGAAUGGAAUUUGGAAAAGAUCAUCAGUUUCACUGUUUCUCUUCUAGGUUUAAUUUGGGAAAACUAAUAAUACAAAUCCACCAAAAAGAAGAAAUCGAGAACAGAAAUUAAGAAAGAGAAACACAGGGAGCUCAUUAUCAUCACGGAGCGAUUAGAGACGAAGUGCUUUUAGCAAAAAAUGCAGAAUCCGCUACUUAUGAGACAGAGACAGAGAAUACAGCACCAAGAGCUUGACUAAACCUUAAUCCCGCAUAAGCUCAUACAUAAAUCCUUUUCAUUUAUGCAAAACAGGAACAGAGUGUGAUCCAGGAAGAGAUUUGCAGAAUAGUAGAAAAUACCAGGCUUGUGUUGUGUCAGAAAAUAGAGGGCUUGGGCUUGAAAUUGUAGUCCAACAGUGGCGGCAACGUAAUCAGAAGUGGUGGUUUUAGCGGUGGCUUGCGGCGGUGACGAGGCAGAAUUAUGAUGGUAUGGGGCCGGGUUGGGUGAGGGGUGGGGGCGGGGACAAGAAAAUGGGAAUAAACACAAAAGACAGGAAGACUUUCUAUUUUUCGUCUUGGAGCACGUGCACAUGGACACCUGUUCGGCCGUGGGGAUUGGGCACAAUGAAGUGUCGGACAUACCCAGCAUGGCCCGUCCGGCCCACUAAAGUUGGAGCUCAGCCUCGUGUUAAAUGGACUUGAUUGAAUUUGGAUCUAAAGAUUGGACCUGAUUUUAAAGUGAGCCCAAUUUGGGGAUUGCAACUUUAGUUCAAAUCAUUCACAUGUAACUAGGAGUGUAAACGAGACUAAACAAGUUUAUUUGCCGAGUCGAACUCGUGCAAGAUUUUAUUUAAAGUCUAAUUUUGGGGCACUUGUUAAGACGCCAAAUUUAUACCUAACUUACCAUGUCAUUAUACGCAUUUACAAUCAUUGCACACUCUAUAUUUAAACAUUUUUCUAAUAAUUUUAAUCUUGUUAAAAUUAUAACCAGUGCUCUCGCGUUAGCAAACCUUAAUAUAUUUAUAUAUUUAUUCUUUACAAUAAUAACAUGUUUCGUAUUUGUUUGUCUAUCUAGAUCUCAGGCAUUAUGUAAGUAUGGCCAAAUAUAUUUUGAAUGAAAACAAAUAUGUUUGGUAAAAAUAACAUUUGGCUGCAAUUAUUAUUGGUAAUGUGAAAUGUAUAGUAAAGCACAAGCAAGAAAAUCCACCAAUAUCACAAUGCCAAAGCAAGAAUUGCAAUUAGGAAUUAUUUGCAAGCUGGUUCCUGAGAGUUAUUAUUACCAAUAUCAAAAGGGAAAAAAUUCAAAAGGUAUCACUAAAUUCUAAACAAAUAACCAACAACAAUCAAGACGGAAGAAAUUCGAAAAGACUGAGAAAAAAACCCUAAACACCAAUAGGCUACAAAAUCAAUUCGUAGAAAUUCAAAAUAUAAAUAGAUAUUAUGUGAAAAAAAGGUUUAUAGAACUUAGUUAGUGAAGAUUUUUGUUGGCAUUUGACUCGAGUGUUUGUAAUGUUGAAAUGUAUCAAUGAGCUCUUCUCCUUCUUUGUAUUCUUUUACUUGACAUUUUGGUUAUCCUUGUUAGGGGGUAAAUUUGAGCUAUGGAGAUUAUGAUUGAUUAUGGAAUCGGAUAUCAGCAAAUAGUUUUAGUUGGCAAAAUUGAAGAGUUCAAUAGUGCUUAUAAUGCUGAUUAAUGGUAGUUGCAAUGAUUAUAGAAUUAUAGUGGGUAGUCUCGAAGAACUGAAACCACAGCAGGAUGAAUCAACUCGGUAGAAAUGAAGGCGAAUGGAUGAAUGAAAAGACAUGAAACCACUCCUACAUGUCAAAAAGUGGAAUGAGGGUUUGGACUAGAGUUGCACCAACAACAAACGGAAUACUACUCAGCAACCAUAAAAAAACUGAUAUAAGGACCUUAGAGGAACCAGUCAAGAAACAAACUAUACUUCAAGCAAGGCAAAGUUCAUUGAAGAGAAAGCAGAACAUAGUCUAAGUAGGCAAACUAUAUCUCUUAUGACAAAUUCUAACAGCUAAGGUACCAACUUCUAAAAUAAACAAAGUUCAAAACAAUGAAGGAGAAAGAGAAAAUGAGCAAAUAUAAAAUUAAGAAAAAACAACUCGACUGAAAACCUUUAAAUCAAAACAAUGGCAAAAAUCUUGCCAAAAUUGCUAAUGAGAGUGGAGCAAGGUACUAGCAAGAUGAAAGAAAGAAACCGUAACAAACAUAAAAGGAGAGGAACAAUAAUGAAAACUAGAUGCACAUUGAUAAAAUAUGGGUAACCAGCACUUGAAAGAGAAACAAAAGACUAGGAACAAUGCAAUGCAAUGAAAAUCCAGAUAGAUGGAGAAAAAUGCUAAAGAUGGAAGGAAAUCCAACAUAUAGAAAAUAAAAGAAAAUUCAUCGAUAACUCAAUCAACAUGAAAAGGAAGGGUGAUGGGAUAUACAAAGUAAAUAUAAGAUAAAGUAAGAGAUGAAGAAAAUAAAAUGAUGGAAGUAGUGAAUGUAACAGCCCACUUUCCCUAAGGCGAACCAAAGAGGUUAGACUGCUGCCAGCUCUCGCCAGGACUACGGAUCGGUUUACAUCGAUCUAUUACGUUUCGGAGCAUACCGAAGCACGCAAACAAGUCAAAAUCGCAAAAUAAAAAAAACGAAAAAAUCAAAGCGAAGAUGAACAGUAACGGACACGUCAGAAUCCGGCCGGAAUCUGGCCGGAUUCUCGGCCGGAUACAAGGCGAGAGCAAUCCAAAUUUUUCCAAAAUCCUUCCAAUCGGCCGGCAAUCCGGCCAGUUUCUUGCCGGAUUCCUGGCCGGAUUUCGGUCCCGUUCAUUCCCGCCAAAUUUUUUCCUUCUCCGUUUGAAAUUCUAGAUCCGAAAUCCAUCCAAUCAUCAACCAAACAUAUAUAUACAUUGAAAUUCAACUUUUACAACCAUAGUGUCAUGCCAAAACCAUCUAUCAUGAAUAUACAUACUCGGUUUGCCAAUCAACGAAAAUGAACCCAAUACACAAUAGAGUUUCAUUCGAUAAGCUAAACAAAAGCCAUUUACACUAGCUCACUUGGCAAUCGACUAUCCAAAUCAGUCCCAAAAGUAAUUAUAUCCUGUAAGGAAAACAAUGGAAGGGAUGAGCUAAAGCCCAGUGAGUUACUACACAUAAGCAACUAAGAGCAUAUAGCAUAACCUUUCAUUUCAAGUAGCAAUUAAGGAAUGAAACACAUCGAUAAAAGAUACGGACGGCUCUCAAGGCCAUUUCCACGCUUCCAUUCUUGAUCCAACCUCAUUGACCCUCCGUCAAUGUUGAAGUAACCAACCGUAGACUCUCUUCUCUCCCAUUCCUUCCACCAAACAUCGCCCUUACGGGCCCGCACUCCAAACACUUGCACUGUGGUAUUACUCGAGUAUACGGAAUCAAGAGUCUCUCAUACUAUAAGAUUCCUUAUAACUUUACCCAAGGCUCAUUAAUUGUCACGACCAACCUUGUCGGCUCGAUUCAAUCAACUACCAAUGGGGUUGAGUCAAUGAUAACAUUUGUAGUCGUUGGAUACUUGUCCAAUCGAUACUAAGUCAUGUAUUUCAUUUCAUAUAACAGUCCAUAUAACAGUCCAUAUAACUUUCCAAUAACAUAUGAAACAAUAAGUGAGAGUGAUAAAGUACACUUCACAUCAAUCCAUUAACAUACAACAUCUCGAGUUCAAAUAUCAAAAGCAUAUAAUAGCACACAAGUGAGUAGUACUCACCAAUCAAUUAAGUGCUAUUUCAUGCACUUCGUCAGGAGAUGUCGUGAACCACCGUCACGCCUAGUAGAACACGUAAAAAAUGCAAUGAGACUCGAUAGCGAGUCACAAACAAUGCCAAUCACAACCCCAAUAGGGUUUUGCAAACAUAUAUAAACAUCAUAGGAAACCAGAAAUUAGGAAAAGGCUUUAACUUAGCCUUGAUAAGAAACCGGUUUUGACGUCAUAAUGCGGUAAUGACACAACUCUCACUACAAUUAUCGGAUGGGGCUGUAAGACCACCGUUUCGAGCUAUGGAACAGGGCUACAAUAAUGUAGAAGACACUCAAUCCAGUUCCUAGCUUAACUAGGUCGAAAAUGCCAACUAACCAGAAUUCUAAACAGGUUCACAAAACACAAAAACUGUAAUCGGUAUAUCUCAGUCCAUACAAGUCAAAUGCCGAAAUUCCAAAGGAAUAAGUUAGCUAAGUCAUCCACUAACAUUUAUCAGAAGACACCAAUUCAAAAUCCAAACCAAUUCCAGUCAAAAUGGCCAAUUACUAUCGCAGUUUUUCGCAUUCUGAUCAAAGCAGAACAGCUACAGUAAACGCAUAACUCACUCUACACUCAUCAAAUGACUGAAAUUUUGUAGGCAUCCAAUCACAUCAUACUACAACUUUCAUGUUUUGAGCAAAGUCAAAUUCGGCCUCUAACCCUAUGAUCCAAAACCGGACAGAAUUGGGGAUUUAAGAACCCUAACUUUUCAAAUUUCACACCAAAUCCAAAAUUGAUUGCAUUUCACCACAAUUCACACUCACUAGAGUCAUUUCCAACCAUUACAAUUCAUCAUACAAGCCCCCAACAUCAAGAUCAUAUUAAACCAGAAAAAUUCCCAAUAAAAUAAAAACUCCACCAAAACUCUUCAAAUCAAGAAACAAAUCAUAUAUUUCAACACUCAUGCCACAUUAAGCACAAAAUAACCAUCAUUAGGUGUAGCAGAAAGGUUGAAGCAUCACUCACCUAACAACAAGAGAGAGGAAGAUGAUGGACACCUUAGCUCUUCCAAACAAAUCCACAAAACAACUCACAACCACCACUUGAAGAUGUUUUAUGGAGCAAAUCAAGGUUGGAUGGUUGGUUUGAUGAUUUGGAAAAGAUUGAAGUGUUUCUUCUUUGUACUUGGAGCAAGAGAGAGAGAAAGAGAGAGAGGAGAGAGCCGGCCAUAUGAGGAGAAAAAAUGGUGAUUUUUGGUGAAUUUUGGAUAUUUAAUCCUUUGGUCAAAAAAGUCAAAAUUGUGAAUAGUGUUUCUUAAAAAGUUCAACCAAUGAAAAGGUGACAUGUGUCACUCUAUUAAAUGCAUCCUUAUCAUUCUUUUCUCUCUCACAUCAAUCACUUCACACACCCUACUUAUCUCUUAAUACCCGAUAAACUUUUAACAGUAUCCGAAACUUAACCUUAUUGGCCGAAUUUUUCCGAACUUAUCGCACUAGUGGGUCCCACAUCCAAUAUAUAUUCUUAAUUUUCUAAAAAUUCACCAAUGCUAGAAAAAUCAUCUUAAAACUAUAAUUGCUCAUAAAAUUCCAUUAAGAAAAUAUUUUUAAGCCAGAAAAUGCAGAAAAUAUGCUAUUAAGGGGAAAUAAACCCUAGGAAUAUAAUUAGGGUUUUACGGGUUCUCACAGUGAAGCACAAAAAUAGAAAGCUAAGAACAACGAAAGAGGACGAGAGAGGAAUAAGUUAGUUACAAGUGGUGGGAACCAACCUAAAGAAUAUUUCACAUCCCAAUGAGAGUCCUAGAAUGGAAUUGUUAAGGUAUCUCUUAACAAUUCCCCAACUUAAUGAAGUGCAUUCACUUCAUUACUCAAAUUGAAAUUUCUUAUAUGAAACAAGUAAGCAAAAAUAAAUAUAAUAUGGGGAUAACUAGAUCCUCAAAUGAGAAGAAUUAAGAUGGAAGAGAAAAAAAAAAGAGUGGACUGUUAGAGACUUUAUAGAGUAUAUUAACUCAAACAACCUGAUAGACAAGCAUAUGAUGAUAGACUUACAAGUUUAAUGGAAUUACAAGUUUCACUUUUUGGCAAAAGAAUAGUGAAAGAUGUUACAGUUCAACAGGAUUUGGCAAAAGCGUUAAAUGGUAAGAACAAGAAGCCAAAGAGAAUGAAGGAUACUGAGUCUGAAGAGUUGGACGAAAGGUAUGCGAGCACAAUUCGACUCUAUGUUCCGGACAACAUCAUAAACAAUGUAAUAGACGAGGAAGAUUCUACGGAUAAUUGCAGAAACCUCCCCUGACUUUUAUAGUAAUAGCAUUGACCUCCCCUAUCAAUUUUGAAAUAGCACUGACCUCUCCUAUCAAAAGUUGGAGGCAAUUUAAUGGGCAAAAGUGGGUCAAUUUACUAAAGUACCCCUGAUAUGAUUUAAUUUUACCAAAUGAAUGUGAUGAGUACUUUCAUCAAACCCAACAAAACAUUUGUUAAUAAAAAUUACACUAAAUUAACUAUUUUUGCAUAGUUUAACUAAUUAACUAAAUAACUAAUAAUCUAAUUAAUUAAUAACUAAUUAUCUAAUUAACUAUUAACUGAUUAUCUAAUUGUUAAUAGUUAUUAACUAAUCAAACUAUUUCUAUAUAGUUAAACUAAUUAAAUAUUAACUAAUUAUCUAAUUAACUAUUAACUAAUUAACUAAUUAUCUAAGUAACUAAAGCUGUUGUCUGUCCGAAACUAACAAACUAUUUGUAUGUUAAAUUAAUUAACUAAUUAAUUGCUUAACUAAUUAACUACCUAAUUAUCUAAUUAAUUAAUUAACUAAUUAACUAAUUUUUGUUUAUCUAAUUAACUAAUUAUCUAAUUAACUAAAGUUGUUGUCUAUCCAAAACUAACAAACUAUUUGCAUGUUAAACUAAUUAAUUGCUUAACUAAUUAACUAAUUAAUUAAAACUAUUGUCUAUUCGAAACAAACAAACUAUUUGCAUGUUAAACUACUUAACUAAUUAACUGCUUAACUAAUUAACUAACUAAUUAUCUAAUUAAUUAAUUAACUAAUUAACUAAUUUCUAUUUAUCUAAUUAACUAAUUAACUAAAGCUAUUGUCUAUCCGAAACUAACAAACUAUUUGCAUGUUAAACUAAUUACUAAUUAACUAACUAACUAAUUAAAAACUAUUUGCAUGUUAAACUAUAUGCAGUACGCAUUAUCUAUUUAAAGUAUCGGUUCUUUAUGGGUAUUUUACUUUCAAACAUUUAAUUUAUGAUAAAAAACAUCAAUGUUUGUAAGUAAAAUUCAAAAAGUGUUACAGUAAUAUCAAUAUUCUUACUUUAGAUAAUUAGUUAAUUAGUUAAUUAAUUAAUUAGAUAAUUAGGAAGUUAAUUAGUUAAGCAGUUAAUUAGUUAAUUAGUUUAACAUGCAAAUAGUUUGUUAGUUUUGGAUUAGGGCUGCAAAUGAGUCGAGUCGAGUCGAGUUUUGAGCUAAUCGAGCCGAAUCUCGACUAAAUUUUACCAAGCUCGAGCUCGACGAGCCGGCAAUUUUCAAGCUCAAGCUUGACUCGAAUCAAGUCGAGCCUAGCUCGAGCUCGAAAAAAAUAAAAAAUAAUUAUUUUAUUUUUAAAAAAUAAAUAAAAUAAUAUUUUUUUCUUAAUAAAUAAUAAAAUAUUAAGGAUAUAUACGUAAUUUUACUAUGAAAAUAAAAAAUAAAAAUAUAUAUAAUAUACAUAAUUUUAUUAUUAAAUAAAAAUAAAAAAAAAAUAUAUAUAUAUACUCAAACUCGCGAGCUAACGAGCUUAAUAUUUUGAACUCGAUUAAUAUCGAGUUCGACUCAAACUUGACUCGAGUCGCUCGCGAGCGGUUUGAUUCGUUUGCAGCCCUAUUUUGGACAGACAACAAUUUUAGUUAAUUAGUUAAUUAGACAAUUAGUUAAUUAGAUAAAUAGAAAUUAGUUAAUUAGGUAAUGCAUACUACAUAUAGUUUAACAUGCAAAGAGUUUGUUAAUUAGUUGGUUAGUUAAUUAGUUAAGCAGUUAAUUAGUUUAACAUGCAAAUAAUUUUUUAGUUUCGGACAGACAACAGCUUUAGUUAAUUAGUUAAUUAAAUAAUUAGUCAAUUGAUUAAUUAGAUAAUUAGUUAAUUAAUUAAUUAGUUAAUUGUUAAUUAGAUAAUUAGUUAAUAGUUAAUUAGUUUAACUAUUAACUAAUUAGAUAAUUAGUUAAGCAAUUGUCAUGCAAAUAAUUGUCAAGCAAGUAAGGGCAAUAUUGGAAGAAAAUUCUUAUCUCACUUCUACAAAAGCUGUCAAGGAGGUCUCUGCAACAAAUUGUUACUGUUCAGGGGAGGUGAAUGCAAUUUCUAAACCUAGAGGGGAGGUCAGUGCAAAUGUCAGAAAUCUCAGGGGAGGUUUCUGUAAUUAUCCCAAGAUUCUGCAGCAGACCUUUGAAAAAAAUUGAAAAAGCUUUAUCUAAACAAAAGUUUAUCGAAUAAAUUGCAUUUGAAGCAGCAACUUUAUAGGUUAAAGAUGGAGGAGGAUGGUAGCCUCAUGUAUCACAUGAAUAUGUUCAAAGAAAUUUUGGAUCAAUUCCAAAAAUUGGCAUAGAAAUUGAGGAAGAAAAUAAGACUCUUUUACUUCUUAUCUCAGCAUUUGAUUCUUACAAAUGUGUUGUGAUGACCCUAUUGUACGGGAAGAACACUUUAGAGUUCAAGAAUGUGCAGUCAUCUUUGUUGGAUCAUAAAACAAAAGAAGACAAAUCAGGAUGUGACACAAAAAACUACAUUAAUUGUUUGAGAUAAGAAUAAAAAUGAAAAAUUUGGUGAUAAAUCUAAGGUAAAUGAUUCAAAAGUCAAAAGAAAGGAUGGAAUCUAGUGUUUUGAUUGUCAUAAGUUUGGUCAUAUCAAAAAAUAUUGUCCUCAUCGAAAGAAAAAUGAUGAGAAGGAGCAUGAUGAUAGUGAUAAAUAUGUAUCAAAUGAAAAUAUUCCCACAAUCUCUAAAAGUAAUAAUAUUUUUUCCCGUGAUGGUUGGAUUUUAUAUUAUGGAUGUGUUUCACAUGUUUGCUUCACAUUAGAUUAUUUUGAUACUUUCCAAAGAAAGAAGUCAGGUUUUGUAUUUUUCGGUGAUGGAUCUACUUGUGCUUUGGAGUAAUGAAAAUCAAAAUGCUAAAUGGAGAUAUUCAUUCUUUGGGUAGUGUGUCUUAUGUGCUAAAGUUAUGAAGGAAUAUAAUUUUUUUAAGUCAGUUAGACUCGAGAGUUAUCACUUUUCGAUUGCAAGUGGAGUUUUGAAAAAUCACAUAUGGCAAGACUAUCUUGUUGAUGAGAAAAAAUAUGGUAAUUUGUACCAUUUGAUUACUUUAAUAGGUUGGGAGCGUAAUGCAAAAAAGGGGAUCCAAUAAUAUUUCCAAAUUGCAAAUACCCGUGAGAAGAAAAAUCCUAGUAUUGGAGAGGGUGAAUUAGGCCCCUCUUGUGAAUCAACUGAAUGUUGGACUCGAUUAGUUACAUACGUUUAUCUGCUGACUGAAUCAAUUGAAAAUAAGACCAUAUUAAUAUGAGCGUGUAGUUAAGCACUAAGGCUCCGUUUGGAUUAGUCUAUUUUUCAAAAUCUAGUUUUUCAAAUAUAAUGGCUGCGUUUGGAUUCCUUGUUUUUUGAGGUAUUUUUCAAAUACUUCACUGAAGCAAUUUUUGAAAAACUACUAUUGUCGUUUGGAUUGUCAUUGAUUUUUGAAAAACUCGCAUUUUUUCAAAACAAAUGCGUUUGGAUUGAACAGUUUUUGAAAAAUACCUACACAAUAAUUCUUAGUACGGUCCAAAUGUGCAAUUGGCCAAUAACUUCAGGUCAUUGCAAAUGUGCCACAGCUUAAAAAUGUCAUAUCCGCAAUUGCAAAAAAUUAGUAGCACACUAUGACCGUAACCCUUGUCAACGCUGUGCAAUAUCGUAACUGGUUAAUGAUUUUUUUGUACACUAGCAUUCACAAACACAUAAACUAAAUCGAUGAACUGAAUAUACAAGGGGGUAGAGCAAAGUACUAGUCAGCAAAUAUAAUAUAAAGGUGCAAACCCGUAGUCGACAUAAUACAUUAACUGUUCCCAAAUUCAAAUUAUUUGUUAAAUCACAACAGGUGAACCAAAUAUAAAGUAAGAAACUGUUGCCAUUUUGGACCUAUCGGUCCAAGGCCAUGCACUGGAGUCUAGUUAUGCGCAUUCCAAUACAUGUGCGCCGCUAUUGUCCACUGAUUUUAGUUCCAGUUAUGUAUGUCCUGCUGCGACAUAUCGAUGGAUUGACCUAUUUGCACUUGCUCCCCUACUAUUUGUGCAUCUGCAAAAGCUCCAUUUGCAGCUUCUUCGUUGAAAUACUCGUUAUUUGGUACAUAAUCGUGCAUAAAUUGUGCAAAGCAUUGCUAUCAGGUACAAGCGAGAUCACGCAUAAAUGACGAAGAAGUUUCUUGGCCUAACGAGAUCAUGACCUAACCGAACCAAAGCCUUGGACAAUACGUGAGCAAUGCAUUGUUCAUGAGUAUCAUCGAGAUCACGACCUAGUCGAACCAAGAAACUUCGUUAACGGCAUGAGCAAUGCAUUGUUCAAAAUCCUUGAUCAAAAAUGAAACCUAAUAGUUCGACCGCCAUAAAAAUGUUGUCGAGAUCAAUAUCAUUCAGUUCGUCAUCCAGUUGUCCUCCUUGAACGUGCCCUUAGUUAUCCAUCUUCAGUCAACUACUCUGAACUCUGCAAAUACCCAAGCGAUCAAAGAACAUUAAGGACCAGAAUAGGUAAACACUAACUAAAGAAAAACAAAAUGCAUUUUAGACAAAAUUAACAUAGAUAGUUAACAAAUUUGUCUCUAAAGUACAAGUUUAUCAGCCGAGAAAUGAGGAAAGUGCAAGCAAUAGAGAAAAGAAACACCUCUCGAAAAAAAAUAACAAGUUUAUCAUGGCUCAAUUACGCAUAUCAUAAACUGCAGUAAAGUACUUAAAUGGGGAGGACAUUAAUGAUACGUAUGCAACACAACCCCUAUUAGCCAGUAAAAAUAGGACAAGUGCCGAAGUAGUACGGCAAAAGGAAUUUAAUUUGGCGAACUGGGGCGGUAGCAAUAGCAUACAACUAAAAAUUCAAAAUAUCCGCUGUCAAAACAAAAUUGAUCGCUUCCCUAUCAAUACAAUUACAUUUAAAGGCAACUCCACAAAAAAUAAUAACCAUGGGACACAUCCCUAAUUCAAAUCCGGAGUAAAUAAGUUCAUCCAAUAUUCAUAAACAUACACAAUAAAAUCUCAAGAAAUAUCCUCAAUAAAAAAAAUGCUGGUCCAGGGUGACAGUGGAAAAAUCACUGUACACAGCCUUUAGUCAACUCAUACUACAUAAUCCAAACCAACAGCUGAAAUUUUAACUCAGGGGGAAAAAAAUUGUAGCAGGCUGCGACAAUCGCAAUUCGGGAUACAACGAGGUGCUAUGGGGGGAACGAACCCCCGAUGUCUCACAAAGGCAAGUCGGUCAUCGUCGUUCAGGCAGGUAAACCAAAUGAGACGCUCUGCUGGAUUCUGCAGGAGAUCGGCCAUCUUCAGACGCACAUUUAUAUCCAGGUGAAGAGCGCAGAGGUCGGCUAAGGCAGCCUUUAGGUUCUCCUCAUCAUCUACUGGGGGUUUUUUACUCUUAGCGGGUGAAGAGACUUAACUGGUCAUGCCAAAGCUCUUCUUACAGCUCAAAUGUGUCUCAAUACUGUCUAAAAUUCGGACGUAUUUCUGCAAUUGAGGAGAUGACGGCGAAAAGAAUGACUCAAUUGACAUGUCCCCCGACUUGCUCUUUCCUUUACCCUUCUUCACCUUCUUUUUCCAUUUCUUAGUCACAUGAACGGCAUCUUCUUCGUCUGCUGAAUCGAUGUCCACAACCCUCUUACACCUAGAACGUCUAGCAACGUUUUCCAUUUCUAAUUUGUCGGCCGAAUUGGGGGCAAUACUCCAAAUCCAGAGCUAAAAUCGCCCGUAGCCCCCUGAUUCAUGAAAACUUUUUCAAGCAAAUGGAAGACCAGACAUGUGCGAUCGUAAAAUCUAUUGUACCCCUGGUUCACCUACAGAAGACCAAAAUAGCUUUUAAAAAUAAGGGAAAUAAUUAAAUAAGGGCAAAACAGUUUUUAGAACUAAACAGCUUUUACAAAUAAAUAAGGGCAAAAUAGCGUUACAGUAUUUACAAUUAAUAAGGGCAAAACUGUAUUUACAAUAAAUAAACAACUUUUACAAAAAGAUUAAAUUAAACAGAAAAAAAAGUAUCGGACCUGAAGUAGAUGAUUCCAGCGCUCAUCGUCCAUCAUGAAGGUGUAGUUGGUUGAGUCUCAACCCAUACCAGUGCCACGCUUCUUGAACAAAAUGUAAAGCCUAGUUAGGUUCUGAAGGGUACAAUACUUCGACCAAAUAGUGCCGCUGGGAAAAACUACUCCGAAAGUCUCAGUGAGCAUCCUAGUAAUUUGGGGAAUAACAUGGCUCCCGAUGGUAUAUGAUAAUAUUUUUCUAUUCCUAUGCAUGUUCACAAGCUGUUGUGCAAUAGUAAUUUCCAUAUCCGGCGUGAAAGUGUUUCGUUCCUUAUACGUUGCUUUUGGUUUAGGCAUCUUUGUUUUCUUAAGGAAUGUCAAAACCCAAAAAAACAGUUUAGGGUGACCUCACAUGGGAAAUUAGACACAUUCUAAGGGAAUAUUGGUACACGUGUAAGACAAUUUGAGCCUAGUCAAUUAUAACUCACCUUGAAGUAGUUAGUUAUACAAAGAUGCAAAUCGUUUUCUCCCUGAGCUGACUUCGAAGAACAAUUGUUAAAUCCCUAGUCGUUUGCAAAGCUAUGAAUAAGCAUGUUAAAAAUACGACUCUUACAGUUCUUAAGGAUAAAAAACUGAACAGAAUUCAUGAACCACAAUAGUUGCUCUUUACCUUUCGAAGCACUUUGAGUCACAAGGGGCAUCACAAUCCUAAAAAUAUGUACAAGGUACCACUAAAAUGCUAUUAGCAAGUCAAACGCAUAAAAUGUUAAAAAAUAUCAUCCAUUUUUAUGUACCAAGCAAAUAAAACAGUUCCAGCCAAGAAAUCAAAGUUCAUGUCAGGUUAUAAUAUGCGGGGAAACACUGUCACAGAUCCAAAACAACUUCACAUAAGAACUAGAGCAAAGUUUCAACCAUAUACAACUUAUCUUGCAUUCAAAACGAAACAAUUGCAGCUAAAAUAUCCUCAAUUUUCAACCGCAGGGUAGGACUAAUUAAAAUUUCAUGAGCCCACCCGAUAAAACUUCACUAAUUAAGAAAGGCAUUGGCUCAAGUACAACAACGACAGCAGAAGAUAAUAGGUACUCCAAUAGCAAGAACCAAAUAAAAAAAUCCAGUUUCGAGUCGCAGGGACAAAUAUUUCAAUAAUCCAAUUGCAAUAACCCAAGAAAAAUAGCAGUGGUGCUUAAUGUGUACAACCAAUUGAUCAAAUUUCUUAUCCAAAAUAAAAGUGUAGGAACAACACCCCAAUUAACAGAUAAUUGGCAUUAAUAUACGUAUCAAUUUAAGCUUACAACAAUAGGAAUUUAUCAACUAUCUAAUACACAAAAUAACAUUGAUAUUCACCCAGUUAACAGGGGUAGACAUAUACCAUGAGCUUCUAAAAAAAAUCUCCUAUGCACGCCAAACAAGCAAAAGCAGCAAAGCUAAUUAUUUGCCAAUAUGGUGGUAUGUGUACCCUGUGUCCAAACUACUAAUUGGGCCCAUGCUCAUCACAUAUGCGGGGAAGAGAACAAAAGCAAAUAAAUGGUGAAGUUGCCAGUGUGAAUUGCAAAAAUUGAGGUGCCAAACCAGAACUUAAGAAAAUCAAAAGUGCCCUCACCACAGAAUUUCAAGUUUAAAUGAAGAAGCAUGAAUGCUAUCUACAGCUCUAAAAUGUAAUUCCCAAUAUGUCAUACGACCAUUUCAAAAUCGAUCCUCUGUCUCUACCAUAUACUAUCAGCACAAUAAUUUUCAGAGGCUUUGAUAAUACAUUAAGAACUUCUUCAAAUUACUGUAACCCUAAUUCAUACGAAUUAGGCCCCAAUUAAGUGAACAAUACAACGAACCUCAACGACGCAACAGCUGAGCAGCGGUGGAACAACUCUCCUUCGCUGAGCAAGUAGACGCGCGGUCGAAAUGGCACUUCCAAGCUGACUAUGCUUCCCCAAGUUCUGAUAGUGGCUCCUGCCGCUUCUCUUUGGUGGUCCCAAGCGGAUACUCAGCUCAUUCUUCACAGUUUUGCAAAGCCGAAGAUAAGUUGCAAAUGCUUUUGGAGAAGCUAAGAUUGAACUUGUUCUAGACGCACGCCACCGAACAUCCAAGGAUUAGAAAUACAUGAGCUGAAAUGACCGGUGAUUUGUAGAGCUUUCUUGAACCUCAGUUGUUGCUGCUUAGGAGAGGAAAGUGAAGAGGGAUACGUUUUAGGUGAGGAAAUUGAAGGAACGGGAAGUACAAGAAAGCUUUGUGAAAAACUUGUUUUCCAUUUUGGGCUGCUAAACAGUACCGUAUAGAAGGAGCGAGACUGUAGCAUUUUAAAUACAUCCAGUUGACUAUAAUUUGUAUUUUGACUACAAAAACAGUGGAUCCAAACACAACAAAUUUUAAAAAUAUUUUACAAUAUAUCAUAUAUAAAAAAAUAAAAGCAUCUCAUUCAAAAAUAUAUCAAAAAUAACUCACAAAUAUACAACAAAUUUUAAAAAAAAUUUACAACAUUUUCUAUCUAUCACCACCACCACUACCCCUACCCAUCACUGCUACCACCCUUUUUCUUUUUCCCCUCUUCCUUCUCUCUCUCCUUCCUUCCCUUCCCUUCUUCUCCCUUCAAUCUAGCUUCAACUAGAUCGUGAUAAGAAGGUCGUGAACUAGUCGAAGCCAGAUCGAGGAAGAGUGAAGGCUGGCGAGAAAGAGAAGGGGAGAAGAAAGAGGAAAGAAGAGGAGAAGGAAAAGAGGGGAGGAGAAGAAGAAACAGGAAGAGAGAAAGGGAGAAUAAAGGAAGAGGAAAUGGAUGGUGGUAGUGGUGGGCGGUGGUUGUGGGUAGCAGUGUUAAUUUUUAAAAUGUAUUCUAAAAUUUUUUUAAAUUUUAAAAGUAUUCCAAAAUAUAUUCUAAAAACCCUCCCUACACAUCACACAAAAUAUUUACAGUAAAAGGUUUUCAUCAGGGACGGAGCCAGAAAUUUAUUUUGGGGGGGCUGAAGUGUAUUAAAAAUUUUUUUUUGUGACGAAAUAAAUAUAUUUAAUAAGUAAAAUUUAGAAUCAAUAAUUAUAAAAAUAAUAAAAACAUAUAAUUAUACAUACCCAAAAAUUUGUUAUUGAUUAACACUUGAAGUAUUGGUAGUUGUUGCACUCGAAUAACGAAGAGGAGGCAAUUGCAUUCUGCGAGUCUUCAACGUUGCAAUAUUUGCUCAUUUUCAAUUGUUGCAAAAAUAUCCUUCUCGAUGUAUACAACCAGACAGUCAUUCAUCCACUCGUCUCCCAUUUUGUUGCGCAAAUCAGUCUUGACAAUAUUCAUUGCAGAAAAUACUCUUUCAACAGAAGCAGUCGCAACUGGUAGAACUAAUGCCAACUGGAUCAGACGAUAAACCAAUGGAAAAACUGUAUUUUUACCAGUUUUAACCAUUUGUUGAGCAAGACUUCCCAAAUCUCCAACUUCUGAAAAUUGAGGAUCGCGUUGCACAUUAUAAAUAUAAUUUCGAAGUUGAGACUCAAGAUAUAAAUAAUCGUUACUUGAGAAGUCUUCAGGAUAUAAAUCAGCAAGACGGAGUAGUUUCUGCACAUUGAAUUGAGAAAAGAACUUUUUGGAUCAAGACAUGCUAUGCAACUAAGCAAUUCCGUGCUAACUUCCGAGAAACGAUUAUUCAUCUCUUGUAUAAUUAAAUCAACAACCUGACAUCACAACAAUAAUAAAAUUAAUAACUAAGAAAAUCUGCUAACAAGUAACAAAUGUAAUGAAAUAAUAAUUUCAAAAAUAAUACCUCACAAAAAAUUUCCACGCGAUAAUGAUGAAAAUUAGUGAUGGUUUGACCUCUGCGACUGCGCCUGGCAUUGCCACGGAUUGCUAUACUGUCUUCCAUAUCAAUCACGGGAAUCAUAUUCAACUCACAAAAAUUGUUGACUUCAUCUAAAAUUAUUUGCCAUCCCUCUUCCCUAAAGUCUUGCAAUUGAGAUUUCAUAGUAUCAAUCAAACUCAUGGCUUGGACAAUAUUUUGAUCCCUUUGUUGCAAAACAAGUGACAAGUCAUUUGUGAUUCCCAAUAAAUACUUCAUCAGGUGCAAUGCAAAAACAAACUCAUAAUCAUUCAUUCUAUCAAUCAAACCCCUGGCCAUACCUCUAUUGUCAGAAGUGGUGGCAUCAUCUUGUAUAUUUCCCAAUAUUCCAAUCACCGAAGCCCACAUAGAGGAUAGACGAAGUAAUGUUAGAUAGUGUGAUCCCCAACGAGUAUCCCCUGGUCUUGCUAAACUAGUUUCUUGAUUUUUGCCUUUUCCACUAAUAAUAUCUCCACUGUCUAAAAGUGUAACAAUCUUAUCAUGUUCUAUUUGUCUUAAUUGAUCUCUCCUUUUACAUGAUACUCCAGUUAAAUUGACAAUCAUAGAGACAUAGACAAAGAAUUCACUGACAAUGAUAUUUCCCUUAGCAACAGCAACAAUAACUAACUGGAGUUGGUGAGCAAAACAGUGAAUAUACAUCGCAUAGGGAUUUUCUUGUAAUAUAAGGGCCUUCAAACCAUUGAACUCACCUCGCAUAUUUGAAGCUCCAUCAUAUCCUUGACCUCUCAAUUUGGAUAAUGAUAAUCCGUGUUGCGCGAAUAAAGAAUCAAUUGCAUCUUUCAAACAAAGAGAUGUGGUGUCAGACACAUGUACAAUUGCAAGGAAACGUUCAAUCACACGCCCUUCUUUGUUCACAUAUCUCAAAACAACUCCCAUUUGCUCUUUCACUGAACUGUCUCGAGACUCAUCAACUAUUAGGGAAAAAUAAUUGUCUCCAAUAUCAUUGAUUAUAACACUUGUGAUCUCUGAGGCACAAGCAUGUGCCAGAUCUUUUUGAAUCAUUGGAGAAGUUAGUUGAUUAUUUGCAGGAGCAUUUUGAUUUACAACCUCAAAAAUCUCAGUAUUUCGCUGGCUAUACCACUCAAACAAUUCAAGAAAAUUGCCUCUAUUUGAAGAACUAGUUGACUCAUCAUUUCCACGAAAAGCCAAUCCUUGCUUCAAAAGAAAGCGGGUCACAUCCAGAGCAGCAGUUAAACGGGUGCGAUAUGCAAUAUCUAUUUCGCGCCCACAAGAUCGUAGCACAUUUGACACACUAUGCCUUUGAUCUUGAAAACUUUCAAACUGUAUUCUAGCAUCAUUAUGGCAACUAUUCACAGCUCCAAUAUGUUCAUUAAAUCUUUCCAUUGCCUUUUUCCAAUUAUUGAAUCCCGUUUUUGUAAAGGCAUCCUCUGCAUAUCGACCUCCCUUAUUUUGUGUUUUGAAAAGAAAGCACCAAAAGCAAAACGCCGCAUCUUUCGAUAUGCUAUACUCUAACCAUACAAACUUUUGAUACCAACUAUCUUGGAAACUUCUAUGUUGUUUACCAAAUGAUGUUUUUGGAUACAUAUGGCCAAUCGGUUGGCAAGGUCCCCUAGUCAAAUACUCUCUUCGGACAUGGUCUCGAAGAGAAAUAUCAAAUUUCUCAACUGAUUUUCGUAAUCCCGGAUCACUAACAAUAUCAUUUAAAUUCAAUUCCACACAAGAUUGAUUUUGAACUGGUUCACUAAUAUUAGGCUCAUUUGAAGAUUCACCACUACGGACUCGUUUAGGUUUAAAGAAUCUCUCCAUUUUCUGUCACAAUUAAAUAAUUGUGGUUAAAUUCAAUAAAAUUAUGCAAUUCAAUAAUCAAUUAAUUUAAAAUUCAUAUAAAUAAUUCUUUAAUUUAAUAAUAAAUUCAUAUUACUUAUAUUUCUCAAUUUAUAAAAUUCAUUAUAUAAAAUUAUCAAAAAGUUAAAAUAAGGUACAACUAAAUACCCAUAUAAUCUCUAAUUCAAUCUCAUAAAAUUUUGAAUUUAUAUUUACAUUCAAAAUUUCUAAUUCACAUAAUUAAUUCUUAAAAUUUCAAAUAUAAAACUAACAAAAUUUUAAAAACUAAAUACAACCUAAAAUCUAUACAAUUUCUAAACUAAUUUCUAAUUUAAAUUUAAUAUCAUUAAAUUUUUUAAUGUAAUCUUUCAAAUUCUUAAAUUACAUUAACAUAAACUAAAUAAAAAUUAAUCUUAAUCAAAUUAAUAUCAAGAUACUCAAAAUUCAAAAAUAAUUUAAACAUAUAAUUAACAAAAAUAUAAAGAUGAAUAUUGUAAUUUAAACCAAAAAACUAACCUAAAAGAUUUAUGUGAAUGGAAUGGUGGAGAGUUGGAGUCUUGGAGCCUUGAAUUGAAGGCUUGAAGCAGGAUGGUAGAAUCUCAACUGAAGCUUCUUGGAGUUCUUGGAGCCUGGCGUCUUCUUCUUGGAGUUGGAGUCUUGUUUGCCCUUUGGCACUGGCGGCGUAUUUUUUUUCCCCUCAUUAUACAAAACGAUGUCGUUCCACUAAAAGUGAAACGACGUCGUUUUGUAUUUAGAGGGCAAAAAAAAAAAAAUUCAAAAUGAAAUGGGUCAUCUUCUUCCUCAGCAGUCAGCACGGCAGCGGCUUUCCAGCUCUUCUUCACUUCCUCUGCAGCAUUCAUGGAGCCAUGGAGGAUGGUAGAUCUGGAUCACCGGGGGGCUGGGCUGGGCUGGGCUGGCCGCCGGAAUCCCCUAUAUAUAGGGGGUUUUCCGGCGGCUUGGGGGGGGGCUUAAGCCCCCACCAGCCCCCUUAAAUCCGUGGCUGGUUUUCAUAUACACUGUUAUAGUAAAAAAUUUCAAAAGCACCCCCAAAAAUAGGUAAAUUUUGAAACAAUCUAGUUACUUUUCAUCUAAUCACAACACGCUCAACAUAGCAAAUUAGUCUUAAUUCGUCAAUUGCAAGAACAAGGCAUAGCCAUUAGGUUAGCUUUGAUCAAAGCAAGGGAGCUACAUGACUCAUUAAGCGCUCAUUUAGUUGUAUAUUUAUUCCUUUGGCAAUGUAAUUAGCCAUUAUAUAGGAAAAUUUACUUGUAAACUUAUGAAAAUUAGCAAAGGUUGAGAGAGAUCGAUGCUCGUAAUACCCUAACCGGAAAUUUUUUUGAGAAGUACUAAUACAAAUUUGAUGAAUGAGAUUUAUUGUGAAACGCAACUGAAAAGCGCUCAUUUGUUUUUGUUUUGUUUUUUGGAUAGGGGUGGGGAUGGGUUUUGGUUGACGCGGGAAACCUGAAAAGCCCAAAGACCAUCAAGAAGCCGAAGGGAAGGGCGGGCGGGGGAGGCAGAGGCACAACAAGUUAACAAGUAAUUGAAGGCGCUAUGCAAGGGCAGUUGCGUCAAACAAGUUUCAACACUAAGGAAGGGGGAAAAGAAAAAGGCGCAUAAUUCAUAACAGACAGACACGGACAGGACAGCUACUACUUAGUAGUGCAGCAGUUACUGGCUUACUGCUCCUACCCCGACACCUUCUCCCACCCUCUUCACUUUGGUCUGAAGAACCCAAAACAAACAACUAACCAUUCGCUUCGCUGCUUUUAAGGAUUCUUCUUCCCCAAUGGCUGCCGAUGAGGUAAUGCUAAUACAAAUCAAAUCACCGCUUUCACGCCUCUCGACCACCCCCACCACCACAACACUUGCCCCACUUCCAAACCCCCACCAACUACCUAUCUCAACUGAUUCUUUAACCGUUUUUUCCCCUUUCAAGACGGGCUUCUUCUUUUUCUUUUUUUUUUUAAGUUACUUGUGUUUUUUCUUGGCUUUUACCCUCAAAAUGGAAUCUUUGUUCUUUUGAUUCAAUAUAUUUUAUUAUGUAGAAACUGGGGGCUUUGAAGAAGGCAUAUGCGGAUAUCAUACUGAACACGGCGAAGGAGGCGGCGGCCAGAAUAAUGGCGUCCGAAAGAAAGGCGCAGCGGUUUCAGCGGAGCUUCAGAUGGCCAAAGAGGAGGCCUUGCGGAUGCUCCUGCGCCUCAAGCAGAUGAUGGAUUCUAAGGUUUUUCCUCUCAAUAUUUUCAUCAUCUGCGCCUCAAGCAGAUGAUGGGUUUUUUUUGUUUUUUGUUUUCCCUUUGGUGCUUCGAUUCUGUUCGUUUUCUGGAUGAUGUUUGAUUUCUAGAUCAUUUUGCCGGUGAUGAUGACGGGAAAAAUACUGUCUUUCCUUCUAGAUUGCAAAGGUUGAUUCCAUUUACAUUCUUUCUGGACCAUUCCUUUCAGAAUUUAGUUUCAUCUCACUCGCUGUCUCUUUUUUUUUUUAAGUGCUUCAGAAAUUGAAUUUCUUGAUACUUAAUCCAGCACAGUUGGUCUUUUACUGGCUUCUGUCAGUUUCCUUUGAUGCUUUCCCGUGGAUCAUAUCAAUUCCCUCCUUGCUAAAGUUGACUAGUUUGUUAGGAGGGAAAAAUACUGAAAUUGGUUGUCACUUUGUAUACUAUACAGCAUGUAAUGAGGCUCAAGAAACCAAUUCCUUUCAUUGGUUCUCCUGGUGUUUAAAUGGGAACCUUGAAUUUGGAUGUCACCUAUUAUUGUGGAGCUUCUGACCGAUGAGAAUUUCAGGUUGAACCCGGCAGCUAUUGCUAGUUAAUCCAAACAAACUUGAAAAGCUUUGAGGCUAUAUGGUGUUGGAUAAAAUGGAUAUGCUGUAAUUUCAUUUCUUGGACAUUCAAGUGCAGGACAUAUACAGAUAUCCAUAUAAUCAAAUCAUCAAGUGGGACUGGUAUUCCUACCUAAAGGCAGGCUUCUUGUGGGCUAAUCAGGGCAUCUACCCCACAAAGAAGCAUUAAUAAUCCUCAAUUGUGUUGAGAAUUCACUAUUGAAUGCCUAUUCUGCCGCAAAUUUCUUUCUUUUUUUUAUUUUAAGAAUAUCUUUUACCUUGCAUUACAAAAUUGAACAUUGAUAUGGGCUUCAGGGCAAUAGCAACUUUAGUGCUGUUAGUCAAAGUGGAGUCACCAGAAAGUUUAGAUAAGUUAUUACUGAUGUGCUUGACUUUUUGGCUGAUUCUUCUGGAUGAAGUUAGUGUAGAUUGUUUGACAAGUAUAUGCUUUUCAUUCCAUAUUUUUUUUUCCUACUUGUGGCAAAAUCAGUAAUAAGAUUAGAUUGCAAGAGUCACUUUUAAAUUCAUCUAUUUUAAUGAAAAUGUAUACAUUGUCUCCUUGGAUUUACAUUUUAGCCCCCUUUGUAGAUUUCUGAUGCAGAGUUGACAUCAUGAGUCAACAGAAAAAGAUUGAUGAACUUGAAGCUCAACUCCAAGAAGCUGAGGAUAUUGUUAAAGAUCUCAGAGAGGAACUGAGAGAAGUGAACAUUGAACUGGAGAGGUCAGAAACAGUAAAGAGAAGCUCCUGGAUGAUUGGCAUGCUGUGGCACAAAGAGAAUAUCUGAAGAGAAUGAAUCCCACUAUUCCAGUCUAAUGCACUCCCUCCCAAUCAAUCAGAUCUCGGACAUGUUGCAGCUGCUGAAUGAGAAGCAUGCAUGAGUUUCAGAAAAAUGAGAGUUUUAAAUUCUAUUCUGGCAUACCUCAUGUGGGGAAUUUAUACCUUGGAUGUCCAGAUUUGCCCUCUAUCAUUUUGAGAAGCAAAGAGCCUGAGCUGUACAGAAAUGGGUGCACUCAGAGAAUACGUGCAUCAGAAGGAAACUUUUCGAAUAUGCUUUCUGGGAAAGUACAUAAAAGGAAAGAUGAGAUCUCUACUCUAGAAGAUUUAGGUGGUAAACAAAUCUUUUCAGUACCUAACUGUAGCUUAGGAAUUUGAGUAAUGUUGAGAAGAAACUAGAGGCAGAUAGCCAACUUGGUAGAUGGAACCCCGCCCCAAUUUUUUGUGUCAAGAAGAAGAGAGCUACUAGAUAUAGGAAAAGGGCGAUUACCUCAUCUGGAUGUUUUCCUGAUCAAUUUCCUAGACCUAAUCAAGUUCCUGAUGUUUCUUGUGCGGCAACUCAUCUGAUUUCUGUGAGAAGUGAUGUUCAUUUUGAGGAAAAUAAAUCCAAGAUGGUGUCAAGAUUAUCUUCAGAUGAACCUGAACCAGGGUUGGAGGAGGAUUGUGCUGAAACUUCUGAAAAUGAUAUUGAGCUUGGCAACUCUGCUGCUGUUCAUAGACCCGUGAAUGAAAAUGAAGGUACAGAAAAGUUGGUCCUUAAGGAUUCUGCCGGGAGUUCGGUGGCUACAGAUGGUGAAACAGAUCUUCAAAAAUCAAAUAUUACAUUGCCGAUAUAUGAGCCAAAUGUACCUACUGUAGUGGAUAGGGUUGGUAAUCAACCUAUCCAAGAAAGAAUAAUCAAGUAUACAUUCCAAAGGAAGCGAAAGAGAGAUUCUUUGAGCAAAUCCAAUGGGGUUGUUUCUUUUGAAAGUGAUACUUCUAAGAGGCGAACUUUGGGGAAGAAAGUGAUCCUGUGGAGCAGGAGAAGUCAAACUUAGUAACAGAAUCCUCUCGACAUUGUGGGCGGUUAGCACACAUUGCUCAUCAGGUUGGUAUUUUUUGUUGGCUACAGCAUAUGCGUAUUUGGCAUAUCUGUAGCAAUGCAUGAUUCAGUUUCUUUUGUUCUCAGACAUAAGGUUGUAUUGUGUAAUUUUAAAGCGUCUCUACUUGACUUGGUGAUUCUACAUCAUUGGUGCUUAUCAGCUGGAAAUUGUAUCUCUUAUUUCCAUGUUUUUGAUUUAUUUGAAAUUCAGGCACACGAGUCCAUAGUGUUAAAAUCAGGGUUUCCUGUAUGAUUUCUGACUGACUGUUAUCGUAAAAAACUCUUCUCGUAAAUCACUUUUGAUUACCAAUUGUCAAUUCAUGCAUUAAUCCUGGUAUUACAGAAUUUAGACAACAAACUUUUUCUUAACAAUCGCUGUUGAGAAGUUACCUUUAUUUUUGUGGCAUAAGCAUAUAUUCAUUUUUCUGCUUUCCUGACACCGGACCUGCAUGGCGCUUGCUUUUGCCAUUUUUUUGUGGGGGUGGGGUUGGGGGGGGGGUGAAGCAACUGAAUUUACUCCCUUUUCUUCAUCUGUUGCCUCUGUUCAAUUGUUUGACUGAUUGUUGCAUUUGAAGUUCUGUUAAACCGUUUGGGUUGAAAAACUUUUUCUUCUUCAUGGUGGUUAUUAGAAAGUUGAGGUGGCUUGGUUUCUUCUAUUUACUAUCAACUAUGUAGUUUGUGGCCAGCUAGAGAUUAAAGUUUUCUGACAAGAUGUACUCUUAUUACCUUGAAGUACAUUAAAAUGUUUGAAGCACAAGGUAUUUGAUCCAGUUUUCUCAGUGAAUUAUGGUAAUCAUGGUUUAUUGUCUUCAAAGAAUCAUGUCUAUACUUCUCUUGUGACAGUCUUUAUAAAUUGUAGCAUGUUCUCAAUUGUUUUGGCUCUUCCACUCAUCAAACUCUAUGACUAUCCAGGAAAGAGACCUAUAGGAUGAUUAUUAAGAUUUAGCAGAAAAUUAUUGGCUGCUGUUGGGCAAUAUGCCUGCAACUGAAUAACAUUGACCUCUUCACUUACAGUAGUACUUCAUGGGUCCUGUUUCUAAAUUCACUUUUUUGGGGAUUAAUCCUUUUUUUCAGAAGUACAAGAAACGUGGAAGUUUGCGCUUGAGUUUCCAAUUUUAGCCUGUCUAAUGAGUAUUUUGGCUAGAAACUACUGAAGCAAGUUAAAGUUUGCGGUGCCAACUCCUUAUUAUCUCUAAGUGACUAGGCUACUUGUGAUUUGCAUGUUCCUGAACUUCAUUUCCUUUGUUUCAGCAUUGUCUUGCAUGACUCCAUUUGUGGUUCGUGGAAAUGUUGAUUAGCAUGCCACCACCCGAGUCUUUUUUUAGUCUUCACUUCAUGCUUCUGCUAUCUAUAUGUUUCUUUGUUGAACCCGCUGCAGCUCUCCUCUUGCUAUCUAUGUGAUGAUUGACUUUGUAGCUCUCCUCUUGCUGGCAGCUUAUAUCUCUGUCGGAGAGCAAAUGGUAGCUGUGAAACACUCAGUUCCAUGGUUGAUUGGAUUUUAAGCUUAAAGACAUUGAGUGAGAGGGUGAAGAAGAAACCAGCCGGUGUCGUGCAAUCUAUCAAAUUCUCCUUGGUUGGUCUAACAUGUGGGCAAUCUCUUUUGAUCAAGAAACGGGUUUUGAAAUUUCUUUUUAUUGAAAAUAAUUUAUGGAUGACUCGUACUAGUAGUAUAUGAUGUAUGACUCACUAUUGUAGCACUACUAUCGUUUGUUAUAUCUCGUUUUUAUUAUUUUCUUUUUCCCCUUUUAUUUGCCACAGCUCCAAAAUUACUUUUGCGGAAAGGGGAUGUUUCACUUUCACCAUGUGUCUGUGGAUUGGGUUCUUUUGAAUAAAAUGCAUGGUUAUCUGGGAGUGAGUAGUAGUGAAACAGCGGGUUUGUGUCAGGCUUCAACUGUCAUAACCCUAAAUUGGAGAUAGGAAGAAGCUCGGAUGAGCUUAGUAAGGAAGAAGAGGAAGAAAGUACAGAGAGUAUGAUGAAUAGAGAGAGAAAAUAGAGAAGAGGGAAAUUGCAAAUGUUAUUUCUCUGAUGCUUUUCCUACCAAUCUUGCUGUUACAAAUAGGAUAGGCUAACUACCUCUAACUAAUUUCUGUUACAACUCACGCGCCUGAUGCCAACUGAAGAAAUCACUCAUACGGCACCGUUCUACUUAUUCUUCCUUAUUACUAACAUUUCCCCAAACGACAUCGUUACAAUCAUUUGUUAACUUUUGGCUUAGCUCCUCUAUCCUGACAUUACCUCCUGCUCAAAAAUUUGUCUUGUCCUCAAGACUGGAAAUGAGGAAAUUGAGAGUGUAUGAAAUCUUGGUCUUCCCACGACGCUUCCUCAGGUUCCAGCUGAUACCAUUUGAUUAAGAACUGAAUAACUGGUUGACCAUUGCGCAUGAUGGCUCUCCUCUGCAGCACAGACUCUGGUUGCAAGGGACACUGAUCUGCAUUGUCAAACUCCGGCAAUGCCCCAGACACCUGUUGCACUGGCCCAAUCUUUUUCUUCAGUAGGGAUACAUGGAAAACUGGGUGAAUUCUGGCUCCUGCAGGUAACCUGAGACGAUAUGCUACUGAUCCUACUUUGGCUUCCACCUGGAAGGGUCCAUAGAAUCUGGCAGCCAGUUUAAGGCAUUUUCUGAUAGCAACUGUCUGCUGCCUAUAGGGUUGUAAUUUGAGAAAGACCCAGUCUCCUACUGCAAAAGAUCGCUCAGUACGCUGUUGGUCAGCAAAGAACUUCAUUCUUUGCUGUGCCUUAGUUAAGUGAUCCUUGAGACUACCAGAAAUUCUCAUUCGUUCCUGAAGAAGCUGAGCUGCUGCAGGUAUGAUAGUAUCCACAUAGGGACCCAGUGGCAAGGGAACAGGCUUGUAACCGUACAAAGCCUCAAAUGGGGUCAGCUGCAAACUGGAGUGGUAAGAAGAAUUGUACCACCAUUCUGCCAUUGCUAGCCAACUGCUCCAACGUGUUGGAAAUUCCCCAGUCAUACACCUGAGAUAAGACUCAACACACUGGUUCAAUCUUUCACUUUGCCCAUCGGAUUGGGGGUGGUAGGCUGAGCUAUAAUGCAAGUCAGUUCCCACCAAUCUAAACAGUUCCUGCCAAAAGGUGCUGGUGAAGAUCCUGUCUCUGUCUGUGACAAUAGACUCUGGUAGCCCAUGCAAUCUGAAAAUGCUAUCUAAAAAGAGUUGAGCCACUUUCUUAGCAGAAAAUGGAUGGGAUAGUGCUAUGAAAUGUCCUACCUUGGUCAGUCUGUCAAUGACCACCAUGAUAGUAUCAUAACCCUGAGAGUUGGGUAAACUCUCUAUGAAAUCCAUUGUUACAUGUGUCCAUGCCAAACGAGGAAUAGGCAAGGGUUGUAACAGGCCUGGCAGGUGUACAUGUUCAGCUUUGUAUCUCUGGCAGACAUCACAAGCCUGUAUAAACUGAAUAACCUCCUGCCUCAUUGUUGGCCAAUAGAAGAGGGAUUUAAUCCUUUGCCAACACCCCCUUUGACCUGAGUGGCCACCUACAGCAGAGGAAUGUAAUGCCUGUAUAAUCCUGGCUCUCAGACCAUUAGUUGACCCCACAUAGAUUCUCCCAUUGUAUUUCAGCAAAUCACUGUUCCAUUCAUACCCUGGAUGUGAGCUAGGAUCCAAGAGCAACUGGGAGAUGAUAUCCUUGCAGUGAUCAUCUGAGAGGUAACUUCCCUGCAGUUCCAGUAACCAAUUUGGCUUAACUGUUGUCAAGGCUAGACAUGACCCUGUGGUAGUGAUGUGAGGCUGCCCCCUUUCGUACAAUCGAGACAAAGCAUCUGCUACCUUAUUUUCCACUCCUUUUUUGUAUUGGAUUUCAUAAUCUAGGCCCAGAAGCUUAGUGAACCACUUGUGUUGUAGAGCAGUUGUAAGCUUCUGAUCUAACAGAUACCUUAGUGACUGAUGAUCAGUUUUGAUAAUGAAGUGAUAUCCAACAAGGUAAUGGCGCCACUUAGUCACUGCCAUUACCAAAGCCAGCAACUCCUUUUCAUAGGCUGAGAGUCCCAGGUUUUUAGGUGACAAUGCCUUGCUAAGGAAAGCCAAGGGAUGUCCUUCCUGCAUUAAUACUGCGCCAAUUCCUCCUCCACUGGCAUCAGUCUCAAUGGUGAAUGGUUUCUGAAAGUCGGGUAGUCUAAGAACAGGUGCAGUACACAUGAUGUUUUUCAGUGCAAGGAAAGCCUCUUCAGCCUCUGGAUUCCAUGCAAAGCUAUCCUUCCUUAGCAAUUCAGUCAGGGGUUUACAAAUGAUGCCAUAGUGCUUGAUAAACCUUCUAUAAUACCCAGUCAACCCCAAGAAUCCCCUCAAUUCCUUCACUGUCCUUGGACUUGGCCAUUUCAGAAUACUAUCUAUCUUGGAACUAUCCAUUGACACUCCUUCUUCUGUUAUAGUGUGGCCCAGGUAGUCUACUGUCAGUUGUGCAAACGAGCACUUAGAACGUUUUGCAAACAGGUUAUGCUCCCUUAAUAUUGAUAAAACUGUCCUCAGAUGUUGCUGAUGUAGCUCUAAUGUUGGACUAUAGAUAAGUAUAUCAUCAAAGAAAACCAGAACAAAUUUUCUCAGGUAAGGCUGGAAGAUCUGAUUCAUAAGAGCCUGAAAUGUGGCCGGGCGUUUGUUAGCCCAAAAGGCAUUACUAGGAACUCGUAGUGACCACAGUGUGUUUGGAAGGCAGUUUUGUAUGUGUCUUUAGGCUUGACCCUGAUUUGGUGGUAACCUGAAGUGAGGUCCAACUUGGAUUUAUACUUAGAUCCUGCUAGCUCAUUGAUUAGUUCAUCUACAUUGGGUAUGGGGUAUCUGUCCUUGAUAGUCAUUUCAUUCAGCCUCCUGUAGUCUACACAGAAACGCCAGGUCCCUCUUUCUUCUUGACAAGUAGAACUGGAGAAGCAAAGGGACUGUUACUGUGAAUUAUGAUUCCAUGUUGCAACAUAUCCUUAACCUGCUGCUCAAUUUCUCCUUUUUGUGAGUGAGGGUAUCUGUAAGGCUUCAUUUUGAAGGGCUGAGAAUCAGGUUUUAGUGGUAUCUCAUGAUCUAAACUCCUGACUGGAGGUAACUCAGUUGGUGCUGCAAAUACAUCUACAAAUUCUUCAAUAAUACCCUGGACCCCUGUAGGGAUGUCAUUUCCCUGCUCUUGAUCACUUUGUCCCAAUCUCAUGGACAUGCAUAACUGUCUCUUAUAUUCAAUGAAUGUUCUCAGAUCACCUCCCCUAAUUAAAUCUAAAUCACAGUCUUCAGCCUGGCCAUGCAAGUGUACCGCUUCCCCUUGAUGUUGUAGGGAAAUGGUCAGCUUGUGAAAAUCAAAAGUGAUAGGGCUGAACUGAGUCAUCCAAUCCACCCCAAGUAUUAUGUCCCAUCCACUUAGAUCCAUUACUUUGAGAUCAUAGCAGAACCUAUGCUGAUUAAUUCCCCAGACCACCUUAGGACAUAUCGCCUUACUAGUUACACAGGCCCCGUUCCCCACAACCACAGAAAAAGGAUUGACUAAUUUAUAAGGAAUAUCAAAUGCGAUUACCUUCUCACUGCUAAUGUAGCUAUCAGAACUGCCAGUGUCCACCAGUAUCAGCAUUUCCUCUCCAUCCAGUACGCCUACCAGGGUGAUUGUUUUCCUCUUAAGUGCCUCUGACAAUGUGUGUAGGGACAUCUCCAUAACCUCCCCUGGAUUCCCUGUGGUUUCGUCUUGCUCUCCCAGUGCAUCCUCAAAUUCAGUAUCCUCCUCCUCAUCAUUGACCAGAAAGUUCAAAUGACCAAGUUUGCACUGGUGUCCCUGCCCAAAUUUCUCCCCAUUUGAAGCAUAGGCCAUGACUUCUUCUGUACUGUAUUUCUUGUGCUGAGAUUUUUCUUGGUUCUGCUUCAGUAUUAGCAACAGGUUUGCCUUUGAAAUGAGUAUUCCUGAAUGAACCAAUAGGAGGUACUCUGUAAUGUGAACUGUGACUCGUCUGCUGAGAUGCACUUUUUGAGAUCCCAAACCUAUUCUCUGAGUUAGGCCUUACGUUCUCUUUAAGACUCCUGGACUGCAAGUGCAGUGCAUUCUCCUGCAGUACUGCCAACUCGAAAGUUUCAAAUAGAGAUGUAGGCCUCAACAGUCGGAUCAUAGUCUUAAUUUCGUCCUUCAAGCCACUGAUGAAGCUUGAUACGAAAUAUUCUUCACUCAAAUGUGGAUUUUUCACUGCCAUGAGAGUCUUGAGUUCUUCGAACUUUUCCUGGUACUCCUCGACCUUCCCUGUUUGAUGUAAUUUGUUGAAUUCCUCCACGACAUCUUUUCCUGUCCUGUUAUCGAACCUUCUACACAAUAAGUCUUCAAACAUUGGCCAUGUGAUCUCAGGUUUCUCCACCUUAACACCCUGGAACCACCUGUCUGCCUUCCCUUCCAGAUACAUCUCAAUCACUUCGACCUUCUGUUCCUCAGGAAUUUGGUAGUUUACGCAGUACUUGUUGCACUUCCGAAUCCAUUCUCUUGGAUUUUCCCCAGAGAAUAAGGGCAAAUCAAUUUUGGGUGGAUUCGGAAUCAGAAGCUUGUUUGCCUCCCUCCUUCCCGUUCUGCCGCCUUCGAAUCCUAUGUGCAGCCUCUGAUUAGGUGGUGGUGUUGGCAAUAGUGGCGGUUGAUCGCUCAUGGUCCUUCCAGGUUCAAAAUUCAGCUUCUCCUUGUCCAGCAACAUCUUCAUGAGAGCGCUGAAUUCUUGUUUGAUUCCUGUGACCAGACCUUCCAUUCUCUUGUUGUUUUCCUCCAACUCUGUCCUCAGCUCCUCGCGAAGCUGCUGUUGUUGAUGGUGUGAAGCCUGUAGUCCUUCGAUCACCUCCUGAAGCUUGGAAUCUUGUAAUUUGUUCCUCCAAGGUCUUGAAUCUGGUACUCUCCGCCAUUGUUACUAAUUUCCGAGGAAUCGACAAGCUCUGGUGCCAACUGAAGAAAUCACUCAUACGGCACCGUUCUACUUAUUCUUCCUUAUUACUAACAUUUCCCCAAACGACAUCGUUACAAUCAUUUGUUAACUUUUGGCUUAGCUCCUCUAUCCUGACAGUUUGGCUUGAGAUUGAUCUCUUACUGUAUUUUCGGUGCUUGAGAUUUGCACUUUGGGAUAUUGAGCAUGUACGUGAGCUGCUAUCUUCCCAAAGAUUUUUUUUUUUUUUGCGGGAAAAUUUUCCAUCCUUUUGGUUGGCGAUGUAAGAUCUAAGAAGCUACUGGAAAAUUUGAUCUUCAACCUUGUUUAAGAAGGGCGGGGUCCCAAAUAAAACUAGUAGUAGGACUAAGAUUGUCUUAUCAUAAUUAGGUUGCAAACGAAUCAAAUGGUUCAUGAGUAUCGAUUCAGUCAAAGUUCAACUUAAGUUGGGUUCAAAUCAAUCAAGUCGAGAUAUUGAAUUUGAAUCGAACAUAGAGAAAUAUAUGUAUAUAUAUAUAUAUAUUAUUUUAAUAACAAAAUUACAUAUGUAUCUCUAAUAUUUUUAUUAUUUAUUAAGAAAAAUGAUUACUUUAUUUUUAAAUAAAUAAGAUAAUUAUUUUUUUUUUUUAAAAUUCGAGUAGGGCUGAAUUUGAAUUUAACUAAGUUCUAAUUUGAAAUCGAGUUUGAACUCAAAUUUUAUCUUGAAAGCUUAUCGAGUGUGAGAUCGAAUUUAAAGUUUGAAUUUGAUAAAAUUGAGUCAAAUUCGAGAAUAAGACUACUCAUUCUACUACAAGACAAUGACAAUAAUGUUGCAUCAAGUAUAGGCUAAAUCCACCGACAGCCUCUUGGACUGUUGAAAAGGUGGGAGGUUAAGGAUUCAAUCCUUGCCUCCACCAAACUUGCCACUUAAUUGUGGCUGCCACCUUGAAGUGGCUUUCUUUCGACUCUCCCUCUCUUAGAUUAUAUUAGGGUAUGUUAUAUAACCAGGAAAAUAAAGGAGUGUCGGAUUGCUAUUUUGGAAUGGAGAAAAAAAGUGCAAAGAAACUCCAAAGUAAGGAUAAGGGAACUAAAAGAGAGACUCAACGCAGUAAAAGAAGGAAAUGAUAUAGGAAAGAAUGGUCGAAUUGCAGAGAUCAAAAGCCAACUAAGCAAAGCAUAUAAGAAGGAAGAACUGUGUUGGAGCCAAAAAUCAAGAAGCAAAUGGCUCAAAGAAGGGGAUAGAAAUACAACAUUCUUCCAUACAAGUGUGAUGGCAAAGAGGAGAAGAAAUACAAUCAGCACUUUAUAGAGAAAUGAUGGGACCUGAUGCAAGAAUGAGAAGGAGAUUGAAGAGGAACUGAAUGAGUACUACAAUGACCUUUUUACCACUACUAAUCCUAACAAUUAGCAGAGAUUCCAAGCACUAUUUCUAAACAGAUGAAUGAGCUGCUGAUUAAGGCUGUGAAAGAAAAAGAAAUUAGACAAGUCUUGUUCUCAAUGCAUCCAAACAAAGCACCCGGGACGGAUGGUAUGUCCUCACUUUUCUUUCAACAUUAUUGGCAUAUCAUGAAAGAAGAUUUGGUGUCUGUCAUAAAUAGUUUCUUUCAUACUGGUUACCUUCUCAAAGUUGUGAAUGAAACCAUCAUCUUUUUUAUUCCAAAAACUAAAGCACCUAUGUUUGUUUUGAACUAUAGGCCAAUUAGCUUGUGCACUGUUCUGUAUAAGAUCAUCUUGAAAAUCAUUGCAAACAGACUGAAGAAGGUGCUUCAGCAUUGCAUAAGUAAUUCACAGUUUGCCUUCAUUCCAGGCAGACAAAUUCUUGACAAUGUUGUGGUAGUUCAUGAAAUACUAUAUUUUUUGAAAAAUAAGAGAACAGGAAAAACAGGUUUUAUGGCUAUUAAACUUGACAUGUUCAAAACCUACGAUAGAGUAGAAUGAAAAUUUUUGGAGAGACUGAUGAUAAAAAUGGGUUUCUGCCCAAUAUUUGUCAAAUGGAUCAUGGUCUGUUUGUUCAUUGUGUCUUACUCUUUCAACUUAAAUGGCCAAAAAGUAGAACAUAUUAAACCAAGUAGAGGCAUUAGGCAAGGAAAUCCUUUAUCACCCUACCUGUUCAUUAUUUGUACUGAAGGGCUUUCCAGCCUUAUUAAUAAAGCAGUGACUGAGAAUGAGCAAACAGGAAUCAAAAUUUGUAGGAAAAGUCUAGCUAUUUCUCAUCUAUUUUUUGCAGGCGACUCUCUAUUGUGCUGUAAACCAAGCAAACAGGAGGCAAUGAAAGUGAAAAGCAUCCUAGCAAAAUAUGGCAAAGCCUCUGGCUAGGUGGUGAAUUUUGACAAGUCAGCAAUCUUCUAUAGCAAAAACACCAAUGUCCUGAUGAAACAAGAGGUGAGCGAGGGACUUGGCAACAUGAAAGAAGCAAUGAAUGGGAUAUAUUUGGGUCUACCAAUGGCUAUUGGAAGAUCUAAGACACAAGUGUUUGGCUUUGUAAAGAGCAAAAUCAGCAACAAGCUCCAAGGAUGGAAACAAAGGCUACUGAGUCAAGGAGGAAAGGAAGUACUGAUCAAAUCAGUGAUAAUGGCUAUGCCAACAUAUGUAAUGGCAUGCUUUAGACUUCCCAAAGGACUGUGCAGAGAAAUCACAGCAAAAAUUGCGAGAUUUUGAUGGGGAAAAGGAGAUCAAGAGGCAUGUGUUCACUGGGCAAGUUGGAAGAAACUUUCAGAAGUAAAAGGAAGAGGGGGAAUAGGCUUUAGAGAUCUAGAAGCCUUCAAUACUGCUUUGCUUGCAAAGCAAAUUUGGAGUUUCUUAUCUGCCCCAAAUUUGCUAGUAAGCAAGGUAACAAAGGCAAAAUACAUGAAGGACCCAAAUUGGAUGAAAAAAAGUCCCCCAAAAUCAACAUCAUGGAGCUGGAAAAGUAUGCACAGUGCCAAAACAUUGUUGUUAGUUGGGUUAUAAAAAUGAAUAGGAGAUGGAAGUACUGUAAGCAUAUGGAAGGAUAAAUGGAUAAGUGGAUCAGAACAAGAUUAUGUGUCCUUUGGAAAACCUGAUGGCUACCAGCUAGAAUGGGUAAGUGAGAUGAUAGAAGAGGGAAAAUGAAAUAAAGAACAAUUAUAAAAAUGGUUCUGUAACAAAGGUGCAGAGCUCAUCGAAUGCAUUCCCACCAGCAUAGGAAGAAGAAAGGACAGAAUGAUCUGAAAAUUCUCCAAAAUUGGAGCAUAUACUGUGAAAAUAGGAUAUGCUGUGGUAAGACAGGAGAAGGGCUAGCAUAGUAGAAAAGGAACAAGCAAUAUUGAAACAAGCUGGGAAAUAAGAAAACACAGUGUGUGAAAGAAACUGUGGCAACUGAAGGUGAAGGCCAAGCUGAAACACUUUAUGUGAAAAUGCCUACAGAAUUGCUUACCAAUAAACGAGAUUACUUUCAAAAGGCAGGGAAAAGGAGAGGGAAGAUGUGGCUGCUGUGGAGAAAGUGUGGAAACCAUUGAACACUUGCUCUUCUUUUGUACGAAUGCAGUAGAAGUAUGGAAAAUGGCACCAGAAAAGUGGGAUGGUUUAAUGGACAAACAGCACAAUCUGUGGCUCUGGUGGGAGAAGGCUACUCAGUCAAUCUCGAAGGAACAAAGGCCAGAGAGAGUAAACCUCACCAUCAACAUAUUUUGGCAAAUUUGGAAAGCAAAAAACAAAAGAGUUUUUGAAAAUGCCAGCCAGAAUUCACAAAGAACAGUCAUUAAAACACAUGAGGACUGGAUUGAGUAUGAACAGGCAAGGGAGGCAGAACAAGAAAACAUUGCAUCUUUCACCAAUAGUAAUUCCAAAAAAAAAAAAAGAGAAACACCAAGGGAAGACGUGGCAUAUAUGUACAUAGAUGCUGUAAUAUCAGCAAAAAUGAUCAGGACUGGUCAAGAAAUUGUAGCAAGAAACUGGAAAGGAAUGAUUAUGAGAGCAAAAGGAAUUGUCAGUCAGUGCAAGGGAACAGCAAGCAAAGAAGAAGCUUUUGCAAUCAGGAACGCAAUACUGAUGGCUAAACAUGCAGGAUGGGGUAAAAUAAUAGUCCAUCUAGACAGCAAAUCAGUUGUAGAUCAGAUAAAUAGAUGUAGUGACUAUGACUACAUCAUUGCAACUAUCUUGGAAGAUGCGCAGGAACUCGGAACAGGUUUUAAAAGUUGUACUUUUGUAUUUAUACCUAGAUCAGAAAAUGAAAUCAACUAUGCUCUAACUCAAAUUACUGUUAAGCUAGUACAUGAUAUUGAUUGGGAACAAAAUUUCCCAAGAUGGCUAAUAGACUUAGUGCUGACAGAAAUGAUGGUAGUAGCCCCUUUUUGUAAUUAAUCCUUGUAUUAUUAAGUGUUCACGUAUAUGAAACUGUUAACGUUUGUUGGAAAAAAAAUACAUGCAACCAAAACAAAAUAUCAAACUGCUAUAGGACAUGACGACCCAAGUAUCAUUUACACUCAAAACUACCCCCAGUGGGCAUUGACAGGUGCCGAACCUGUACAAUAAUAAAAACCUACUCGAGAAAAAUACAGAUUUUGUAUAUAGCGGUGAGUAGGGUCGAAUCCACAGGGACUGGGGAUAAUUCGUUUCUUCUAGAGUCCAAAGUAUGGGGGGUUUUUGGAUCAAAUACUAACUAAAUAAUUUAACUUCAGAAAAUAAUUAAGUAAAAGAAAUAACUAAGAGAAACUCUAGCCAAGGGUAUACUUCAGAAAUGGUUCAUGCACUGAUCAUUGAUGCAAAAAUAAUUCCAACAUUUAGUAAUAGAUUAGUUACAGUUGUCAUGCAUGCGAUAAACAACCAACCCUUCCUUAAUUUAUCGAUAGCUAAGGUACGACCGUUAGCUAUUUCUCUAACCCAAAAAAUAACCCUAGGUACGACCGUAGGAUUUAAUUUCUAGAUUGCAUUAAUAAUUAGAAAAGCCCAAUCCUAACCAACAAACACGCUACGAGGGUUUGUUUAAAUUAGAUCAUAUGCUCCCCUGACAUAAACCCAAUUACGCCAGUUGCUACUGAGGUAGAGAUAACGAACAAUUACGGAUUCAAUUACCCCUAUUUAGCAAAAAUAGCCUAUAUGAAUAAUUAAUUAUUGCGCACUAAUCAAUCAUACACAAGGCCAUAGCAAUUAAAAUCAAGGAACAUACAAAUACCAAUAAAUGAAGAAAACAAUUAAAACAGAUUCGAUCUCACAGUAGUUGUCGAACCAAAUCGUCAGUUGUCCCCUUGACUAGAAAAGCUUAACCACGCCUCAUGAGAAAAUCUCCCCGUUGGGGAAUAUUGUCGAACACCUGGCGUGUGUCAGAGGCCAGUCCAAAGAAAAGAAAACUAGAACUAAACUAACAAACUAAAACUAAAGCCGUCUAAAAAGAUCUCCCCUUUUGCUUCUGUACGUCUCCCUUAAAAAGCCAAAAGAAAGAAACCUAAAAGCUAUUUCCUGUGGUCCCCACACAUGUGGACAAAGCCUCCAAAUUAUUUCUUGGUCCAAGUCUCUCUACGUUGCUUUCUUUGAAAGGCCCAAAUGUCUUAUGCCUUUCACUAGCUUGUGGUCCCCACCAAUUCAAGAGUCCAAGGUCCUUAGAAGUCUCCAUUUUUCCAUAAAAGUCCCUCCUUUUUGAUAAUUUUCUGCUUUGUUCCUGAAAUUAAGCCCCAAUACCAAAUAUAAGUAAAUAUUAAUAAUUAAAACAAUAUUUGGCAAGAAUAAAAGGGGAAAUUAACAAUAAAAUUACUAACAAUUAACACCUUAUCAAUUCCCCCCACACCUAAAUCAUGCUUGCCCUCAAGCAUGGGAACAACAAUUGAACACCAAAAUUUGACCAUGGCUGUUACUCCAACUACCGUAUUGCCAAGACACCAAGAAAAUCAUAUAUCAAGCGACACAGGUCAAGAUCCAAGAAAAAUCACCCCGGUUAGCAUCUAAACUACCAACUCCUCCAAUUUAAAGCAAACUAAUCUAAGAAAAAGGAAUGGUUGCUCACAUUUAUCAGCAAAUGGUCCAACUAUUAACCCAAAUCUCAACAUUAACCCAUAGAUCGGUAAGCUGACUUUAGACACACACUUACACAACCUUCACCUUUUUUAUCACGUUUUUCUAUUUUUCUCUUUUUUUUUUUUUUUUUUUUUUUUUUGCUAUUUUUUUCCCUUUUUCAAUAAUAACAAAAGACUUAGUUUCUAGCUAUUAGAGCCUUUUGACGCGAACUCCAACAUUUGAUAGAUGUAGGAGCCCGGUUACUCAGCUCCAAUCGCUACGAGACCAUGCACUCAUAGCAACUACUACCUUUUGACGCGAAAAUCAACACUUUAGAUGAAGAUCCCCGGUUACUCAGUAGUAACUACUAGCGGAGUACAGUCAACUCUUAUUUACAAUCAUAUAACACAACAACUAAAAAUAACAGCAGCCAGCCUCAAAUUCCAAACAUGGAGAACUAAAAUUAAUAAAUGGACCAAUUUACAUGAAAAAUGCUAACAAUCAUUCCCCAUGCCUAGAGAAAUUAACCAAAAAUAAGAAAAGUUAAGCAAUUAUUGAUAUUCACCAAAGAGAUAUUCCUGAAUUCAACCACAUCAACUUGAUACCUUUUUAUUAAUAAACUUGGCAAUAGCAGAAUUAGAGACAACAAUCCGGUAUCAAAACUUGGUAUUCAUACGAAGACUGACCACUAGAAAAUAAGAAAAGAAAAUAAACGAAAGAGAAAAAAAAAUAAAUAUCAAACUAAAAAUAAAGGAAAAGCCCUUAGAAACUAAAAAUAAAAAUACUAGUACCACAACGAUCCCCCCCACACCUAAUUCACACAUUGCCCUCAAUGUGAUAAAUAAAUAGUAAUAGCAAGGCGAAGGGCAACGGAACUUCCCUGAAAUCGUCAAAAUAGGGGAGGAUCGGGCGGGAACUGAGGAGCAGGACCUGCAUGGUGCAUAGAAGCUGCCAAAUUCUGCGCCAUGUGAGGUUCUAGGUGUCCUAGACCUAGAAGAUGACCAUGGCCUCACCAUUGGUUCUAAAGAUCACUCCACUUGACAAGAGACAACAAUGGCCAACAAAUAAUGGAAACAGAAAAUUCAAAGCAAUAAGAAUUGAAAAGCCAACCCAACGAAUAAAAUGCACAAUUUCAACCACCCAGAGGUCAUACAAAUACCCCAACACUUAUAGCAAAUGCAAUCAAUAAGUACUUAUGGACCCCAUGUAGUCAAAUUCAGAAUUAAGGUCGUCCAAAGUGCAACAACUGCUCCAAAUACCCCAAGCAAGUCAAUUAAAGGCAACCGACUUCAACAAGCAAAUGCAAACGGCACAUUCAUGCCCCAAUUCAACAAAUAAACGCAGAAAAGUAGCCACAAUACUAGAGCACAGCUCCCAAUAAUGCAACAGAACAGCAACUCGAACAAACUAGGAACUGUGCUAGUGUCUUAAUAAAUCAACAACUUUCAGCAAUUAGACACAAUCGGACCCAAUAUCGUAAUAACUGUCUCCAAUUGGACAGUCAAUUACCCACUUCAACCUGCUAAAAUUAGCAAUUGACCCAAGAAAAUGGCAACUCCAGCAACAACAGUUCAGAAGUUGGACAGAAACAACUCAACCACAAAUGCCUAGUAGUCGAUUAGGCAACCAAUAACACAGGAGUAACAAAUAUUAUGUAAACUACCAUCACCAGUACCACUGGUGCAUGCAUAAGGAAAAUUGAAAUCCAGUGGCCACCCCAAGACAUGUGAUAAAGCCAAACACACCAAUCAGACAAGUCUCCCCCAGAUUGCCCCCAACACUUUCCAAACGUAUAAACUGGCACAAAAGUCAGCAAAUUUUAUCCCCCAGAUGCAAUAGAAAUCUCAUGUAGUCAAAACCCAAAUAAUAUUCAAUAAUAAAAUCAAGACCAGAGAUCACCCCCAAAUGGGAUAGCAAAUAAAUCGAAUUCCACCCAUGAUUAGCCCCAGAAAAUAAUGAAGCAAAUAAACAGAGCAAAAACCCCCCCUCAAAAACUAAAUAAACAGUCAAAUCGAGUAAAGAUUCUCCCCGAAUACCAUCGAUUGAGAACAAAAUUUACCAAAUAAUCAACAACCAACCACAGAUAUACCACAGCACCCAAAUAAGCACAAAAGUUCUGUUCUACUAGCAAAUCAAAAAUCUGGCAUCAGCUAAUGAAAACUAGUGCUCUGGCCUCAGCUACGUAGCGAUUGAAAAACAGGAAAAAGAAAAAUUGAUGAAUUCACCAGAAGUAGCGCCUGGUCUACCCGCGCGAGGAGGAAGCUGCUGGAGGACUGGCGGUGGACUGGAGGGUUGAGCAGCCGUGCGGUUGGUCACGCACUGAGGCAGGCGUCGGCCGUGGGCUGUUGCGGCGAAGUGGAACUUGGCAGAGAUAAACCGCGUGCAGCGAGGUGGGCCUGCAGGAGCUGGAGCUUGGAGGGAGAGGGGUGAAGCUGCGGGAGAUGGCCGCGGAGAGGAGGCGCCGCGUGCGUGGCGGUCAAAUCUGGAGAGGAGCUCAGUGGAGGUUGGAGUUGCGCGCGGCUGGUGGAUCUUGGCAGCGAACUGGCGGCGCGCGUCAGCGCAGGCGGUGGCUAUGCGUGGGCAGCGGAGGUCGUGCGCGCGCCUUGGCCGCGAGCUGCUGGUGGAGCUGCGGCGCGCGGGCUGCGGCGGCGGACGAAGCUGGAGGAACAGAUCGGCAGGCCGCGCGCGAGGUCAGUGGAGAUUGGCGGUGCCUGCAGCUUGUUCGUCGAGUGGGAGAGAGCAGAGGAGGACUCAGGAGACCCAAACACCGCGUGGGCACGCCAAGAUUGGUGUUCGUCCUCUGAUCUCAGGAGACCUAAACACCGCGUGGGCACGCCAAGAUUUCACCUCCUGAUCACAGUGGAGAAAAAUAUCAAGACCAACUACUAUCCAAAUGAGAAACAACAGAACGAAAGAAUUGAACAACUAAAAAUAAUAAACUCAAUAUUUGGGUUGCCUCCCAAAAAGCGCCUUUCUUUAAUGUUUUUGGCUAGACAUUGUUAUGUCCUGUUCAUGGAGGAUAAAAUCUUGUGGCUCGUUUCAAUGCUUCAUCUUCAAUGUAAUCCUGGUAACCCUCAUAGAUGGAGUAAUCUUUGAGCACACGAGUUACGUGCUUCCAUGGACUAGUUGAUGGCACAAAAUAAUCAAACAUUGAUCGCAAUUCUUCAUCCACUCCUCCAUCAAGAGCAUUCAACGGUUCAAGAUGUUUGACCAUAGCUACUCUUAACUCAUUCCUGCCAUGAGACUCAAGAACUUCCGGUAUAAUAAAAUCAAUCUCACUAACAGGAAUCAUAGAGUAAGAGUUAAGAAAAUGCAGGUUAGGGAAUGGAGGUGGUGUCACCACAUUUGAUGAUUCUUCACUGGAUUCUUUCACUUGAAUGGGUUGCAGUUGGGGUUCCAUUUCUUCCUUUUCGGCUUCUUUUUCAACUGCAUCUGUAUAUCUCUCUUCUUGAAAAUCUUGCAGCUCCUCGUUUCUAGUCAGGCAAAUUGCACUCUCAUUUUCUUCAAAAUCAACAAUGGUUUUCGAGGGCAAUUCUUCAAAUUGAGAAGCCAAUCGAUUUAUUUUGGAUGUCAAUAGACACAUUUGAUCUUCCAGAUUACUCAUUGCCUCCUUCAUCAUCUCAUUUCUCCUUUGUGUCUCCUGUUGGAAUUGAUAUGUAUUAAUAGCUAUUGAUUCAACUAUUUCUUCAAGAGACAUACCUGACAUAGAUGACGAUUCUUGAGACUCAUACUGCUGAAAAUUCAUUGGCCCCGUUGUUGUAUAAUUAUAAUCGGAGUUAUCCCACCAUUCUUGAUCAUACCCGUUUUGAUUAGGGUUAUACCACGUUUGAAACCAGGGUGAAAAAUCUCCAUAAUUAUUGAGGGGGACACUCAGAUUAUCUUGAUAUUCGGGGCACAUACCGGUUGAAUGAUCCCUGGCAUAACAAAUUUUACAGGUUGCAGCAGCCAUUCUUUCUCUAAUAGAGUUUAGUGCCUCUGAAUAUGCAAACUUAGCAAAAAAACUAGUCUCAUCGCCUUCCCCGGAAACAAAAUCCAGACUAUCACCAAAAUGUGGAGUGUUAGAAGCCAUAAACUAUAUUAAAAAAAAUAUGAGAAAAAUAAAAAAAAUAAAAAUAAAAAUAAAAACAAGAUGAACUUCAAAAAGAAACAAAUUAAUCUGACACCAGUCCCCGGCAACGGCGCCAAAAAUUGACAGGUGCCGAACCUGUACAAUAAUAAAAACCUACUCGAGAAAAAUACAGAUUUUGUAUAUAGCGGUGAGUAGGGUCGAAUCCACAGGGACUGGGGAUAAUUCGUUUCUUCUAGAGUCCAAAGUAUGGGGGGUUUUUGGAUCAAAUACUAACUAAAUAAUUUAACUUCAGAAAAUAAUUAAGUAAAAGAAAUAACUAAGAGAAACUCUAGCCAAGGGUAUACUUCAGAAAUGGUUCAUGCACUGAUCAUUGAUGCAAAAAUAAUUCCAACAUUUAGUAAUAGAUUAGUUACAGUUGUCAUGCAUGCGAUAAACAACCAACCCUUCCUUAAUUUAUCGAUAGCUAAGGUACGACCGUUAGCUAUUUCUCUAACCCAAAAAAUAACCCUAGGUACGACCGUAGGAUUUAAUUUCUAGAUUGCAUUAAUAAUUAGAAAAGCCCAAUCCUAACCAACAAACACGCUACGAGGGUUUGUUUAAAUUAGAUUAUAUGCUCCCCUGACAUAAACCCAAUUACGCCAGUUGCUACUGAGGUAGAGAUAACGAACAAUUACGGAUUCAAUUACCCCUAUUUAGCAAAAAUAGCCUAUAUGAAUAAUUAAUUAUUGCGCACUAAUCAAUCAUACACAAGGCCAUAGCAAUUAAAAUCAAGGAACAUACAAAUACCAAUAAAUGAAGAAAACAAUUAAAACAGAUUCGAUCUCACAGUAGUUGUCGAACCAAAUCGUCAGUUGUCCCCUUGACUAGAAAAGCUUAACCACGCCUCAUGAGAAAAUCUCCCCGUUGGGGAAUAUUGUCGAACACCUGGCGUGUGUCAGAGGCCAGUCCAAAGAAAAGAAAACUAGAACUAAACUAACAAACUAAAACUAAAGCCGUCUAAAAAGAUCUCCCCUUUUGCUUCUGUACGUCUCCCUUAAAAAGCCAAAAGAAAGAAACCUAAAAGCUAUUUCCUGUGGUCCCCACACAUGUGGACAAAGCCUCCAAAUUAUUUCUUGGUCCAAGUCUCUCUACGUUGCUUUCUUUGAAAGGCCCAAAUGUCUUAUGCCUUUCACUAGCUUGUGGUCCCCACCAAUUCAAGAGUCCAAGGUCCUUAGAAGUCUCCAUUUUUCCAUAAAAGUCCCUCCUUUUUGAUAAUUUUCUGCUUUGUUCCUGAAAUUAAGCCCCAAUACCAAAUAUAAGUAAAUAUUAAUAAUUAAAACAAUAUUUGGCAAGAAUAAAAGGGAAAUUAACAAUAAAAUUACUAACAAUUAACACCUUAUCAGGCAUUGACCCAUUUGCGGUGGAGCAGGUAAAUUACUCAAUAUUUCAACCAGAGUUUUUUUUUUUUUCCAACAAAAAAAAAAAGAGUCCAUAUCUGGCUUGAACGAGUGGUGACUGGUGAGGUGGCCGGGUCUAGCAAGCAGAUUAAACUGUACUCCUGCUGCCACUAUUUAAGUGUCCCUUUUCAGUGGAGGCAGGCGCGGCGAAGGGGGGAUCUGGUGGUGGUGGUGGUGGUUGUGCAGACUGCAGACAGGCAAAAGGAAGGAGGAGAGAUCAUCAACCACUCCUACUUACCAACCAAAACAAAAAUAAAAGAUGGCGGGGGAAUAAUGAGCAAAGUAGGUGACUGGGUUUCAAGGCGUUCACGGCGGGACUAGGAGUUACUACCCUAUACCUAGCCGCUACUUUCUCCGUCAACGUCUACCGUGGCCUCUCUUGGCAUUCUGCUCAAUCGGUACCCCACUACCCAUUCCAACUUCAUGCCUCUUCCCCUCUGUCAUGGAGUAUGAAGAAUAAACAGGAGGCGUGUUCCAGAUUGCAUUGAAGGCGCAGCUGCUCAACUUGAUGAAGAAAGGCGUGACUUACAAAUCACGCCUUCUACCUGAUAUAACAGAAUUAUACUUCUGUUUGGCGCAAGUGGAGCUGAUGAUUCCAGAACUUCCACGUGGCCUCACCUGAUUAGCUAGUUUACAAGUUAGUUAGUCUGGAAAUGCCAUAAAAGGCUGAAGAAUCCGAGAGUUAGCAUAGAUUUUUGUCAUAUUAUUUCCAUUGUUUGUAAAGUGGAAUUGGCCCUGCCAACUUCCUCCUCUCUUCUCUCUUAAUUCCUUCAAUCUUUCCCUUUCAAUCCUAAAUCCGUUGAUUCUGUUCCUGUAUUUGACAUACCUAUUGUUAAUGAGAAGUUGAAGCUCCAAUAAUCAUCUCCAUUCCCUGUUCCAUUCAAAUUCGUCAGGAGUUAAUUCACUUCUGCUGCAACUAAUCUGUCACCAUUGCUGCUAAUUGGUUCAAUACCAUAACAGUGGUAUCAGAGCAGCUACGGUCCGUCUGGGUUUGGCUGCUUGAUUAGAAAUCUUUCCUCCUAAUUUUUCCUUCACUUCUGAUUCACCUUCAUCCCUAUCCAUCUUCAUCUCUUUUCUGACCAAUCAAUAUAUAUAUAUAUAUAUGAAGACCCUUGAAGAAAUCUCUAAAAUGCUGAAUUACUUCCUGGUAGAGCAUAAUAAGCCUAAACAAGCAACUACGUAGUAGUAGAUUACUAUGGGAAUUUGAAGAGUGAGAAGAAACGAGAUGUUGGCUUUGAAACCAGAACUCAGUGAGGAAUACUUUAUUGAUGGUUUUAACUUUGGGCUUGAUUGGAAUAUCCAGAUGAAGCUAAAGAGAUUUAGGAGUCCACCCAAGAUCUUGUAUGAGAGCAUAUCUCCGAGCAAAUCGAGGAAGCCGUGAUGGAGAAGCAUGAUUCUGCUCUUGAUUCACCAAAAGGAGAGCAGCUUAUGAAAGAAAAUGAGGGUGUAGAGGCUGAACACAAUGAUAUAAUCACUAACUUGAAGGAUGAAAGUGUAGUCAGCCACAUGUUUGAUGGGUUGUGCCAAAGGACUCCAAUGGAUUUUUUAGAGGAGAACCAACAUAAAACAUCAGCAAGGGAAUAUCAAGAAGAAAAAGCUAAAAACCAAGUGUGUGAUAGAUUGGCUCACAACGAUUGUGUUAUCUCUCAAGGGCUUAGCUAUGAAUUGCUUACAGGGGAGCUAGGUUGGCAACAAGGCUCUAUAGACAAGGAAAUAUUUAACUCUGCUUCACCGCUCCACUGUCCCAGAAAUUGGUCUUCGGUCAGCCGUGAGGUAAAGCAAAAGUUCAUUGAGAUUUUAUUUAAAAGACCAAUCAUGAUGAUCAUAGGCUACAGGGCCAUUGCCCGGCCUACUUUCUCCCUUGUCAUUUGUGACGUGCCUGCCAUUUCCUUCUGUAAGCCUCAACUGUAUUCUUCUUCCAUGAAUGGAUGUAGAUUCAUGCGGUUUAGUUGUUCAGUUUCUGGUAGAACCGUUUCAUCUACUUCUCUAGACUUAUCUUUGUCCAAGGACAAUUCUGGUAAUGAAGGGCUUCAAAGGCAAAAGGCUUCUUCCUCUUUGUAUGCUCAUCCUAGUUUGUCACAGAUUAGGAGUGAGAAGGCAGCCAAUCGAGCCCCUGUUUAUGAUUUCUUGAGGGGAAUUGGUGUUUUCCCUGAUGAGCUUGAUGGAUUGGAGCUCCCUGUCACUGUAGAUGUAAUGUGCGAACGUGUGGACUUUCUUCACAGAUUAGGCCUCACUGUUGAGGAUAUAAACAAUUACCCACUGGUUCUUGGCUACAGUGUCAAGAAAAACAUGGUUCCCGUCCUUGAUUACCUCGGCAAGUUGGGUGUUAAAAAAUCUACGUUUACAGAAUUCUUGCGUAGAUACCCACAAGUCCUCCAUUCUAGUGUUGUUGUCGAUCUUGCACCGGUAGUUAAGUAUCUUCAAGGAAUGGAUAUCAAGCCAAAUGAUAUUCCUCGGGUUCUGGAGAAGUAUCCUGAAGUAUUGGGUUUAAGCUGGAAGGCACCAUGAGUACUUUAGUGCUUACUUGGUUGGAAUAGGGGUCGCAAGGAGAGAAAUUGGUGGGCUACUAACUAGAUACCCCCAAAUAUUAGGAGUGAGAGUUGGCCGUACAGUCAAACCAUUUGUGGAUUAUCUAGAAAGCUUGGGAAUACCACAAUUAGCCAUAGCUAGACUAAUAGAGAAAAGACCUUUUAUUCUUGGAUUUGGACUUGAAGACAGGAUCAAGCCAAAUGUUGAGUCCCUUUUAGAGUUCAAUGUUAGGAAAUCGUUGCUUGCAUCUGUCAUUGCACAGUAUCCUGAAAUUAUAGGAGUAGAUGUUCAAACAAGACUUUGCACUCGAAGGGACUUUCUUAAUUCAAUCAUCCAAUUGGAUCCUGUUGGUUUUGGGAGAGUUGUAGAGAAGAUGCCACAGAUUGUCAGCCUCAAUAAUACUGCCAUAUUGAAGCAUUUGGAUUUCCUCAAGGAAUGCGGAUUUUCCUUGGAACAAGUGAGAAAGAUGGUGAUGGCCUGUCCCCAACUGCUUGCUCUAAAUCUUGAUGUCAUGAAAGUAAGCUUUGAUUACUUCCAGGGAAAAAUGGCAAGACCGUUGGAUGACUUGGUUUCUUUCCCAGCCUUUUUCACUUAUGGUCUUGAGUCAACUAUUAAACCAAGACAUGCAAUGAUUGGAAAGAAGGGUUUGAAAUGUUCUCUUGCUUGGUUCCUUAAUUGUUCUGAUGAGAAAUUUGAGGAGCGGAUGACAUAUGACACUAUUGACAUGGAAGAGAUGGAAGUUGAGUCAUCAUUUGACAUGAACUCUUUACUUGGUACUAGAACAGUGGUACCAAUUUCUGCAAUUUCUGCAAAUAGGUACUUUGGUCUGCAAUUUCUGGCUGGCUUGGCCUGUAAUGGCUACAUAGGAAUUCUCCUAUCUGUUUCAAAUCCAGGAGUAACAGCAGGACUUCAAACCUUGCUUGGGUGUGUUGAUGCUAACAUGCAAGACCUUUUAAAGGCAGUAGAGAAAUUCCUUGGUUUGCAUUAUCCGGAUCAAGUUGCUCUUAAAAGAUUAUAUAUGGUUGGUGGUGCUACUUCUAGAAUUUCAGCUCUUGUUGCUCAGCUAAAACAGAAGAAUCAGCAAGCUUUGCCAUUUUCUUAUACUACUUGCUUGCUGCGAAUUGCCAAAUAUCAAUCCGAAGACUUUGUUUGGAAGCUUGGAACUUUGUUCGACAUCCUUGAGGACAAGGAUUGUUUAAGGGGGAGGCUCUGUCAUGGAGUAUGAAGAAUAAACAGGAGGCGUGUUCCAGAUUGCAUUGAAGGCGCAGCUGCUCAACUUGAUGAAGAAAGGCGUGACUUACAAAUCACGCCUUCUACCUGAUAUAACAGAAUUAUACUUCUGUUUGGCGCAAGUGGAGCUGAUGAUUCCAGAACUUCCACGUGGCCUCACCAUUAGCUAGUUUACAAGUUAGUUAGUCUGGAAAUGCCAUAAAAGGCUGAAGAAUCCGAGAGUUAGCAUAGAUUUUUGUCAUAUUAUUUCCAUUGUUUGUAAAGUGGAAUUGGCCCUGCCAACUUCCUCCUCUCUUCUCUCUUAAUUCCUUCAAUCUUUCCCUUUCAAUCCUAAAUCCGUUGAUUCUGUUCCUGUAUUUGACAUACCUAUUGUUAAUGAGAAGUUGAAGCUCCAAUAAUCAUCUCCAUUCCCUGUUCCAUUCAAAUUCGUCAGGAGUUAAUUCACUUCUGCUGCAACUAAUCUGUCACCAUUGCUGCUAAUUGGUUCAAUACCAUAACACCCUCUCCCUCCCCCCUCAAAAAAAAAAAAAAAAUCCUCUUUCUUUUAUAGUAAAUAUUACGAACCCUAUUUGUAACAAUUAAAUACUACCUCAUACUAAUGCUACGAAACUUUGAUAUUUCCAUGCGCUAUGAGAAAGGAUUCGCCCUUUUUUUCCUUGAUAAUCUUGAAGAGUGAGUGAAUUAAUUUGACUGAUUCUGAUUGCAUGUGCUCUUUCUAGCAUUCUCCUUUUUCACUUACACAAGUCCUAAUUGAUUAAACAUUGUUGGAACAUAUCACAUCACAUCUACCAUUGUUGAAUCACUUCUACUUAGUUGAUGGUUUUUUUUCCCUCUCAUAGUUGUAUUGUCCCGUUCGGCGAUGAAUUUAAUGAAUCCAAUUUGUAUUACUGCAAGAAUGGUUCCACUGUAUUACUCAAAUAUGUCGAGAUUCAUAUACUCUUCCUCUGUCAGUUUUACGUUAUCAUCUCUGGUAUUCCUGAUGUUUUAAAACUAUUGUACUCAUCUUAAUAACACUAGCUGUCCUAAAACCCCCUUUUUUUUUCCUUUAAUGCUCUACCUUUCUUUACGUUAUUAAGGAUCUUUAUCAUUUCCAAUACUCAAAUAUGUUUCAUUUUAUUUGACGGUCAUCCUGAGCUUGAUGUAUUUGCAUCUGAUGAUUGACAUUCACAUUUAGAAAACGAAAUAAUCAUGCCAUUUGGUUUACAUGUUGAGGAAAUAGACAUCCCGGGGACUUUGGGCGUUUAAUUUGCUUAAGCUUCUGUAAAAGCUGCUAUAUUGGAAAAAGUUAAAAAUUUUAAAAAAAUAAAUAAAUGAGAAGAGGCCCUUAACAACAGUACCUUCUAAUAACACAUAUCUUCAGAAGAUGCAAGUAAAAUUAAUUUUAAGCAAGUGAGAAGAGGCCCUUAAGCUCAUUUUUGACAAGGUAUCCUCUGCCAUUUGUUGAAGGUAGGUUUUGGGAUGAGAAAAGCUGGAAGGUACUCCAUAUACUUUCGUUGGCUUCUUAAUAUGGACUUGCCUAUUUAUUUGCAGAGUAUGACCUGUUUCAAUUCAAUAUCUUCCUUGAAACAAUUAUGUCUUCCUAGAUGUAGCCUUUUUUACCCGUUCUUUCUAACAAUUUAACAUACACAACUGUUUGAUUUAGCAUUCAUUUGUUGACUUCCAUAUCGUUUUGGAAUUGAUGUUUCUGAGUAAGAGGUAGCUGCCUGAUGUAAUUCCAUCUUUUGCCAGAAAAUUGAGAACGAGGGUGCUAAGGAUCAGAAGCCAGAAUGAAUGUUACCGAAGUUCUUGGAUUUUGGAUCAACUGCUAAUUUGUGGGCGCGUACACUAAAUUUUGAUGAGACAGUUAAGACUUACUAUUCUCUUGUUACACUGUGACCUCAUUAGACAAUCAAUAAUAUUGCUAAGCAUGGUCUCCUCAUGUUGUUAGAGAUUACUUUCUUCGACUUUGCAUUGACCAACUCCUUGCGGAUUGAUGACUAGUGGCCCGUUCUGGAAUUGGGGAAAACUGAAGUCCUCAGAACCGUAAUAUUGCCAUCAGAUGUUUUUUGUUCCAAUGAAUAGAGGAACUUGCUGUUUGCAUAUCAGCGUUCUUGAGUAGUCCUGUGAUAGUUUCUGGGUGUUCUGUUCGUCUUUGAUGGUUCAUUAGGGAUUUGGAUCUCUCUUCGUCCAUGGUCGCGGAAAACGAUCCAGUUGGUGAAUUUAUUUUUGUAAUAGGGAAACUGUUCGUAGUUAAUUGUUGACCGGGAUUCAAACGUAUCCAGCUUUACUCUGAGCAGCAUCAAGUCGGCCGAUCAGAUUUAACGUUGUGGUGCCAUCAUUGUUCUCUAUACUUUUGGUUUGGACAUUGCAGAAUGCAGAGAAACCUCUUCUUAGCGAGUGGAAUCUUCCAGUCUGUUCGGUGUCUUGGCUAAUAGUAAUACUUUUAUCAAGUGCCAUCCUCUUCUAGUAGCUUGGUGUCCAUCUAAUAUUUUGGUAGGAACUAAUUAUGCACCAAAAGAACUAUUUUUUUUUUUUUGAAAAAAGAAAAGAAGCAAAGAUGAACACUGAACAGCCAGCUCCAUCUGUAAUAAUGAUACACACACCUGCUCAGCUCAGAAACAGGAGGGUUGGGACAAAUAACAAUAAUCAUUUCUAAUCAUACUUCACCGUGCUCUCAUCACCAAUCAUGUAUCACCCUUUUCACCGACAAAAUAGUUAGCUAGCUAUGAUGCAAAAUUGAUUUGGAAGGUUAUGGGUUAUAGGUUAAUUUACUUGAAAAAAUUUUUAAUGACCACAUUCUCAAACUUCUAUAAAUUGCUGACAAGUUGAUUACAAACUUUUUAUAAAUUCAAUUGUCUCCAAAAGGAUAGAUCGAAAGAAUCACCAAUAUCAUUUGGUAAUUUAAUGAUUUAUGUUUUUUUUUUUGGCAACAAUGCUCUUGCCAUAUACUCUAAUUGCGAUGUGAUAUCUUGAGACACUAAUGCCUAAAUAACUUUUGGAGAUUUUCCUAUAAUAUUGACUUUCAUGUUUUAGUUAGGAAUAAAAUUCUAUUAAGUAAACUGAAAUUGGUUUAGAAUGGCACUAUGCAAUUAUGAAGGAAAAUCAUUACACACUAAUUAUUCAUUUAUCUUUUGGUUUAAAAUGGAGUUUUAUAAUACAAGUAUCUCUUUGCAUCUCCUGAAAAUGCGCAUGUACACAAUAAUAUAAUCUUACAAAUUAAUAACUAUAAAUGAUAAACUCUUCUUCUCCAUUAUUGUAUACAGAAUUUUACGGUGGAAUAACAUCCUCGAAUCUUGUGGAAACUAUGCUAUCAAAUCUUCAAUCAAAACCUGCCAGUGGUGUGUUUAAGCCAAUACUACUUCACACCACAAGAUGAGCAUUCUCCGGUAUUCUAUUAGAGGAAACUCCCGGAAUACUUCGGGAGUCGAUAGGGAUUUCAGCCAGGGGGUUCAUUAUAAUCCCAUGACCACCUUCGUAUCCAGAUCUCCUAUUAUCCAGUUUAAAUACUUCAGAAUCUUCACUUUUAUUAGCUAUACUCAGCAUCGACGCUGCUGCUGUAGUUGCACUAGAAGAAGUGAACAUUGGGUAGCACGCCGACUCUCUGCUCUCUUCCAGAGCUUUGAACUCAAAUAUUCUGCACCAGGUAGUUUGCAACACAUGCCUCCAGCAGAAGCAGCAUUCGACAUCCUUCCGGUUGAAACAGCAAGAUCCAAGGAGAUCUCAUCCAGUGCAAGCUCUAGGCCACGAACCCGUGUCUCCAGUGAUCGCAUACCACUCUGUGAGCUCCCCAUAAAUUUCUGAAUUAAAAGUGAACAGGAAUAGUAAUUAAACAUCCAGUUCCUACUCACCAUGUAAGAAAGGUCAAUAAAAUAGAUAAAAUAAGCAAACAAAACAUUUAACUCAAACACCAUGCAUCAAGAGUGCAAAUGAUAUAGAAAUUCAAAUAGAUUUUGAUCCUAAAGAAUAUAAAAAAAAAAAAAAGGUUGUCAUAUACAAUUGAGCUGGAGGCCCCAAGAGGAUCAAUCGCAGUUUUGUAUCCUUAUUUCACUGGUGGACCAAUCAUAGAAAAUUAGCUAUAUUCAGCCUGUUCGGCAAGUAUCCCAUUAUGGGAGAGUUAGACGUGAAAUGUCUAUUCUGUAGGUGAUAUUCAAAUUGAAAUAAUAGAGAGGUCAUUCCUGUCACAAAUCAAAAAACAAGAUGACAGAUAGACAAAAAAAAUGUGGUUGGCAGGGACACAACAAGUACCUGGAGGAGAUCUAGCAAAUUGGAUUGCUGCUUUUCAAUUUGAACAAGUUGCUUACGAAUUAAUGAUAGAUCCUCAUAGUCCUUCUGGUUCCUCAAGGUAAUCCCCGUUUCAUUACUAACAACCACGGUACCUUCUGAGAUCUCUUCAUGACAUGGGACUACACGAGAAGCAGACUUUCUCUUCACAUCCGGCUUUGCCAAUCUAUUUCUCUCCCCAACUUUUUCCCCAGAGCUCUCAUCUCUGUUCGUUGGGUCAUCGUCAGACAUUGCCUUCCCUGGAGCAUUGUGAGCGGCACCACAUUCAACUAUC